GGCAGGGAAAGGAUGGAGAUGGAUUGCUGUUAUACACGCACACGGACUCUUGGUGAACACGGUGCUUACAGAGCGGCAUAGACAGAAAAAGGGGGAGUGGGAAAGCCGCGUCUCUUUCAAAGGAAAAGCAACAGGGGAAAAGAGAGCAGGAGGAGGAGCCCGGACAGUUGCAACUGUAUGUACUGCGAGGUACUUUAAACGGUGAGAAUGGGAAAAGGAGCAAUAAGCCUGGGACGAAGGGAGGAAGAAAUCGAAUACAGGGCAGGAGUUUCAGAACUGUGAGGGAAAGGGGGUGAUGCAGGACUAUGAAAUGCGUGGCGCUGGCUUUUGUCUUGCAAUUGUCCUGCUUGUUUCGGGUUGAAGAAUUCAUCCGGUUCGCUCUCCCACCAGCGUUUUAGCAGGCUCCUUCGUUCACGUCACGGGCACAUCGUUGCCCUGGGCCCACCCCCACCCCACGUUUGCCUCGGGCCUUCCUCAGCCGCCUAUUUCGCUUCAUUGGCAAAUCCUACCCCGCUACUAGGCUGGGGGGAGCGGGCAUUGGGCCCCCAUCUCUCUUUCCAGGAAACUGAGUGCCAGAUGAGCCCGAGAAAUGUUUGCAAUAAGGAAAGCACUCGAUAAAACCGGAGGCAGGUGAAUUCGCAUAGGAAACAGAUGGAGUAAUUAGCGGCCGAGCGAGCCCUUCUGCAGUUGAACCAGCCAGCCAUACAGCCAGGCGGGCGGGCGGGCGGCUGAGGUGAAAGCGGGCCCGGCUUCGCCAAGGGGAGCUGAGGGGUGCGGCGGGAGAGAGAAAAAGGCAACUGCGCUUCCCAAAGCAAAGCGGCGGCAAGACGCCCGGGAGCUCCGAGCACCUCCUGAGCAAUGUGCAGCCAGCCGUCAGCACGAGAGAGCCGGGGAAGCCCCGGCGGGGAGAACAUUUGUCUACAAUAAGCACGAACACGAGCAAAGCCCCCCGAGAAACCUCCCCCGGGAACUCCGCCGCUUCCAUGGCGGCUCUGGCGCUGACAGGAUCCUUGAAGCCCCACGGGAAGACGUCCGUAAGAAACCGCCCGGGGCCUCGGCCUCGGUCCCCAAGGACUGAACUUUUAUUCUGUGUUUUAUUAUUAUUUCAAGCGUUUACGGCCCGCCCGGUAGCUGAAGGUCUCAGAAUAUAUUAUAACGAAACAGGGAAGGUAAUACAGUACCUACAACAAAACCAGUAAUAACUUAAAUCAUCUGGGGCGGGGAGCGUCAGGCCUAAGGGCAAAAUACGGCCCUCAAGCCUCUGUUUCUGAGCCUCAAGACUCUGCCCAGGGGCCAGGCCUGAUCCGUACUCUCCUCCUCAUGCCUCUCCUUUGCCUGAAUGGAGGAUAGACAGAUGCCUGGGACUGCAUGUUGAAACCUCUGGUUUUUGCCGUGCAAAGGUAAGAGCAGAGGCAGAUUUAGAGAAAUAUGUUUGGUGCACCCUCACUGGGCGCUGAGCCAAGAGGGCGCUGCAACAAUGAGGAACAGCGAAAGGUGAGAAUUGGGGGCGCACUGAAUUUUGGCUUGUUGCAGGAUGCCGCUGGAAUUUUACAGCGCAAAGUCUGCCACUGGUAAGAAUCAUGCCAGUUCCUCCACCCACUUUUGCACCUGCCCAUGCCUAUCACUGGCAUGUGGUCUCCUCUUGGGCUGAAUAAAGCCCCCGCACCCCACCCCACCCCACCCCUUCAGUUAUUAUUGAUGCUGCAGUCCAAAUAGCAGGAACUGAGUUUAAACACACAAAGCCCAACAUCUGGAACUGCAAGAGCGCAAACAUCAGAGAUGUUUGGUUUUUUGAAAAAUCAAUAACUUAAGAAAACUCUAUGCUCUUUCUAGGCACCUGCCUAACCCCGGUUUUACCUGGCAAUCACAGCACGUGUUCAGCUUAAAAGCCUGCACAUGUUAAGCUUGCAGGCGGGCAAGUGUGUUUUCACACAAGUCAAAGGCACUUUGAAGGAGGGCUCCCUGCUGCUGAGGGUGACGUGUUGAAUGUACAGCCAUCACUUUAAGUUAAAAGGUUUCAGUGUUGUUUUUAAAAGUGGCUUGCCCUGUUUAACUAGAAGUGACAAUAGUACAAAAGAAAUGCGAUGCCCAUUUCAAAAUCACUUGCAACUCUCUGAGGUGUACAUGGCUCCACCAUUACAUGCUUUUAAGUGGGCUGUAUUUAUUUCAGACUGCCUUCUCUUAAAGGAGGUCUCCUAGUUCUGCUGGUCUAAAAUGGAGCUGUUCUUAAAAUGCUUUUAGUAUCAUUGCUUUUGGGGGGGAAUACAUUGCUGUUUUGGUAAUGUUUUAAUUAACUACAUUAAAUAUAUAUUUCAUUAUUACGUGAGCUAACUUGUAAGUGCUAUGCCCCCAAAGGUGCUCUCUCUCUCUCUCUCUCUCUCUCUCUAAAACUGUUGGUGUCUUUCCAUCCUUUUGUAGAGUACCUCCAUUGAAUUCAAUAAGAUAAACUCCCAAAUAAAUAUGAAAUGAAUCUGGGAGCUGUUAAUGUGGAAGGAAGUUUACAUUCCAUAUCUUGUUCAGCUUUAUAAUGCAACUUUGAACUAGGCACAGUUCCUGUUUUAUAAAUGGGAAACUGGGACUGAGAGCCAAGGCUCCCAGAGUGAGCUGGAAUACAAAGUCAGAGCACUUACUGGUUGAAUGACUCUGCUCAUCCAGUGUCACAUCAGAUGUAUUGCAGGCCAGGUAGAGGCCCAGGCCUUUGGGACUGAGGUUCCUCUAUCUUCCUUUCUCAUACUGAAUUAUAACUGAUUGGGGCCUCGUGCCUCCGCAUGCAGCCUAGGAAUCUUUGUUUUGUAUUUCAGCAAUGCCGUCCCUGGGUCCGACUCUCAAUACUUAAUUGAUUGCUCACUGGGGAAAGAUGCAUUCAUCUUGACAGGUGGAAGAAAAGUGGUGUAAUGGGUCAGAGGUUUAUGGGAUGAGUGGGUAGAAACCAAUCCUGGGACUUUUCUGUCGUUGCAGCAAAGAACAGAGAAAUCAAAAUAGAGAACAACUGCCAAGCAGUUAGCAGUUAGCCCAAUGUUUCUUGAACUUUGUAAAAUUGCAUCUCCCUUAUAACUUUUCACAGAGUAAUCUAGUACAAACAUAAGAAGAGCCUGCUGGAUUAGGCUAGUGGGCCACCUAGCCCAGCAUUCUGUUCUCAUAGUAGCUUCUUGUGGGGAGCCUGAAAGCAGGACCCAAAUGCAACAGUAGUCUUCCUUCUUGUGAGUCCCAGGACCUGGUAUCCAGAUGCAAAUUGCUUCCAACAGUGGAGGUAGAGCACAUUUACUCAAAUGUUAGCCCCACUGACUGCAGUUGACUUACUCUCAGGUGUUUCAGCCCCCGCGAGAGCAGGGGAAUCCCGGCCGUGUCUUCCCGUCUUCCCGUGGCCUGCCCUAUUUAGGGCUAGUGCAGAGGGGGCUCGCCCUCUUUUCGCCGGCUAGCCCCCACGUUUUCCCACCCUCCCUCCCUGUGGGUAGGCUUUAGGUAGGUCUCUGACUUUGCUAUGGACUUUGGUCUGUCGCCGCAAGGGGCAUGGUAGGAAUUUUUCCCAAUUGGCAAUUUACAGCCAUUUGGUUUUUCGCCUACCUCGUAGCAACUCGUCACAACUCCUCAGCAUUGGCGGUUAGGCAUUGGUAAGAAGGGGUUAAGAGGAUGUGUGUGGGGGGAGGAACACCAUCACCUCCCCCAGAGAGCGAAGGGUGGUCCGAUAAAGGACUCCGGUGGGUGUGGCCCUGUCCGAAGCCUGUGGAGGUGUGGGCCAAAGGCACGCCCCCGAGCGGUGACCCGGGGAGCUCCUAGUUGACGUGCCUCAGCAGGAGACUCCCCCUCUAUGGUGUUAACCCUUCCCGUGUCUCCAGCAAAUGGGCUGGAGCCAGAUAGUCGAUAGGACCAAUGCCUAAGCCAAUGCCUCUCAUUCCUGAAUUCAAUAAAGUUGUGGCCUAAUUCGCCCAUUUAACCUUAAAUUUGGUGUCUUGUGUCUUUAUUUAUCCUGGUUGGGGGCGGGAACUCGCCACGCAAUACUGCAACCUGGAAGCUGCAUAGAGGAUAUUCACGACAGCUAUUUCAUAACAUUUCCUACUUUGCCCAGUUCGUACACUUGAACAUUUCCACCUCUCCCACCUGUAAAUCUUGCUCCUUCCUUUCAGCAAUCAUCCAUGCGUUAUGACCCACCAUUUGGAACCCCCAAGGACUGACUCUUUCAAUACCUUUUGCCAAUGAGACAUCCAAAAUGGUAAGUACUGUUUUGUUCCCACAACAUGCCCAGCUGCCCUGGUUGUCCCUUGUCUUCCUGGGCUAGGAAGAUUCCUUGCUUUGGGAAACAAUGAAGUAGUCAGCACAAAUAUAUGUAUCUCUGGGGGAAAUGCACAUUGAAGAAUAUUCAAGAACACAUGUUUUUCUACAGAAAGACACUCCUUGAUAUGCUGAUGAGAAUCUGAGAUUUUGCAAUUUUUAUGGGUAAGAACAGAAAGAAAGCCCAGCCUUCCCAUGGUGUCUAACCAGAUGCCUCUAGGAAGCGCAGGAACUGCACGUGUUCCCCUGUGACUGAUAUUCAUUCAGAUACAUGAUGUUUCUGAAGGUGGAAUAUAGCUAUCAUGACUAGUAGCUGUUGAUAGCUUUAUCCUCCAUGAAUGAUCUAAUCCCCUUUUAAAGCUAUCUAAGAGACAAGCUAGGCUUGAUCAUUAAAAUGUGUAUUUGCAUUUAAUGUGCAGGUCCAAAUAACCUCAGCUGGUAGGGGGUGAUAAUUGCUGAGAUAACAGCAGACACUAGAGGGGAACCUGUGAACCUCAGAAAAACUCCCUUUCCAAAGCUAGUGGUUGUACUGGGAGGAAAUCCCCCUCCCCCAAAUUUGUGACAAUGAGGAAUUUCCUCCAAAAGUAAAGUGAGGGUUUCUGCCCCCCCCCCUCAGGACAGCAAGGGUGGAAAGGGUUAAUGUCUUCCUCCAUGCCUGCUGUGAUGCUGCUAAAUAUCAGCCAACCCCAGUUGAUGCUAUUUGCAUUUUAAAACAAACUCAUACCUUAAAUUUGGUGCCCUUCCCCAGGACUUGCUAGGACAACAAAUUCCAUAGUUUGUAGCUAUGCACUGUAUAAAGAAGUACUUUCUUUUGGUCUGUCUUGAAAUCUCCCCCCGCUCAGGUUCAUUGGAAGACUCUUCAGGUUUUAGUAUUAUAAGGGAGAAAUUCUUUACAGUGGAGUUGUUCCAUCUUUUUGACCAUUUUGGCUGCCCUUUUUCUGCACUUUUCCCAAUUCUAUAAUACUAUUUUUUGAGUUGAAGCUCUAUGCAGUACUCCAAGUGUGGUCGCGCCAUCAAUUUGCAUAAUGGCAUUUACAAUAUUGGCAGUUUUAUUUUUCGAUCCCUUUCCUAAUGAUCCCUAGUGUUAAAUCCACCGCUUUCACAGCUGCUGUACACUGGGUUGACAUUUUCAUUGAGAAAUCUUCCAUGGCCCCAAUAUCUUUUUCCUUAUCAGCCACCACCAGCCCAGAUCUUUGCCUCUCCCAAAUCUACAGGAGGGUCAGAAGAGCCCCCAGUACAGCAUGUGGGAGGUAGAGAGGAGAUAUUGUUCUCUCUGGUGAGCAGAAGUGUGUUUGUUGAUGGAAUGAUCUCCGUAGCAUGACAUUGGAUUCUGCCCAGGUUUAGGAGUAUCCAUAUUCCUAAACCCAGGGUGACCUUAUGUGCUCUGUUUGAGGUGGCACAGGACUAUUAGGCAGAGUAUGGUAGCUGCCUGAGGCCAUGGAUGCUUGGGAAGGAGAAGUGGCAGCAAGAUAGCAUCAGAGAAUUGUAGAAUCAUAGAACUGCAGAGUUAAAAGGGACCCUGAGGGUCAUUUAGUCCAUCCCAUUGCAAUGCAGGAAUCUCAGCUAACUGCCAUUGAGGACAGGGCUGUGUGUGUAUGCAUGUGCCACGUGGCCUGCUCUGCAUUCUUUAAGUUGGCCUGCUGUCCUGUCACCAGUGUUGAAGGAAGAUUCAGCUGCCAGUCUGGUCAGCUUCUGUGCAUGGAAUGAGGGAGGUUGCUAUUUUGCCCUUAAAACAGCCAGAUAUCUUACCAGUUCUUAGAUGGGGAAACAGGAGAACAAGUUCUAAUCAAUAAGGAAUUCUUGGUGGUGUUCCUGGAUGAAAUUCAGCUUGUGGCUACAGUGCCCUCUCUGAUUACAAAUGUCCUCUGAGCUGUUACCCAACUGGUCACCUAAAUCAGCUCUCUGUGGUCUUUCUUUGCUUGUUGCCAGACUGUGCAAGCAAUGCAACUGUGAUCUUGGCUGCCAAAUAACAUCAGAAUAGAUGCAAAUAUGUUUGAUGCAAAACCUGGGUUUUCUUUGCAUGCAGUGCACACAGCCGUGAUCAGAGGGCUCACCUUAAUAUCUGGAAUCUCCUUCUGCAGUAUGUAGUGAUAGCUUGGAUGGCUUUAAAAGAGGACAGGAUGUUGGACGAGAUGAAGGUUUCAUCCAGCAGAGCUCUUUUAUGUUCUCAUUACAGCAGUGACUCCUCCUACCUUAAAGUCCUUUUCCAAAGUACUUUAUCCUGACCAGGCUCACCAAGUAUUGUUCUAAGGGCACUUUCACUUCUGCUUUCCCAAAGUCCCAGGGAGAAUUCCAGAUUUUCCUGUUAUGGUGCCCCUUGAAGAAUGCACACUGCAUCUCACAGCCCCCUGUGCAUAGAUAUAUGAGACCUGGUGUAGAGAAAUAACAGACCCCAAACAGGACAUGAGACAUGGGCUCUCUGGAAUAGCUUUUGCACAGGCUCAGAGGUGAACUGGGGCCUGAAGCGACAAGUAGAUGGUGGGGUGGGGCAGCUGCCUCAGCUCUUGUGGGCCCCCUGGGACAGGGCCUUAUGUGUGCCUGGGCAUUCCUCACCCCAGCAGGUGCUGGAUUAGCUUUGACAGAGACAUGCUGCCUCUCUUGUUCACUUUGGCAGCUCCAAGACAGGCAGCCUCACGGGGGAAAGAGUCCAGUUGUUUGUGUCUGCCUGAUAUGUCUCUUUGCGAAGGGCACCCGGCCUUGAUUUGGAGCCUGUGAAUCACAGCAAAUCCUCCCCUCCUCCCACAAUUGAAACAGCCUCCCUCUCUGUUGAACAGCCAGCAAAGUAUGUGAAUGUGUGUGCGUGGCAUGUGGCGUGUGUGUGUGUGUUGAAAUAGAUUGUUUUUUAAUGGAAAUAUCUUCAGCUUUUGGCAUUCCCUUCCAACCACUGCACUUCCUUUUCUCCCUCCACCCAGAGCUACUAAGAGUUGGUGGUUGUAGAUGCUGGUUAAUCUGGGGCUUUUAAUGGAUAUAUAAAAGCAGGAUCAAUGUUCCCCUUCCAACCUAAUCAGUUGAAGCAUCCUUCAAAGCCUGACUUUGUUGGCAAUUCUAGCCUCUGCCAGCCACGAGGUAUCCUACAAGCUCCCCCAGCUCACAAUUGUCAGGACGUGCUUCAAGGCUCUGAGUCUUUUGAUUCAAGCAGAAGGGGCCCGACCCUUUAUCCUUGGUGGCUCCAUCUCUAGAUUCCUGCCAGGUUGCCUCUGGGCUAAAGAGGAAGCAGGACCCUUUGAUCUGCAAAGUCCCAGGGAGGAUUUGCUCAGUGCUGUGGCUCCAUUGCUGCCCAGGGAAAUAGCAUUUCUCAGUGCACAAAUUUGCAUCACAUAGUAGCAGUUUUACUUUUGCAGAUUAGGAUGCUGUAUCUUUAACGUUUCAGGGUGUGUGUGUGUGUGUGUGUGUGUGUGCACAAACAAAUGCAAUAGAAGGAAGGCUUUGGAUCCAUGGGUCGCAAAAAAGAAAAAGCAUAGUGUUAAUAGAUAAACGAAGGAGAAGUGCUAAGGAGAGCUGGAGUAAUAGGAAUGAUCUACCCCAGUUCUACACAGUUUGACAACUCUAUAGGUGCUUAAAAUAGAUGCUCUUGCAAUUCCAUCCCAUGGUCUCAGAGAUCCAACUCAAUUACAGGGAAAGUGUAACCUUUUAAUGCGCUAUCUUUGCAGCAAAGCUUCCAACUCUAGGACAACAGCAGGAUUUGGGCUGUAAUGCUGCACAUACUUACCUGGGAGUAAUUCCCACUGAGCUCACUUCUAAGUAGACUUGUACAGGAUUGCACUGUAAAUGGGUUUGGGUGUAUAUGGGUGUACCUCCACUUUGGCUGCAUGCAGACAUACCUAACACUGUAGAAACAUGCUUGCCCCAUUUUGUUUAGAUUAAUGUAGUGUCUGUCUCCCCCGGAAGCAGUUCAGGGGAAGAGAAUUUAUUGAAAUAUAUUUAUUGAAAUAUUUUAAAACAUGUAUAUGCUGCUUUUCUGGGCCAAGUCUAUUCCAAUAAAAACUGCAAGUACAAAAACCAGUAUUUCUAAAAACAGAAAUAAAAUAGAUUCACAAAGAUAGAAUAGAUUCAGAACUAUAACAACAUAAUAAUAUCACAGCUUCUAUCCAGUGAGCAGCAUAAAAAAUAUUGCACAGGGAAGGCCAGGUGAAACAGUGAGUCUUUAAGGCCCUCCAAAAAGCCUGAAGUAUAGCUGCCCAGUGCUGUUCUGCUAGGAGGGAGUUCUAAAGGUGUGGAGCCGCCACAGAAAAGGCCUUCUGUCUUGUGGUCACCCAUCCUACAGACCUAGAAGGCAGGCACACCAAGAUGGCCUCCAGUUAUUUUAAUUGAUUGAUUGAUUGAUUGAUUGAUUGAUUAAGUGUACCAUGCUAUACCGUCAGAUCUCAGGGCAGUUCACAGGAUAAAAUCACAACAUAAAAGUACAAAAUACACAAUCAAAAUAAAAACAAAAAGAAUUCAAUAACACCCCCCAACACAUUUUAAACAGGCAUAGGAUGUCAAUCAGCCAAACGCCUGGUUAAAGAGGAACAAGUUGAGAUCUCAGUGUGUGGGCAGGAUGGUACAGGAACUGGCAGGUAAUUUGAAGGCAAACUGUUUAGGUUCCCUAUUGGUUGUCUGCAGACCCCAGAGGAUCCAUGUAACCCACACAGUGGGUCUGUGGGACCAUUCACAUAACAAAGACUACCGUAGAGAUAGCAACAUUUUGAAAAGUAGGGGGUUCUGCAGGCACUGGUUCAGACUCUGAGAAGCCUCCCAGAUUCCAGAAGGUGGGAAAGAAAGAUAGAACUGCAUGUUAUCAGCAUACUGGCGAUGCUGCAUCCCUGACCUUUGGAUGACUUCCCCCCCAGCAGCAUCAUGCAGAUGACUAAAAGGCAUGGGGGAGAAUAUAGAAACAACUCUCCCAGCCUCCAUAAACCAAAGGCUUUGUGGUAGAGCAAGAACCCCCCCCCCCAGCACCACCAUCUGAGGAUGCUCAUAUCAGAAGCACUGCCCAAAAAAAUGUCCUGAAGAUCCAGAUAGUUGGUAUCAAAAGUUGCUGGGAGGUCCAGAAUAGCCCUACCCCUGUUCAUUUUUUUGGCAUAAGGCCUCCAUCGGUGCAAUGGAGGCCAUUUUUUUUUCAAUGAAUCUGGGGACACUUUUCAACUUUAAUGGAUUUUGUAUGGGGACUGAUUUGUAAAUCCGGAGACUGUCCCUGGGAAACGGGGACAUCUGGUAACUUUACCAUAGCUGGGCUUGGAUGAAUUGAGAUUAAUCAGAUAACCAACAUUCUCCAUUGUGAGGCCACAACCCACUCUAAGCCCUUGCCGCCAAACGGCAGAUUUUGCAUGUUCAUAGGAGAAGCUGGCUGCACACCAUAUUGAUUUGCUUGGAGCUGGUGAUGCCACUGACCAACAUCUCCAGUCCCCCUUGAAGCUGUAUUUUUAUGCUAGUGGAUAAUGGUUCCCCUGGCUUUGCCAGUGUUAUCAUCCUAAGUCAUGGAACACUGCCCAUGCACACAACUUACAAAAUCAUGUGUAUGAUUUUUGCAUUUAUUUAUUCAAAACAUUUUUAUUCUGAAAUUUGCGUAAAAGACCCUGAUUAGUGACCUAUAAAACAUCAGUAGUAAGGUAGUCCUUGCUUACCAGUCAACAGACAUGACACAUAAGGAAGAAAGGAAGAGGAGGGAGGAGUGGGGGAAAACCAAGCUCAUGCACCAGUUCUUGAAGUUGCAGUUUAUUGCAGCAACCAACUGGAAUGCAGUGGCUGCAGCUACAUCACAGUUGAGACAGGGCCAAAGUAAGUCUCUCCACAGAGGCGAUGAAAUAGCCCUGCUUCUCCUCUGUACCCAGAUGGAAACAAUAUGAAAUGGCAGUGUAUAAAUUCUUUAUGUUCAAUUUUAAAAUGUGGCAUUCAUAAGGAUUGCACUGGUAACACUGAUAAAAGGUUCUCCCUCCUCAUAUGUGUAUAACCAGCUGUCCAUCAAUACUCCCCCAUCAUUCCUUUUGUUUACAGUGUAGCCUUUAUUUGCUAGUGACUCUGAUGGUACUAUGGAGGAGCAGAAUUGUUCAAGCCAUCUGCUCCUUUGGAAGACCUUGCGAGGUCUGGCAUGGAGGGGUCUUCCUUGCUGACAAUGGAAACGCUGGCAUUGUGGUAUUUUCUAAUAGCAGUGAAGCCACUGCACCAGCUUCUGAAGCUGCCUCUCCUCUUCUGCUGCACCUAAGGGAUUGGAGUGAAUGGCUCUCUCUCUCUCUUAAUAAUAAUAAUAAUAAUAAUAAUAAUAAUAAUAAUAAGUAAAGCUCUAUGAGAUUUGCAUUGCUAGUCCUACUGUUCAGAUAAGCUAAUAUACUCUUUGAUCCUAUGGAAAUAUGGCUAAUUUCCAUAUGUUGCAAAGGCUUUAGGGAGGGAGAGAGCAAGCACAAAGCUGGCUUUAAUACUUCAGUCAAAUCAUUUUUAGCAGGCUUGAAUUUGCAGAAGCAUAGAUUAGGACAACAUGUUUCUCUUUCUGCAACUUUUGUUCUCACCCUAAUUACAGACAAUGCACUUAAUGAUGUUGCUGCAGCUACAUCAGGCUGGCUUGCUUGAGUUCAGUGGAAGCUUGUUGCUUCUAUACUACCUGGCCUGCCUCAGCUAAGGGAGGGGUGAAAUUUUUAGAUCUCUGAAAUACUUCAAAGAAAAGAAGAAAGGGCGGGAGAGUUGAUGGCUCUGCUCCUGAUCUAUGCUUUCUCUUGCAAACGAAUCCUGUGGAAAAUCAAGGCAGCUGAAAUGAGCUCUUUUUAUAUUUUUAACAUCUGUGGUGCACACUAAAGUCAAAAGAAGACAGCAAUCCUAGCAAUGCUUACUGGGAAGUAAGUCCAAUUGAACCCAGUGGGGCUUUCGAAUAAGUAUGUUUAGAGUAGGACUGUAAAUGCUGCUCACAACCAACACAUCACACAGCCUGUCUCUUCUACAAAGUCCUCAAGUCCUGCCCUGUGAUCUCAGGCAGACUACACUUGCCCAUCUACCUCACAUUUUUUAACUGCACACAGCUACUCUCAGGUUGCCCAGGUGCUGCACCCUUUGCUUAGUUUUUGGCUAAUUACCUGCUUCUUAUUUCAUGAAAUUGUUCCCUAAAAAACAACAACAAGGAACAAUCCAUUUUAAUUCUAAAAAGGGAACCAUUCCUUGAAAGAAGGUAGAAACAGGUAGAAAGCCCAAGAGACUCUCCCACUCUUUCCCUCACUUAAGAUCAUUAAAAGCCCUUCUGGAUCAGGCCAAAGGCCCAUCUAGUCCAACAUCCUGUUCUCACAGCGGCUGACCAGAUGCCUGUGGGAAGUAGGCAAGCAGAACUUGCCUUUGCAUUUCAAGCAGCUUGCUCAAGUUGCGAGCCAAAGAGAAGGUGGAUUUCUGCACAAAGGAGGGAUGAUUCAACUGCUAGUGAAGUCGCUUCUGUAACAUUGGAAGGUGGUGGCAUCACCUUGUCCAUCAAGCAGCAAAAUGUCUUGACGGCUAACCCUGCUCAGAAGGCUGGAGUGCUCUAUUUGCAGCUUCUGCUGUUUACAGUUUCUUCAAGCUCUGUGACUGGCAUCGACCCAGUAGAACCUCCUUUAUGUUCCUUUUUAUGUUCCCUCCAAGUGUCCCUAUUUUCCAGGGAUGUCCCUGAUUUAGAGAAGCCAUUCCAGUUUUUGGAUUUGAUCCCGGAAUGUCCCACUUUUCCUUAGGGUGUUCCUAUUUUCAUUGGAGAAAUGUUGCAGGGUUUGGAGUUAUCUGACCCGAGUCAUUUGAAGGCAAUCCUAUAUAGGGUUUUAUUUUAUUUUAUUUUUAAAAAAAGUUUAAUGUUUUAUUAUGUUACUAUAUAUGUUGGAAGCUGUCCAGAGUGGCUGGGGCAACUCAGUAAGAUGUGUGGGGUUAUAAAUAGUAAAAUUAUCAUUAUGGAAUGGGAUGUUCCUAUUUUCGUCAGAGAAAUGUUGGAGGGUAUGGGAACACAAGGCCCUAUAGAUGUUGUAGUACAACACUCAUCAUCCCCAACCACUGGUCAUGCUGGCUGAGCCUGAGGGGAGCUGGAAUUAACAACAUAUUGUGGAUCACCCCUCCUUUGUGCAGAUGUCCACCUUUGCUUCUCUUUGAAAUACUGGCAACAAGAGCGGGUGCUCCACCACACUUGAAUGAAGUUGGUUAGUUAUGGGGUGAAGACCAAGCCACAAGGCACACAGCUGUGUCCUUCAACAGAAAGAUACAGUGUGGCAGAGGGAGGGAUUCAGGAGAAAUCGACCAGGAGCUGCCCCUGCUGCCCCCACCCCCUGCCACCUGAGGAGGUUGCCAUUGACUCACUCUGACUUCUGGUAGGGCUGGCCCUGCUUCUGGCAGGCUCUUCUUGUUUAGGGAUCUGUUAAGAAGCUACUGAGGGCUGGGUCAAUGAGAGAGGGGACCAGGAGCUCCAUUUGGUUUGGGUCUCAAGCUCAAAGAAGACCCAAAAUGUAGACAGGUUAAUUUGCUGACGUUUGAUAAGUUUUGCAACUUAUGCACAUCAGAACAAAAUGUGACACACACUCUCAGCUUUGAGCUGCAAAUCUGAGCAAACAAGAUGUGCUUGGGUAAAAGACUUCUUUUGUUGUGGCUGUUCUGUUAACUGAGACUGUGUAUGCAUUGCUGUUUACUCUGGCUCCAGGGCGCUUUCACUUCUGGUGUUUGAAGCUGAGUAUGCGUGAUGUUAGCCACAAUCCAUAUGUAUGCUGUAGUCUUGAGAAAUGCUCCUGUUUGACGUGUUUUUCCUCAAAUCACCUUCCAUCCAAUUUAAAAACAUAAGCCACGGUUAAGCCGAAGUGUGUACAUUUGGGACAGCUGUUGAACCUGUGCAGAUGACAGCUUCACAAACAGAAGUUCUAUGGGAGGGUGCUUGCAGGUGUGGAGAAACAAAUCAGGUGCUGUGUAUCAGGUGAUGACAUCUUCGUCCAGACUGUGGUGUGUGUGGCAAAGUGCAAGUGUGACUAGAAACGCAACAAGCAAGGAGGCAUUUUAAGCUGCAGGUGUAUACCCAGCCUGAUACAGGGUUGUAUCCAAUGAAGUCUUUCUGCAAGUACUUCUACCCUCAGGAGAGGGAGAGAAAGUCCUGUUGAGCAGGCAGAAGUCCUUGUGCUAACGGGAGGGCUUCGUUAGAUACAAGUCAACCCAUUGAUUUUGUCAUAUUAAAGAGUUUAAAAUGUUCAUAAAUAUUAAUAAGAAAUAUUGAUUCUGAUGGCACAAGAUUAGACCAUGAUUAACAUGUUCUCUCAGAUCAGCUGAUUAUAUAAACAAAUCACUCACGUUUUUUCUUUUUCGGUGCCUUGUUUUUGGGUGUUGUCAUUAAAAUAUACAUAUUAUUAUGGCUAAUGCCCUCAAAAGCUGGAAGUGGCCUGGGCUUCUCUGAACCUCUGAGAGGGCUUGCCUGAACAACUUUAAAAAUCCUUGUGUCUUCUACAUUUUUGUGGUAUUCCGGGGUUGUAGCCCAUCCUGCACUGCUUUCUAACCACAUGCAGGAUUACAGCCUUUAUGAACUCAUUUAUAUUGCUGGCCUUCAUCACUUUCAGGCUCUUUUCAGGCUUUCAGUUUUCAGCAUGAAGAAAUGCUAAACAUUUCCCAUUUGUUGCAGAAAGUCCAGACAUCUUCCCUCGAGGCGGCACUCCUGUUGCUGGAAUAUCACAUUUCCCAAGCACUCAAGCCUUAAUGUUUUUCAGUGGGAGCUCGUGGCUUUGUCCGCAGAGAGAGGACAUCAUUUGCAGCUACUGUAUGGUGUGUUUCAGAGCAGAGGGUGGGGAAACCUGUGCCCCUCCCGGAUAUGCUACACUCUAACCCCCACCACCCGUAACCAGCACGGCCAAUAGGCAGGGAUUACGGAAACUGAAGCCCUGUAACUUCUGGAAGGCACGAGGCUCCCUACUCCUGUUUUAGCACAUGAGAACUCCCUGUACAGGGCAGUAGCAGUCACCAAAAGGCCACACCCUGGCCUGGCCACUGCUGCAAUGCCACACCAUCUCAUUUGCUUUUAUUUUAUUUGAAGGUUGUGCAUUCCUCUCUCCAGCAUGGUGCACAUUUGCCCUGAUAUAUGUAUAUGCAUAUGCAUAUUUCAAGCAAUGUGAGUGGCAAUGAACUCUCCCCAUCCAUUACAACCAAACUGGAUAUUGCUCUAUUGCCCUUGAAGGGGAAAUAGCAGGACUACAGUGAAAGGACUAGUGCAGUUGAAACACACACUGAUUAAUGCAAGAAAAGGGCCCACCUAAUUCAUCAUCCUGCUUCUACGCAGUGGCCAGCCAAUGCCUCUGAAAAGCCUGUAAGUAUGGCAUGAAGGUAGCAUAUUUGUCAUUUGGCAUUCAGGGUUACACUACCUCUGGACCUGGAGGUUCCACUUAGCUAAUAACUGACAUAGACCUGUGCUCCAUUAUUUUGAAUAACCCUUUUAAAAGCCACCCGUUACCACUGUUUUUUGCUGUCACCAUCUACAGUGAUCAUGGAGCCCAAGAAAGUAAAAUCUCUCACUGCCUCCAUUUCUUCCCCUUCUAUUUGCCAGGAGGUGAUGGGACCAGUGGCCAUGAUCUUCGUUUUUUGAUGUUGAGCUUCAGACCAUAUUUUGCGCUCUCCUCUUUCACCCUCAUUAAAAGGUUCUUUAAUUCCUCCUCACUUUCUGCCAUCAAGGUUGUGUCGUCUGCAUAUUUGAGGUUGUUGAUAUUUCGGGACUUCCGGGUUAGCGAGGGACUUCCGGGUUAGCGCCAUCGGCGAAUGGCGGAGUUCCUCCGACCGGAGGAACUGGCUCCAUGGAAACUGGGUCUUCCCGCCGCGGCGAAGGUGAGAACCCGCUAGAAAUCCCAGGCGGAGGAAGCCUGGGAACGUGGGGUUCGGCAGGGCACCAGGAGCGCCUCCCCUACUCACGGAGAACCCCAUUUCGGGAUUCCAGAGUGAAGUGGGGUGAGUGGCGCGGUGCUGCGAACUGAUUGCUACUUUCACAGAGUGAAGCCGCACAGCCAUUGCCGGAGAGCGCUGACUUUUUCCUGUGGACAAUUGGAUCUAAAACAAGUACCCGUGAGUAGAAACGGAAAAUUGGAUUAAGAAAUACCCUAAUUUGGCACCGAAGCGGGAAGGUUCAAACAGGAAGUCCGCCUUCCGCUUUUUGUACAUAGACUGAAGCAAAAACCUUGUAAGCUAAAGUCUGGAAAGUCGUUAAAAAAGUCUAAAUUUCCUUCAUUUAUAACCACUAAAACCCCCUUGGAAGCAGGAGAAAAGGGGGGGGGAAUCUUUGUUUAAGCCUGCAGGAGAGGGAGUGAAGAAAGAUAAGUUUCCACCGUCUCAAACCUGGGAAGGGGGGGGGCAGAGACAGAAAUUGUUGGAGAGGUUCACUGACUGUGAAUGGAAUACUUUGACAGAUAGCUAAAGAAGAGAAAUAAACUGAUUCCAAUGUUGCCUUUUGCAUUCUAAAGAAACAAAAUAUCUGAAAUAUGAAAGUAAUUUUCCUUUGUUGGACUUGCCUUCAAAAGAUGGAUUCAAAUAGAAUUUGUCUCCUCGAGAGGGAGCUUGUGAAAUUGUUGCUGCAGUCUACUUGAGGUCUCCACAGCUGUGAGAUUAAGAUCGUGGGACCAGUCCUUUGACCUCGAAUAAAAAUGAGCUGGGAGGAAGUUUUGGUGCUUGCUUUAUGCAAGACAAGUGCUUUGUUGGAACAGAUGCAUGAGAAGAUGGAUCUGAUGAAUGAGAAAACGGAUUUGAUGACUGUUGUGGUCAAUAACUGUGGACAAAAAGGGAAUAUUGAUACAGAAACCAUUCAGGGACCAACUCAGGAACCUGUAUUGAUUGGGCAAGUGCAGAAGAUAAUGGAGGAGGUUGCGGUUGCACCUCAAAUAAUACAAAUGGAGAGACCUGAGGCCCUGCAGGAGCUUAAGCCGCUGUUUUUGAAGAUUGAAGUUGGAGUGGGCCAGGGGGAGUCUGGAGCUGAGGAGGUUCUUAACUUCGGAGGGACUUUGAAAUAUGCUCUUAAAUAUUUUUUGGAUUACAUUGAUGAUUGUGGGGAGUGGGACUGUGGGGAAUGGGCUGGUUUGAUGAAGGGAGAUGGAGAUAAUCUUGGGCUGGAACCUCCCAGAGACCUACUCCUCAAUGAGAAAGGAAAGAAAUUAAGAAAGAGACCAACAAAAGACAAGGAAAAGUGCAGGUAUAAACAAGAAGAAGAAGAUCUGCAGAAGGGACAUGGAAGAGACUUAAGAGCCUCGGACAUAAGAUUACCAGGUUGAUGGACUAGAUGGAAUGGACAGUAAGGACUGACAUGACCUGAGACCAGGAAGAAGAGACGCUGGAUGAAGAUUGGAAGAAAAUUUAUAAAGAAAACUUUUUAUUUAGGGAAUUAGCCUAAAAUUAAUGAAUAUUAGGGAAAAUGUUGGAAUGAAACUAUAUGGCUUUAGUAGAAAUGAUAUAAGGAGUUAUGUAUAAUUGAGUAUUAAGUUUCAAGCUCUAAGGUAUUUUACGGUAAGAUAAGGUUAAAUAAAUUAAGGUAAUUUGAAUAACAGAAUAUGGGGAAAGAUGGAAAGGAUUUGUUGAGUUAAUUAAUAGGUUAAAUUGUUAAGAUAAAUUAUUCAAUAAAAAUUGAGAAAGAUGGAAAGAAUUUGCUGAAAAUAACUAAUUAAACUAGAAUACAAAAAGGGAGGUGUGAGGAGGUCAAUGAAACAAGCAAAUGGAAGUUAAAGAUAUGUAACAUGGAUUUGUGUCUUUUUUUUAUCUUUUUGCUAUAUUGUUGUAUUGGUUUCUAUGCUUUGGUUUUUUUCCUUCUUUUUUAUGUAUUGUAGUGUUGUUUCCUAUUUUUUCUAUUUUUCUGUAAUUCCUUAACUUUUAAUAAAUAUUAUUUUUUUUUAAAAAAAAGAUAUUUCUUCCGGCAAUCUUAAUUCCGGUUUGGGAUUCAUCCAGUCCAGCCUUUCGCAUGAUGAAUUCUGCAUAUAAGUUUUAUUACAGCAGCCUAAUGGUACAAAUGCAGCAGCUGAUCCAUGUGCUCUUACAAGGGAAAGAAGUAACAACAAAAAAUGUAGUACAAGAGCAAGGGCACAAAGGUCAGGAGUUCAUGAGCAGCAGCAAAAAGAUUGCAUGGGCUCUACAAAGUUGUCCCAACAAGUUUCCCUGCCUACCUGUCAAGGUUUUGAGCAGAGGCAGAGAAAGCUCAGUUAUGUGCAAGAAUCCCUCUCCUGUGGGAAUUGCUGGUCUGCAUUUCUCCUGGGAUGAUGAGGGGACAAUCUCUCAUCUCUUGAUGCCCUGCCUCUCCCUGGGAUCCUUGGGCACUCCUCCUGCCUUUCCCCAGCUGGCUGGAUCCCUAAGCCUCCCACAUAAUCCUCCAUAGGAUGGGAAGGCAUAGCCUCUGGGUCUCAACCAACAGCCUUGGAGGAAACAACAUAUAAUGGCUGAAAAUUGCACUCCAGAGUUAAAACAGGUAGUUUUGAUCAUAGAAUCAUAGAGUUGGAAGGAAACACGAUGGUUACCUAGUCCAACUCACUUCAUUGCAGGAAUCUUUUGUCCAAUGUGGGGCUCAAACCCACCACCCUGAGAUUAAGAAUCUCAUGCUGUACCGGCUGAACUAUCCCUUGAGACUUUGAUGGCGGCUCCCUGUUUUUCAACCCUUUUCCAAAUAAUUCCUAAUGUUGUGUUUGCUUCCACCCCCAACACACACACAUUAAAGCAACUAAAACCAGCAGGAGAUGCACAAUAUAUGACAAUCCUGCCCGCAGGCUUACAAUCUAAUUGAAGGUGGUACACAUUAAGCGAAAGAACGCAAAAGGUAAAGAACGGUCAGCCCCAAGAAAAGCCAGGCUGAAGAAGAGAUUUGUCUUUGAGAGGUGCUGGGAAAUUAUAUUAGAGGAAGGUAGUCCGAUAUAGGAAAGCUUUCUAAUGGAAGGGUGCUGAGAGACAGGGGGGCAUUGAUGGGGCACAGAGGCAAUAAUGAGGCUUAAGUAAAAGAUUGACAUUUGGCUUGUCAGUAGAGCAAAGAACCCGGGCAGGAGCACAGAGGAGUGUUUGAAUCAUGGAGGAGAAGGCAGGGAGGCCUGUGCAAAAAUCCUCAACACUCACCUUCCACCCAACCCCACAUCAUGUCCUCCUGUAGCCUUCUGAAAAUAGGAGUUAACAUGGUGGACUGGGGCCUCCUCUGCUCCCCACUUAAUUCAAGCACUGGCAGAAGAAGAACCAGGGUGGGGUGGGGUGGGGUUUGAAAAGUAGAGGGGCGAGAUCUCAUUUGAUCACCUGGACAAAGACUUAGAAGCGGAAAAUUUCACAAACAAGCUCUGUAAAAAAAUGUUGCUUUUUGUUGGUUUCAGUCAAUCUUGUGGCAUGCAUACUAAUUUCACUAGGUACCCUCCUGUGCCAGCAUUAAGUGGAAGGGUAAGCAACGAUUCCCUCUUCAUUAUAUAAUUAUGCAUACUUCAAUCAUAUCCCUUCCUUUUGGUCUGUUUACCAAGUUGCCAUGCUAAAUGUUUUACUUUGUUCUUGUGUGGAUGGAAAAUCGAUUCAUAUACCACACUUGUCCAUAUGUCUGUGUUUGUGUGCUUGUGUACUCACCUUCCCCACCAGAUUUUUGAAAUGGGGUGACACAAGCAUUCAGUAUGGAUGCCUAUAGAUUUAUAUGCAUCCCCCUCCCCAACUGUUUUGAAUGGUUUUUUACCUUUUCCUACUAUUUCUUACUAGAUCUGUUUCCACUUUCAAUGGCAGAAGCAUAUUAUGCUGACGUCUUGCAGGAGCUAUCCAUUAAUAAUAAGAACUCUCCCUACCCCAUGGGCCCAAAAGCAUCCUCCACCAUAUGCCAUUUUCAAUUAAGGGUGCACUGAUUUGUUUCCUAAGGAUACAGGGGUUUUUUUAGCAGGUGGAGGGCAUCCAGAAAACAAUAGUAGUUGAAGGGAGGGUGAACUAUGCAAAAGUCAGUUAGGAAAGCACUGCUUCCACUAGCCGUUUUCUCCAGAAUUGUUUGCUUACUCAGUUUUUACAAAUAAUCAAGAUGAGAUCAUUGCCAAACUGUUGUACAAUGCUUGCUUUCUGUGUUGACCAACCUUUUUUCAGACUCGGUGGGUUUUUAGAAAAAUGUAAAAUGCAAUCACUGUGCCAGCCUGUCUGGGGACUGACACAGCACUAGUGAGGCUUCUCCCAGCUACUGGCCCUUUAAUUGAGGAGUGGGAAACCUCAAGCCAAAGGCUUUUCUGUCUGGCCCUUGAGGUGUUCCCCAGGCAGCAUUCAUCACCCAUGAGGCCACAAUCCUUCUCCUCAGGCCACACGCCGUGCUGGUCCUGCUUUGCACCUUCUUUGACUGUGUUUGCCUAGCUGGAAUGUGCCCUUGAGCCCCAAUCAUGCUCCUUGUUUGCCCAGGCCCUAGAAAAAGGAAAUAAGGUGUGUGUAUAAAAUAGCCAACUGCACAAAUGUAAAGUUCACAUUUGUUGCAUCAUUCCAUUUGUUGUCUCUGGUUCCACCCACCACUGACAUGUGGCCUCCAUAAGGUUAUCAGGAAGCGACUGAAAAAGUUCCGCACUCCUGCUGUCAUUAAUCAGUUCCUCAUACCUUCCAGCCACAAGCUGCUCUUCAGUUUCUUACUUGUAGCCAGAGCAAUCUCAUUGGUUGGAUGAUGAUGAUGAUGAUAAUAUUAAAUUAUUUAUAAAUAAUACAACAUUAUAUAUUAUAUAUUCAUAUUAGUAGUUUUAUUUUAUAUUUUAUUUUAUUUUAUUUUAUUUUAUUAUUUUAUUUUAUUUUACAAGCAAACAAAAAUUGGGGUGGUGGUGAUUAUGCUUACUUCCAGCCAUUGGCCAGAGGAGGAGGAGGAUCUGUGGGAAGCCCUUGAGAGACUGCAGCCCUUCCCACCUGCACAAAACAUAAUGGGCAAGGGAAAGACCAGCCUGACCUCAGCCAUUGGCUACAGAAGCAGCAGCUGCAGGGGAAAGGUUACUUGCUGGCAACAGCCACUUACCCCUGGGACUUUAGGAAUUUGAGGAAGCCUAAUCUGCUUCCAGCCAGGGGGGUGAAGGGUCCUGGGUCAGGCACAACUGCCUUGCUCUGUCGUUGUCAAAUCGGCCUCCCUCCCACGUCUUUCCUCUCCACCCUACUCUUUUGUAUGCCUUCUUAAGUUUGUAAUCUUGAGGGCACAACCUCUUUUUGUAGGAGGGAGAGAAUUGCUGUGAACUGCUUGGGGAGAUGAUAUCUGUCUGAAAAGUAGAGUAUAAUACAGUAAAUAAGUAGAUAUUCAGGGCUGUGUAGAGCCACCAUUAUAAUUCUGCUUCCAGCUGAUUGCAGAAAAGCAACACCCUCAACCUCUCUGUGAAGAGCCUUAAGACCUGUGUUCACCUUCCUGGAUUACGAUGCAACGAGGGCAUUCUUUUUUUCAAUUUGGAUUGAAGCUGGUUUGGGGGGAAAGCACAUCCAAGUACAGUAUUUCCUUUAAAAAGUGCAGGAUAAAUAUGGAUUGUGGCUAACAUCACAUGUACACUGCCUCCCGAACCAGUGCUGGGUGUGCACUGGUUGCAGAGUGCACUGAACGGGAGUGUAGAAGCACUGGAAUAUGAUAAUGGCAAUUCAGGGGGAAGUCUUGAGGCUGUAAGAAUAGAAUGACACAAUGAUUUAUUUGUUUUAUGUAAAACAUUUCUACACUGCCCUUCAGCAGUGUUUCCAGGGCAGUUUACGAAAAUGAGAUGAAAUACAAAUAAAACAUGCGUCCCUCCUUAAAGCUGCAAUCCUGAACGCAUGUAUUAGGGAGUCAGCCUCAUUAACUUCAGUGGGACUUGCUUCUGAGAAAAUAUGCAUAGGAGUGUGCUGCAGAUCUACCGUACUUUCAAGAUCAGCAAAUGAGCACUGAUCAUUCUUUCUUGCACACUUUAGAGAAGCAGAUACAUUACGUGUUUAGUAGUUCCAACUAUGUUAUACUUUUGGUGAAAUGAUCACACAAUACUUUUCUUUUAGCUGUUUUCAGAACUAACCAUUAAUUUGGAUUCUGGAAUUUGCACUGGGUUUAGUAGAGCCUUAGAAUUAUAGGUCAGUUAUGCCUAUGUUAUUUUGAUUAUCUUUCUACUUCUGUGCAAGCCAGCUGCCAAUGGUUUGGGCAGCGUAUCCACCAACCUCUGCUCUGCAUGCACACAUGCACACACAUUCACCCUACUCAUUCAUGCACACACACACACACAUUCCAUAAGCAUGUGCUUGCUUAUCUUCUCACUAGUAAAUAAACAAAAAUAACCAACCUGCACCUCUUGACCUCUUGUCAAGGUUAUUUAUUGUAUUUUGUAACCCGCUGUGUCCUUCUGAGGAAGUAAGAAAGAGCUGGGACCUGCUGGAGAAGGGUGGGUUAUAAUAAUAAUAAUAAUCAAUGCUUUUUUCUGGGGGGGAUGCAGGGGUAUGCAUACUCCUUUUUUUGAAUCUUUGUACUUUUGUCCAUUUACUGUAUUUAUUUUUCCCAAUUUGAACUUUAAAUGGUGAUUUUCUUGAGUCAAAAUGAGAGUAACCCUAAACAUUUUUUUAAAGAAAAAAGUACUACUACUACUACUAAUAAUAAUAAUAAUGAGUUCUGCAUGAAGUGACUAGGAGACAGAGUAGGCUAGACGGCACUGACAUGGUGAAAAUCUGUAGCUAACUGCCUGCACUGAUUGUUUCUUGUGACUGGUGCGGCAACAUGCAUUCUUUCGAUCCCUCAGCUGUCUAAGUCCCAACCAGUGGCUAAACGAGAAGGAUGGAGCUAAGUUUGGGUUUGAUUUGUAUGUGUGUGUUGAAAGAGAGGAAACCUUUAGAAGAAUCCUUGUAACAAACAAGUUGCGCAGGUGCAUCUCCCAUCAGGGCUCUGCUGACCAAAGAACAAGAAAAGCUGCAGCGGCGUGAGGACUGGGCUCCACUUUGCAGCACACAGUGCUGCAAAGUAUCCCUGAAUGGCCUAUGCUAAAAGGACAGUGGAGGGCAAGAAGAUUGCCUGAGUGUACUGAUGGGAGCCUCUCACACUUUCUCCCAUGUGUUGGUCUCCUGUGAUUGCUCUAUAUCACCACCUCUAGGGUCAGAGGCAGUGGACUGGGAGUCACAAGUGGGGAGAGCGGUGUUGCACUCAGGUCCUUCCUGUGGGUUUCCCAUAUGCACUUGGUUGGCCACUGUGGAAAUGGGCUUCUGGAAUAGAUAGGCCUGUGACCUGACCUGGUUCAGCAGGGCUCUUCUCAUGUUUCUUAAGACAGUUAAGAGGGAGCCGUGCGGUGUGCCCAGGCAAAAGCCGUUCUUUCUUAUCAGUCAAGUGCCAGGCCAAGGUGAGUGUCGGCUGCACAGUCUCUUCUGGUGGAGUCUCCUGGCUCGUCUGCCGGUGCCGACACUCUCACUGCUCCAGCGACACAACACAGCACCUGGCUCGUCUCCAAGUGCAAUGAUACCGGAUUAUGAGCUAGCUGUUACAAACGAGCCAGUAAUUAUCAUAAUCUGGUAAUUGAGAAAAAUCUAAUUAUGCAAAGCUAAUGGAUUUAAAGCCUUGCUUGAAAGUGUGUGCCUCUAUGUGUGUGUGUGUGGAGAGAGAGAUGGGGAGGUGGAUCACGCUGAAUCUGAGCAUUGCUAUCUGGGAGCCUGUGUCUAACGGAGGAGGCUCAUUUCCCCAUACCCAAGAAGUUGCCAUCUGCUCAGGGGUAACAAUGGGUCUUCUUCAUCAGCUUUCUCAAGCAGUCCUGGGGGGGGGGGUCGAAGGAUGGGAGGACAUAAUUCCUUUCAAAGGUGUAUAUGGGAAGCAAUUCAUAAGACAGCAUGGUCAGUCCUAAUCCUCUUGCAACCCCCCAUAAGUUGUUAGUAAUUGAAUCAUCCAUCCACACCCUCAUCCCCAGAACGUGAGUGUGAAUGAGCAGCAGGUUAAACUGUGGCCAAAGGGAGUAUGGGAAGGUGAGACGCAGUUAUUGAAAACAGCGUCUGUGAACAGUGGUACUGUAUUAGGGCAGAAGUCCAGGCUACCACUCAGCCCACUCAGCAGGAGGGCUCCCAAACACAGCUGACCAUUUGAACAUUUGAAAGUGUGAAAUAGUAGACAUUGCCAUCUAAAAAAAGGGAAACCCCUCUGCCCUCCAAUACAACCAUUGCAUCCAUUAUCUAAAGCAGGCCCUUGGACUCCAACUCCCAUCAGCCCCAGCCAGUAAGACCAAUGACCAAGGAUAAUGGGAACUGAAGUCCCUCAACAUCUGGAAGAUCACAGGUUCCCCAUCCCUGGUCUAAAAUUCCCUCACUGAAGCACUGUCAGUGAAGUGGGUGUAUGGUUGGCAGAAUGGGCAAAUGGUGUGGGGACAGUGACUGGCACCCUUGAGUGUGGGGGGGAUGACUCCAGAAAUUGCAGCCCUUGUCCAGCCCUGCCUCUCUCCCAGGAGACUGCAUUAAAGGAUCCAGGUAAAUCUGGCUUUCUCCCUGAUCUGCCUCAGCAUGCCUGCACUGUAUAAUUCUAUCUCUGUUUAAAUACUUUUCCUCUCAAAAGCUUUUAGCUGUUCUUUCCCAUCUCUCUCCUAGGAGACGUUCCUUUACCCCCCACCAGCUCCUAGUUCAAAUCAAUUACCCUUCACCCAUCAAGUGAAAGCUUGUUUGUUCAUUCAAUUACGGUAUAUGUCUAGUCCACUGUGAACUAAAUCAAAUAUUCAUGCCUUCUACUUUCCUUUAUAAUCUCCAUACUCUGAGUAAGAUUCCCAGGUUCAUACCCUCAUUUCUGGGUCCCUCUAAACUGAUGCAGUGAGACAUGUGUUUGGGGCUGUUGGCAACCCACCCUUUCAAUUUUUAACCAUCAUCAUAUGCAGAGUAGACUGUCCAGAGCAGACUUUGCUCUCUAGAUGUUUUGGUGUACAACUUCCAUCAACCUGGGCUGGUGUAGAGGUCACAUCUAGAGGGCACAGGUUGGCAAACCCUGAUCCAAUGAAUCCGGAUUUCUCUCCGAAGCAUUUUAAACCCUGCUGUGAUUACUCCCAAACCCCCUCCCUCUUUUUUUUUUAAGAGAGAGCCCUGCCCAGGCAUUCCCUAGUCACCACAACUGUGGCUGUCAGUUUGAAUGAGCAUGCAUUAAUCUGCAACAGUUAGAAGGGAUUUCUUCAUGUCUAAAAUUGAGGGACUGAAUCUAUUUCACCCCCAAGCUUGAAAACAUCUGUCCACAGCAGCCUAUACUUACCCAUAUAUGUUUUCAUGCCUUUCUUAAACCUUAACACAGGCCACAUAUUGACCUCGGCCCCAUCUGCACUAUACAUUAAAGAAAUAUCCUGCCACUUUAAACAGCCAUGGCUUACCCCAAAAGAAUCCUGGGAACUGUUGUUAUGUAAGGGUGCUGAGAGUCGUUAGGAGACCCUUACCCCUCUCACAGAGGUACAGAUUGCAGAGUUCCCUGGAAAGAGGGAUUGACUGUUAAACCACUCUUGAGAAUUGUAACUCUUUGUAGGGGGGACUAGGUGCCUUCUGACAACUCAGCAAACCACAGUUCCCAGGAUUCUUCGUGUGUGUGGGUGUGUGAAACUAUGACUUUUUAAAGGCAGGAUUCAGCUUUAAAUGUCUAAUGCAGCUGGGGCCCUAGAAAGGCUGCUGGGGACCCACACUCCUGACACUUUUCCACAGGGGCUGCUAUGAACAGGGCUAUAAGCUGCCUAAGUUCUGAAGAGGUCAGUGGGUGGGCAUGGAUGUGCUUAAGGGGACAACUUCAGAACUUCAGGGUGUAAUUUGUAGAGUUGUGCCAUUCACCUGAGUCCUGGCCUGCUCAUUAGAAUCCCUCAGGCUGAUGCUCAUAGCCCUAAGGGUAGGUAGGGCUCACACAGAAGUUUUAUUUUUAGGUAUUUAUAACAUUUCUUUUACAAAUUCCUUCCCAGGAAACAUCCCAAAGUGAUUUAGCAAAAACAUGUAUAAGAACAAUUUGAAAUGUUAGUUCAAAAGCAGACUGGAAUAAUAAUAAUAAAAACUCUACUUAAAAUGCUUGUUGAAAAGACUAAGGUCUUCAGUGAGCCUAAGAGACAACAGAGGUGGUACCUGUCUGGCAUGUAACAGGAAGGAGUUUCAAAGGGCAGGUGUAGCCACACUAAAGGUCUAAUUCUGACAUCCUAGGGAGGGGACCUUCUGGUGAGAUGGCAUCAGCAGGAGGCCUUCUUUUGCAGAGCACAGUGAUUUGGGUAUCUAAGGGGUGAGACGAUGUUUUGGGUAUCCUCACCUCAAGCUGUAUAAGGCUUUGUAUAUCAAUACCAGAAUCCUGAAUUUUGCGUUGUAGCUGAUUGACAGCCAGUGCAAUCAUUUCAGUUGCAGCACAACAUGGUGGCGACAUUCUGCCCCAUGAGCUGCUGCAUUUUGCCUGCAGGCCCACCUUGGUUGGUUGGUCCCAACUCCUUCCUGAUUAUGGGCAUAUGGCCCAGGAGGCCAUUACCUUUCCCCCUUCCAACUCAAGUAUUUAUUUUCCAUUAUACACAACCACACUGAAAAGAAGCAGAACGACCUAGCCCUCCAUUCUCCGUGCUGGACUGUUCUUCAAGGGCUGGAUAUGUUUGCUUACCUGCCCUGUUCACUAAGUGCUGGAGUGAAUCAAUGAUGCCUCAGGCUAAUUAGCAGCCCCAGUCCCAGGAGACAGAGAUGGACUCAGCCUGCGGUUUGCGAGGGACGCAUUUGCUCCCCCUCAUCUGGCACAGGCUCUUCCGGGAUCCGGCAGUGCUAAUUGCCCUGGAUGAACAUGUUUACUGUCUUUCAGCUCCCAGGAGGGGCCCUAGGCAAGGCAUGAGGCCAAGCUCCUCCCCACCCCGUGGCUGUUAAUACUACGCUGCUGUAAGUGAGCCCUGUCGUUAGACAGAGAGGGCAGCUGCAACACUCAACAGCCCAUCCAAACUCCAGAGCUUUCUGAUUCUUAACUGCAUGCCUUUGAGGGGCUUGUACCUAUCCUUUAUUUUCAAGAGGGCACUGCAAGUAUGCCAGGGCCUACAUGGACAGAGGAGAUACCCUCCUGGCACAGUUGCUCCCCUCUGCCCAAAGCAGUCCGGCAUACUGAGGAGGUAUCCCAUGUGAUACACCCACCCACUUCUGCCCCCAGCCUGGAAGCGUUUGCCAGGAGUUCAACGCUCCAUGGCAUCAGCCACAUCUUCCGCCAUGGGUGCAACACAGGCCGCAAAUUUCUGUGGACCGUGGCCUUCCUGGGCUCCCUUGGCUUCCUCAUCCACGUCUAUGCAGACCGAGUGGAUUUCUACUUUCAGUAUCCUCAUGACACCACGCUGGAAGAAGAGACCCUCCCCAGUCUGACUUUCCCAGCGAUCACCAUCUGCAAUCUCAACCCUCUUCGCUUUUCCCAACUCUCUGGCCAUGACCUCUACUGGGCUGGAGAGUACCUGGGCUUCCUGGAUGGCGAUGACAAGAUUGCUGUGUCCAAGGGCGAGGACGGGGACAUUUGGGAGGUGCUAAGUAAGAAGCUAAUGCAGAGCAAGGGGGAAAGGAACCUCCCGUUCAACUUCACAGAGCUCCAUGACCGCGCUGGGCACCAGAUGGACCAGAUGCUGGUUCUGUGCAGCUUCGGCAAUGAGUCGUGCAAUGCCAGUGACUUCGAAACAGUGAGUCUACUGCCACAUCGCUGGUCUGUUGAGGAUAGUGGGAACACCUCAUGGUGAUCAUGGAAUGGGUAGCAUGGGUUCUUAGCUAAGCUAGGGACAAGCAAAUAACUGGUAAUUCUGUUCCUUCUCUUAAAUCAGGGCUGAGGAACCUGUGGCCUGCCCAGUGUUGCCGUACAACAACUCCUAUCAUCCCUGACCAUUGGCCGUGCAAGCUGGGGCAUGUGAGAGUUGGAAGGGCCACAGCUUCCUCAUCACUGUAUUGAGGGGAGAAUUUGAUCCACACCAAACCUUUCAAAUGACUGAAAUGCCAUAUUCAGGCCAAGCUCUUUUUUAAAAGCUCACUAGUCUCUCCUAGGCCAGUGCUCCUCUCACAAACCGGAACUAAGUUCUCUUGUUAACCCUUGUUUGUGUUCUCUGUAGCCUGUGGCCAUUGCGGGGAUCAGGCACAUUUCCCUAUAAUCGCUAGCUAAUGAAACAUGCCGGACUCUAGUCACUCUGAGGUUGUAUCUUUAAAGUGUUCUUCCAGUGCCAGGGGGUAACCAUGCAGAUCACUUCUGCCUCCAUCUCCUUUUGGCUACAUAGAUAUUGCUGUUUAGGAUUUCACUCAGAAAAGGCUUCAAAACCUCAGAUUUCUGACCCUGGCCUUAGAGAGAACCUGCAUUACUUUUCUCAUCUCACUGGGAAACAAUAUUUGAUGCUGCAAGUCAUUCUUUGGGUAGGGGGUUGUGAAGAGUUGUUCUAGUAUGACAAUGAAUCUGAACAUUCUUGGAUCCUGGUUCUGUUCACAGUGAUAGGCAAUAACAGCAGAGCGGCAGGGAGUGGGGUCUGUGUUUGGUUUUCAGUAAUGGGCUUUGCAGUAGUGGGAAGAACAGACUGCUUUGGCUGGGAUGAGCCAAGGGUCCUGUGUCUUGAUGUGGGAAGAAACUUCAUGGCAUGCUUAGAUACUCCAGGCUAUACACUGUGAGCAAAGUCUUUUUUCAGAGUUUGGGCCCACAGAUUGUGGGGAACCACUUCCUUUCAUCCUAGCGAAACAAUUAGUGUUUUUAAUAUUCUGUUGGGAGCCACACAGAGUCACUGGGAAAACCCAGCCAGAUGGGUGGGGUAUAAAUAAUAAAUUCUUAUUAUUACAUUAUUAUUAUUAACUAAAUCUGGAAAGGGUUCAGACUCAUUUGGGAUCCUAAAACUGAGAAUCUUCAGCUCCAUGACUUCGCAAGAGAUCUAGGGAAGGGGAUACUGUGCUUCAUGCCCUAGCAUCAGCCUUCCAGCUACUAAGACAAGGGGUGGGAAACCUUUUUUUCAGCUUAAUGGCCACAUUUAGGGGUAUGAUUUGCUGGCGAUGCAAAGGGCCAGAGUAAAAAAACGGGCAGAACAAUACAUAUGACUUACUUUUGGACAGUAGACUACGGCUGUGUACACCCUAUGCCUUAAAAACACAUGCAAACUACGUUUCACCCCUCAAAGAAUUCUGGGCACUGUAGUUUACUGCUCACCAGCCAAAGUGGCAGGAAAAAGGCAAUAUUAUUCAAGCAGUAUUAUUAUUGCUGAGCCACCCGCUCCAGAAAGAAGGGCAAGAAGCCCAAGGAAGUAGUCCUGGGUGUGAUGGAUCUCCUUGCCUUGUCCGCCUCUUCUGCCUGGGUUGGCCCUGGGAGCUCCUCAUUGCCACCUGUGUUCUAUCCCUUAGUGCUGACACUGGAGCAAGGAUGUGUCUGUGUUCCUUUGGAUAAAUGGUAGGUGUCUGCCUCCUGCUAUCUUCCUUCCCAUUUGGAUGAGACUCUCCCCCCCCAUAAAAUGGAAUUAAGUUCUCUCUCCCCCCCCUUAAAAUGGAAUUAAGUGUUCUCUCUCUCUCUCUCUCUCUCUCUCUCUCUCUCUCUGUGUGUGUGUGUGUGUGUGUGUGUGUGUGUGUGUGGAGAAGGACUUGAUCUGGCCCUGCAGGCAGCCACAGCCUGCUGCAAAACAGCCGUUUCAUUAUCUCUGCUUGCAAAAUCAAGAAUGCUUUGGAAGGUGCAAAUCUUCGCCAGCAUCCGCCAGCCCCCUUCCCAGCUUCCUGCCAAUCAGCACUCCAGGUCAGUUAGGCACCACUGGUAUGGAUUGUGGCAUAGCCUCCUUGGCCAUUUCUACUGCACACCCCUUCGUUUUGGGUUUGGUGUAUAUAGAUACACCUUUAAAAUGGGUUCGCACUUUUUUCUUCCGUUACAACAUAGUUAGUAGAUGUGCUUAGCUAAUCAAAUGAAAGCCUCUGAUAUCUGUCUUGUUCUAACCCCCAGUCUUCAGGUGAAUGUUCUACUUUUUUUCUUUAAAGCACAGCAUGAACAUUUAGUCAGGGAAACAAAUUUUUGUCAUUUUGCUGUUUGUUUGUUUGUUUGUUUGUUUGUUUGUUUGUUUCUAAGGAAAAAUCAAUUUUAAAAAGAGUUUCAAAGCUGUUUCAGGGAGGAGGGGCAGUGGGUUUGUGACAUCACAGGGCCAACCAAUCCACUCUGUUCAUGGCCAGAUUCUUCUGAAAAGUGGCUGAGAUCAAUCCGAGUCAAGGAAAUGUACUUUUAUAUUACACAAUAUGAUAUGCAAACUUCCACAGCAAGUUGACCACUCAAAUAUGCAGUUUUUGAGUUGGAUGUGGAUACCGGCUGGGUCAGAUUGAGAUAGCACCAGAUUGCCCUGGGCCAGCCCACCCAGGUCAAUCCAGGGCUGUCAGAAGGUGGAACAGCUGGGCAGGGGGAGGGAGGAAGUAGAGGAAGGCAGCCUCUACAGCUUUAAAGAACAACAUGGGGCUGUUCGCAAAAGGGCUUUUAAAAAGCUCCACACUGUCCCUUGGCUGUGCAUGGCUGUUCUCAGCAAGGGAACACACACACAACCCUAAAGUUUGACUAUCUGCUUAUAUCCUUCUUGCAAAGUACUGAAGGGUAAGAGACAUUCUUAAGGGCAGGUAUAGGAUGUGGUUCUGCAUAUUCUAUCUGCAUAUAGAAUGGAACAUCGUCUAUCCUGACACUGGGGGCAGUUGGGCUAAGGUGUGGUUGUGACUGUUUUGUGUGAACGUGUCUUUAAAUGGUACAUCCGAGUUGCCUCUUUUCUAGACAUCAGAGUGCAGCGGUUCUUCUUCUUCAGGGUAACUUUGUGAGCUACAAAUCAGGGGCUUGAACACUUGGCAAAUGGCAGGGAGCUGGCAGAGCUUAGGAGGGCCUGGUGACAUGGGUGCAUAUCAAUGUGGCCAACUAAGUGUUGGAAAUGUUAGGAUGCAACUUAGCUUGUUGAGGGAUUUGCAUGGGAUUGAAGCAGGAAGAAAAGGGAUUCUCUGAGAUUCCUAAAUUGCCUUACUGUCCUUUUAUCUCUAUGCUGACCUUUCCUUGAUGCUAGACUGAUAUUCUCAGGUUGCAGCACUUGCUUCCUGCCUCUCUUACUCUUCUCUCUCUGACUUUCUUGGAGAGAGGUCAUCUUGCGAUGUAUCUCUGCUGAGUGCAAGGACCAAGCAGGACUCCAUUGCAUCUCAAACUUAGCUGUAACUAAUAACUCUUUUCUAUUCUAGUAUGCAUAUCCUGUAAUAAACCUAAGCUUUCUUAUUUUCCAUACCAACUGUCUCUAAGUGUGUGAUUGCAACUAAAGUAAGCCUGCUCUGCCAGCAAGGAUUCAACACACAGACAGCUUUCAAGCUGUGUGCUAACUCUGCAAAGUAAUUCAGCAGUGAGGGCAGGCAGAAAUCUUCUCUUCCCUCCCUCUCUCCCCCCCCCCAGCUUAUCUCUUAAAGGGCUUUUUGGGGCUGGUACAGUACUUUCAACUGCAUGGGGAUUUUUUUUACCCCUAAACAGCACAGGCAUGUUAUCUCCCCUCCCCUGCAGUCCAUUCUACACUUUGCCUGAAUUUAGGGCUGUUUUUUCUAUAUACUGACCCAUUCGUAUCGAAAUUUGGAUCUCAUUCAGGUAUGGGUUUAAGCUGGGUUUGAAGGGUUAAGCUGGAAUGGAAGCUUUGGUCACUUUUCUCUGUGAAGGGAGCUCUUGCUCCUCAGGCUUGGCGGCAAAGCUGCGAUGACUGCGAGCUUUCCUUGGGGCUGUGAUCUAGGGUCAUCAAGUCCAGGAUCUUGCACCUUUAAGAAUGCCCCCAGCUCUGGCUUUCCUUCAUCACACAGAUCAUGGGGUGGGAUGUGGGUGUGCGCAGUGUGUAUGCAUGAGAGCCCUGUUUCCCAGGUUCUGGGAAAGACAUAUGGCAAGACUCGCUGCUGGGCAGUGGAGACAGCGGCUGCUGCAAGCCGAAACUCAGAGCCCUUGUGGCUGGUGGCUGCUGUGUGUUCAGUGGCUCGGAGCUAUGCACAGGAAGAGCCUUAAUUCAGUGUGACGGCUCCACUCAUUGCGAUAAUGAGAACAAAGUGAGGCUGCCGUGUGGUACAGUGCACAGGUGUCAGCCGGCUGGCGCUCAUCGCAUCCCAGCGCUUCAGAGGCAAAGCAAAGGCUGUGGUGUGUGUAAGGGGCGAUCAGCAGUUAUUUUGGGCGAUCAGCAUCUAAGGCAGGAAUCAUCCUCUGAAAAACAAUUGGUCUUUAAGCCAGGAGGACCCCGGGAUAACAUCACCAGCCAUAAUGUUUUCCUAAGGGCUCAGCUACAAGGAAUCUGGUGUGCUCAGGCUGACAGGCAUGAUUCAGCUGGCACUGACUCUGAGUCCUGGCACAAAAGGGAACAGUGCCAUCAGACCCCUGACGCACAGCAUACCCCAUGUUGCCAUUUCAGCACUGACCCAGAUGGAACCCCUCAGCACGUCGCAAACCUGUUGAUGCCACAUCCAUAUUCACGCAUGCGGGUGCUGCCUUUCUCACAGCAUUAGUCCAGGAACAUUUCCGGGAUGGAGCCGCAGAGAACUUGCCAGCUUGAUGGUGCUACUGCCAAAUAUGAAAGAAAAGGGCACUGCCAGUCUGUUGCUGCGAAGUCUGACUUGGUGGGACACACAUCAGAAGGUGGAAAUUGGGGGGGGGGGGAUGAACAUGAAAGUGUCCUUAUGAACUUCCAGUGCCUGUGGAAAGAAACACUUGCUUAUACAUCUUGCUGCCAGGAAUGGUGUAUUUUCAUGUCAGCCCCUCUCCUGCCCCCUUUGCCACACAACCAGGCACCUGUCAGGCUGCUAGGAAAGUGACCCUCUUCCCUUCACCACUGGCUUCCCAGAGAAGCUGCCAGGGCAGGAGGAAAAAGGAGGAAGGGCCCCUGCUCAAAGUGCGUAAUAACCGAGAAAGGAGUCCCACAUCCUGCCCCCUCCUCUGCCUGCCUUUCCAGAGUCAAUGGGGCGAGGAUUAUGAGCCAUAAAGCUAGUGAUCAAUGGAUGCUGAUGGGAAUGUUUCCGGUGAAUAAAGCUGGCACCUGGGAGAAAGGAAUGGCUCUGUUUCUUUCUCUCUCUCUCUCUCUCUCUCUCUCUCUCUCUCUCUCUCACACACACACACACACACACAGCACCAUUUCACUAAGGGAAGGUGGAAUAUGGCAAGGCUGGUGGGUAUUGCAGGGUUAGACCAGAGGAGGGUAGAAGCAUGGAAGGCCUUUGCAAUGGAGACCUAUGUCGGUGCCUGCACCUGAAGAGGGAGGAAAGAAUGUAAGUAAUAUGAUUUAUCCCGCUGAGGUGCUCUGGUACCACGGGUCAAAAUAAAGGUGAUUGCCACACAGCAUAGGAAACCUGCCACACUGAAUGCAAUUUGCUAAAAUAGAUCCCUCUGGGACAUUGUGCUUGUAGUGUCUUUGGAGCAACUUCCUAGAGAAUGUCUGUGUGGGACAUUCCUCAUGCCCCAGGCUUGUAUACUUCUGGCUAGCAGACAAAGAAGGUCUGAUGUGGCAAGGGUCUGCUAUGCAGAGAAGUGUGGAAGACAUGAUGGGUUGUGUGUGUGGCUAAUGGCUGGGUAGUUGAUGUAAACUGGUCAGCUUUAUGGAGCCUUGGCCAUGUAGAAACAGGGUCCAUAUAUCUUGGCCCACAUGAUCCUGAAAAACAUUCCCUCCUGUUGACAGUUCAGAGGCAUGAUUCCACAUAAUCCAGUCUACAGUCUGUGACAUUGCUCUGUGUAAAACUUAAGCUGAAAAAAGUGAAGGCUUAUGCCACAAUAAAUCUGCUAUCCUUUAAGAGGGCACAAAACUCUUUGUCGGUUUGGUUCAGCUGGUGUUGAAUGGGAAGCAAAUCCCCAGCCACUUGGGCCUCACAGUCGUAAACGCAGUCCCUAGUUAGGGUGGUGGAGGUGAUAGCAAGGCAAGCAGGAGGGCUGAUUGAAGGGGGCUCUUUGAGGAAGGGCUUUAUCUCAGGUUGGUGACAGUUAGAUACCUUGGAGAGUGGUGACAUGCUUUAUGUCCUUCAUAAAAGCAACAAGGGCACCUGUGUUUUUGUGUUUGUGAUACCUUAAAAGCUAACAAAUUUAUUGUGUCAGAGGCUUUGGUAGGCCGGAGCCCAUUUCAGCAGCUUCGUGAAGCACUACCUACAGUGGACAGUUUUCAUCUCUCUCUCUCUCUCUCUCUCUCUCUCUCUCCACACAUAUAUAUGUGGGUCCAGACAGAUGCGUUGGGACAGUGACAUUACAGACUGAAGCUGGAAGGCCUAGCAGUGUUUGAGGGGGGUUGUCAUUUCAGAGCAAACCCAAAAUGGGAUCCACAAACAGAGUGAACAGAAUUAGAAUAAGUAGGUGUGCCCCACUCCCAACUGGCAUAGUGAGGUGAAUGGCAUACUGCAAGUGUGGAGAGCUUUUCUAUCUGUUUAGGGCUGCUUUCCCUCAGGGUCAGCCUGUUAGGGCUUUGCAUUCGAGUGGUGGGCAGAAGCAGGGCCAAAGGUAGAAAGAGCCAGAGACAGUGGACAGGAGAGAGCAGAAACACCUUAAGGAGUACAAUCAGUUUGCAUACACACCAUACAUUUAAAGCAACCCCGCCCCCGCCGCCUGAUAAUCCUGGGAACUGUACUUUACCCUUCACAGAGCUACAAUUCCCAGCCCCCUUUAACAAACUACAUUUCCCAGGAUUCAGGAUGAGUGGGUGAGCUUUAAAUGUAUGGUGUAUAUGCAGCCUUGCUUCCUGUAAUGGGUUGGUCAACCCCAUCUUUACUGAGCUAAGGUCUGAUAGUAUCAAAUCAACAAACAAAUGCCUACUGCUUUACUGCUGGAAUCCUUUCUGUUGAAUUAGUGACUUUCAAGGCUCUUGCAGAAUGUCCAGGAAGACUGAAGUGUUCCACAACAAAUUUCCUUCAUGUUUAUUCAAGUCCACUCUGCCUAACAAGCUUGGUGGGCGAAUGAGGCCUCUAAGCCAUUGCUGACCCAGAGAUUGCUCCUCUCCUCCCUCCAGUACGCAGCAAAUGAACAGAAAGGAGCUGGGUGGCACUCACAAAUCCCCUGAAAUCCGAACACAAUCUUAUUAAGAACCACUUAAGAGGUAUCGCAGUGAGCUGUGAUUCAAGCAAUCGCAGGCUCAUCACCUUGACAGAGCCUGCCUUCCACACAGCCCUAAUGGUGCCAGCAUGGUCCAAAUAGCAGCUCAUUCCCAAGGCCAACUCAUGCCAUCAGCAUUGUCUCCAGCUCCCUGCAGUUGAUUACAACAAUCAUAAAGCUCUGGGGAGAGGAAGGUGGGAGAGAGGAAUGACUCAGUGAUGUCCCCUCCCCCACCUGCCCCAGCAGUUUUCAUAGAAAAAUAAUUUAAGGGAGGGGAAGUUAACAGGUUGCUCACCCAUUUCUGGUUGUGUGAAGGGUGUGUGCUACACACUACUGGAGGAAGUUCCAAUUUUUUCACUGCAAGGGCUGCAUCUGUCCAAAGGCCUGUGUGGGAAAGAACGUCAGUACUUCAGCUGCUAGGCACAGAGCUAUGAAUUCCUGUGUGAGCAUAAGUGUUAUAACAUUUACACAUCUUUACUCAGGCACUGCUCAGGCAUUGCUCAGUGGUGGCAGUUAGGAAAUGCAGCAUGCCCAUUUAUCUGCCCCAUUUAUCUGUGCCACAACUGGCCCCUUCUGCCUUGCUUAGCAACAUAGGAGCAUAGGUAGCUUAGUCAGGUCAGUGGUGCUGCUGUCCAAAUCACCUGGCGAGCAUCACGUUGGGGGUGGUUGCUUAUACAUUGGCAUAGAACAGCCUUCUCUAACUUGAUGAUCCUCAGCUGUUUUGGACCACAGUUCCCAUCAGCACCAACCAACUCUAUGAUACCAACUCAGACUCGGCUAGGAGUCUGGAUGGUGUGAAGAAAUCUUGGCAUUGAGCUGGCUGGUUUCAGAACACACAGGCACCAUUCCCCUUCUUCCAUACAUUCUGAAGCCCCAAAAUGGUGAGGAGUGGGAGGGACUUGCUUCAGAGCAGUUUGUGGCCCCAUCCCGUUCCUCAGAGUGCAGGCAUUUGGCACUGACAUGCUCCCAACAUGCCACGGUGCUUUCUCCAGAGCAUGUCCAGGCUCUGACAGGUAAAUACCAGGCUAUUUUUAGCCGCUCCCCCUGCUGCGUGCUGCAGCUGUUCCUUUCAUUCAGAUGAACAGAUUUACCUCAAUUUCACGUCCCACUGAGGCACAAGCCUAAUCUCCCUGAAAUUAACCUUUCCUGCUUCCCAGAAUACCUGUCCCCUGGGCCAGGCCACUUGGGAUCAGGGACUAAUCUCCUAGUAAUGAGCCAGAACCAAAGCUGACUGUCCCUAUAUUCGCUGGGGCAUGCCUGACAGCUCUGCCAGGGGAGUCACUUCCUUGACCAUUGCUGAUCCCUGGCAGAAAGAGUCACUUUUUCUAGGAGGGUACAGAGCCUCCCCAGAUCAUGGGUGGCUGGGGGUUUGGAGGAUAACAGCAGUGGGUGGGUGUAUGUGUGGAUGGGUGAGAGAGGUAGUUGCUGUGAGAUUGGAUCAAGCCUCAGUUCCACCCACCUUAACCCUCUGCUUUGUGCAAUGCUGCAACAAUGUGAACUGAACCUGAAAACUUCUUGUUGUUGUUUAGUCGUUUAGUUGUGUCCGGCUCUUUGUGACCCCAUGGACCAGAGCACACCAGGCACUCCUGUCUUCCACUGCCUCCCGCAGUUUGGUCAAACUCAUGCUGGUAGCUUCGAGAACACUGUUCAACCAUCUCGUCCUCUGUCGUCCCCUUCUCCUUGUGCGCUCAAUCUUUUCCAAAAUCAGGGUCUUUUCCAGGGAGUCUUCUCUUCUCAUGAGGUGGCCAAAGUAUUGGAGCCUCAGCUUCAGGAUCUGUCCUUCCACAUCUGUCCUGAAAACUGGAGGAACACAAGGGCUUUUUUGUUAAUUUCUGUCCGUGAAAAUGUAGUCUCCCGUCAGAAGCAGAAUGGUUUUGAACCUAUCAAGACUUUGCUCACCAUGCCUAGGCAUUAAAGUGCCAAAUAUUAGGGACAUUGUUGGUCUUCUGACCACCACCCACCCACAGUGAACACAGAAACUGCUCCUCUGAUAGCAGGGUGCAAUGGUAAUGAUACCUCCAAGAUGUGGCUGUGUAUCCUUGUAACUAUUUUAGGAUGCUCAUGAGCAAUGCAUUGUAAUACAUUCUGUAAUUCAGUCUUGGAGACAGUAUUAUUCCACCCACUCUGCCACUGUAAGAAUAGGUGGGUGACAAGUUUUGGAUGACUACUUUGUGACAUUUUUAGUUGGUCCUAAUAAAUGUAAUUUUUGGAUACACCCCUUAUUGGGUCAACCUAUUUCUUUUGUUAUGUCCAACUUUUUUCAUUCCUUAAGCAUAUAGCUUAAGGCUUAAGCAUAUAGAUUUAUCAUUCUGUAGCAUAUGGCUAAUGUCGCUGGAGGGCACUGUGUUGAUUUGGAGAUAUAUACUGUAUAUAUACUCCUUUUUCUGUUUUGACCCCAAUGAAGCCAAGUUCUUUGUUAUUUUAUUUUAUUUUAAAUGAAAUCAAAAGGUUAGCAAUGGGCACCCAUGCUCAUUUGGUCACUGAAGGACUAUAAGUGGCAUUCCCGUCACCAAUCCAUCAUAGCAUCAGUGAUUUAUUGGGACUGCAUACAGAAUAUGACACACUCAAGUGCUGAGAAAGGUAGGACAAGGCCUGCAUGCAGCACGAAGCAAGGCUUCCAUGUGAGAUGUAUCUAUUCUCCAGAAUACGCCCCUUGCAUCAGUCUUAGAUUGGAGAGAGACACCUCUUUCUUUGUUUGGAGCUGCAUAAUGGUGAUUUCUGGGGCCUCCAAACCUAAAGUGAAGACACGGGUGCUGUCCUUGGUGCUGUCCUUGUUUUUGUCUUCUGGUACUGGCCAAGGUCCUGAAUCUCAUCUCCUUUGGUGGUGCUAGCUAAUCUAUUUGUUAGCUAUAUGCAUUGGAUAUAGGUGUAUGCCCGACUUUAAUGCCCAAAAGAAAACUCAUGGUGGAGGAGGAGGAGGAGGAGAAUGGACAGGAUUAAAUACCAACAUUUCAUUAAAACAACCAAUAAACACAUCUCAGUGACCUGCAGCAUACUGUAAAUAAACACAUCCUGCCUGCGUGAAAGCUUGCUGAAAUAGGGAUUUUCUAAAGCUAAAGAACACCAGAGCCCAAGGGCCUCCCCUGGAAGGAACCUCACAUUUACAGUGCUGCUACAUAUAUAUCAAUCUCUGACUUUUGUCUUCUGGGUUUCUGGGGUUUUUCCUGUUGUUAUUCUGUCUCUCACAGCUACAGUAAACCUACCAUUAAAAUUAUGGACUGGUCAUUUCUUCCUCAGAGGGCAAAUGGGCAAAUUUAGCAGAGGAUCAAAUACUUUCCCCCCUCACUGUAGCAGUGGAGAUACGAUAGUCCCCUGUGACACCCCAUAACGUAGCCACCAGGGGGCCAAAAGGCACUCUCCCAAUACUACUCUCUGGAUUUGGUCCUGAAAGCAGGAUUGCAACCACAGUAACACAGUGUCCCCAGUUCCCAUUCCCCAGAGCCAGUCCAAGGGGAUAUCAUAGUCAAUGGUAUCAAAUGCCAGUGAGAGAUCAAUAAGGAGGAGCAGGUCGCAUAUAAGGAAUUGCUUCUUGACUGACAAUGAGUAUGGAGGCAUUUAAAGAUUAAGACUAGCAUCUUGACUCUUACCUGGAAACUGCUAGCCAGUGCAAUCUCAUCGGAACUGAAGUAACAUAUUCUCCCUGGUAGCUAGCCAGGCAGCAGUUUUUUGUACCAGCUGCAAUUUCCAAACCAUCUUAAAAGAGAGUCCUACAGAGAGGGUAUUUCAAUAAUCGAUCUGAGAAGUUCUGAAGGCAUGGAUGACUUGGGCCAUAUAUCCAUCCUUGUGGAGAGGGGAGAGGUUGUGGUUGGCAUCUCAGCUUAAGCAGGUAAAAGAGAUUUGGCCUCUUUGUUUUUUAGCAUAGUCUAAGAUGCUGGGCCAUCUCUUGGGUGCUGUAUGAAGUGCUGGAGCUUGACUUUUGAAUGCUGUCAUGCUUCCCUACCUACUGUGCCAGCUGUGGCACUUGCUGGCUCUCUACCUUGCUGGAAGUUGGUGAGGUAGCGAUGGAUUUUUACAACAGUGUCAUCACUGGGUAGGAGAGAUCAGGCUUCUGUAUCACAGAAGAGCAGCAAUAAUUCAUUACUAGCACCUGCUCCUCAAGUCUUCAGAACUGUUUCACUCAUUGAAACUUCCUCUCUCUGUAUGUGAUAUUGGACUAUGUGUGUAGGUACAAUAGAUGUUCCCUGCCAGUUUAUAUAGUGGCUGAGAAACUAAUGUUAUGAGUCAGAAUCCUCUGGUUGAAAUCUUGUAUCUGCCACAAACCCACCACAUAAUUACUUGCUGAAAAGUGCUGUCCCAGUUUGCAUUCUCCACAUGUAAUAGGAAAAUGCAUCUAGGUUAUCUAGAUCCACUCCAGUCUGGUUUCAGGCUCAGUUUUGGCACUGAAACAGCUUUGGCCAUUCUGAUUGAUGAACUCUAUCAGGAGAGAGACAGGCAAGUGUGACCCUAGUAGUUCUCCUUGAUCCCUCCUUGGCUUUUUACACCAUUGACCAUGGUGCUCUCCUGAAGCAACCUAGGGAAGUGGGAGUUGUAGGUACUGUAUUAGGAUGAUUUUUAUCCUAGCCACAGGAUCACCACCAAAAAGUAGUACUUGGAAAUUAUUGUUUGGUUUCAUGGGUUUGGAGCUAUGAGGUCCCACAAUGGUCCAUUCUGUCUCCUAUGCCAUUUAGCUUGGAUGUUAAAAACAGCUGGGAACUGUUGUCCAGGAAUCUGGAGCAUAGUGGCAUCAAUAUGCUGAUGACAUAUUCCUUCUUAAUCGAGAGAGGCUGUGGACCAGAGUCUGGAGGCAGUGAUGAACUGGAUGGGAGCUAAUACAGUGAGGCUGCAUCCUGAUAUGAUCGAAGUACUGUGGGUGGUUGGUUCCUGUGUUUGGGAAUUAGGUGUGCGAUCUGUCCUGGCAGGGGUUGCACUCCCUUUGAAAGAACAGAUUCAUAGCUUGGGAGUACUCCUGGAUUCCAGGUUGUCACUAGAAUCCCACAUGAUUCCUGUGGCUAGGUGCUCUUAUGCCCAACUUAGGCUGAUUUGCCAACUAUAGUCAUUUGUGGGUCAGCAUAGCCUGGCCUCACUUCUCCAUGCCCUUGAAAAUAAUCAGGAGGCUGCAACUGGCACAGAAGGCAACUGCUGGUCUGGUAAGUGGGGCAGUGUAGUUGGGGCCUGUCUUGAAAGUGCUGCACUGGCUGCUUGUGAACUACUGGGCUAAAUUCAAGGCAUUAAUACUAGCAUAAAAGUAAAGGUAAAGGGACCUCUGACAGUUAAGUCCAGUCGCGAAUGACUCUGGGGUUGCGGCACUCAUCUCGCUUUACAGGCCAAGGGAGCCAGCGUUUGUCCACUCCGCAGACAGUUUUUAUGGGUCAUGUGGCCAGCAUGACUAAGCCACUUCUGGCGCAGCGGAACACUGACACCAGAGCAGCACACAGAAACGCCGUUUACCUUCCCGCCGGAGCCGUACCUAUUAAUCUACUUGCACUUUUUGGCGUGCUUUCGAACUGCUAGGUUGGCAGGAGCUGGGACCGAGCGACAGGAGCUCACCCUGUUGCGGGGAUUUGAACCGCCGACCUUUUGAUCGGCAAGCCCAAGGCUCAGUGGUUUAGACACAGUGCCACCCGCAUCCCUAGUGCUAGCAUAUAAAGCCCUAAAUGGCUUGGAACUCAAUCACCUAAAAGAGCACCUUCCCCAAUAUCAACCAUCUCAGACUCUAUGAUUGUGAGGCAAGUGAGGCCUCAUUGGUGGUGCCCCCACAGGGGGCUGCCUUUUCAGUGGUGGCUCCCCAUUUGUGGAAUACUCUCCCUGGUGAAGUGCACUUGUUUCUCUCAUUGUUGACUUUCAGGAUAAAUUUUAAAACAUUCCUUGUUUACUCAACACUGAAAGACACUGUAUGUGGAUUUUGUUUUGUUUUUUUGCAACCUUGAGAUCACUGGUUGAGCUACUGUUGUUGAACUGUUUAAAGUGUUUUAAAACUGUUUAGAUUAAUUACUUUUUUUAAAAAAAAAGUUUUAUCACAGCUCUGUCUUCCAUCCUUGACUCCUUUGCAUUUAAGGGCAUGGUAUAAUGUAUGAAUGAAUACAAUAAAUAAAUAAAACUAACCCACUUUGCAAAGCUCUUAUAAGGGUCAUCCAGAUAAUGCAGACGUGGCAUUUUGAACACUAAUGAAUAUGGUGUAGUGGUUAGAGUGUUGAAACUAGAGCAUGGGAGACCAGAGUUCAAAUCCCCAUUUGGACAUGAAGCUAACUUGGUUACAUUGGGCCAGUCACUGUCUCUCAACCUAGCCUGCCUCACAGGAUUGUUGUGAGGAGAAAAUGGGGAGAGGGAGAACCAUGUAUGCUACCUUGAGCUCCUUGGAGAAAAGGUGGGCCAUCAGUGUAAUAAUAGUAAUAACAAUAGUAAUAAUAAUAAUAGAUUAUUAUCACUAUUAUUUAUCAUGUUCACCAUGCAAGUACUAUCAUCUACAAUAUCAUUGGCAUGCAUUCAGCAGGGAAAGCGGCUCAGAGCCUCCCAAGAACCAUAGCUCUACAAGAUGUUCUCCUGUGUUGCUUCUCUUCCCCAACCCCCAGGCAACACCCCUCAGCUCCCCACCAGCUGGCAGCUCAGUAGAAUUACCCCCAUCCUUCAUGCCACCCCAGGAACACAGCUGGCUGCAGAGUAUUCUGGCACCCAUCCACUCCUGCACCAUUAAUGUUCUCUUUCCUGAGUUUUCCCAGAAGCUUUCUUUCUUUCCCCCCACCCCCCUGCCAUUGGCAGGCUCCUGGCAACCAGAGCUGCGUGUGGGGAGGGGAGGGGAGGGGAAGAGGAGCAGGGCUUUCCCCCUUCAGCUUUAGCCACAGCAGGAAGAAGUUGCUAUGCAGAGCUCCUGCCGGACACUGUUCCCAAAUAUAGCUGUCCUGACAGACGCUAGAGGCUAGAGCAGAAAGGCCCACUUUGAUCCGCUGUCAGCUGAGGCUCUUGUGGGGCUCUGUGGGUCACCUUCCUGUCACUCACAUUCUGCGCAAAGAGGCAGGUGAGGCAGAGUUUAGAUAGUUUGGGUUCUUCCCUCAGGGGGGAAAAAGACGAGUAAGGGGUGCAUGAUAGAGAUGUACAAAAUUAUGCAUGGUGUGAGGAAAGUAGAUAGGGAGACGUUUUUCUCCCUCUCUCAUAAUGCUGGAACUUGGGGCCAUCUUGAUGUUGGGAGAGUCUGGACAAAUGCAAGUACUUCUUCACACAGCACAAAGUUAAGUUGUAGAAUUUGCUCCCACAGUCUCACCUGGGCAAUUCUGACUGAACAAAGGAAACAAUUGUCCUGUCCACUUUCCUCCAGCAGAGCAAGACACAUCAGCAGCAAGGGCACCAAUACUUUUAGAUAGAGGCCAAGACACCAACCCCAGUGUUGUCCUGCGGCCAGACUCUUUGUUGGGCCAUGUGCCUGGAGCAGAGCUGGCUCCUUCUUCUGACAUGUUAACCAACGACAAGGAGCCACUGGCCCAUUUGCUGUGACUGCUGCCAGCAAGUGAGUGGACAGUCCCAGAGGCCGCCUCGUACAGGGCUGGAAAUAUAAAAGGCCGUGGCUAAGAGACGUAUAUGUUUGGCAUUCUCUCCUAAUCGCAUUUACUUGGGAAUUAGCUCUGUUUCCUGAGGGCUGCAGUGGGGGCACUGUAGGGGGAGGCCAUUGCUUGUGGCUUGUACGCUGACAAGGGGGCUGGCAUGGCAGGCAGAAAAUGCACUGAGCGAUCACAUUUAUAAUUGCAGGGAUUGCUGCGAGGGGAGUGUGGCCUGUCAUUACAGCAGCACUGCCAGACCAUCAAUAACCCACUCCCCGGGCUCAUAACACAGCCAACUUAUUAUUUACGCUAACAUGUUCCAUGCCAGCGACUGCUUGACUACCAGCACCGCUGCCCAAAAAUGGUGUUAUCACAAACAGCUGGCUUGGAACGUACCCUUCUCCAUUCGGCACUGACUAUGCCUCUGAGGGUUACUGUCCUUUUAGGUGAGGGAUGCUGCUGUUUCUCAUGGUGCAAAUGCCUUUCUCUUCUCUUUCUUCUGCUCUUUUCUUAGCACUUUUCAAACUGUGCUCCAUGCAAGUUUAUCUGGACGUCUUCCAUGAACAAAAUAGUAAUGGCAGACAAGUGGCCCCACAGAACAGGUGGCCCACCACCACCACCUUCCCCCGGCCAUGCGCACCUGCAGGGACAUGUUGGGUGUUUUCUAGAACACACUUUCAGUCAGUUGAGGUGACAGCGAGUCCCAGUAAGUCUGGCCAGGCCCAGUACUCUGGGCAAAUUAAGUGUAUGUACCAGACUAGAACAUCUCCCAGGAUCCUUUGCAGUAUACAGUGCUUCUCAAUGAUACUUCAGCAGGCAGGCCCUGUGCAAAGGGUUCUUUCUGUGUUGAAAGUCUGAAAGCAACUGUCUCACCCAGAAGGCCCUUUAUAGUAGUGUGGAAUUCCUAGCUCUGCCUACAAUGGAACCCUCACAAGCUCCAGCCUCCAGGAUGUUGCCUUCUGUAUUGGCUAACAUGGAAAUGGAUGGAGCCAUAAGGUUUUGUCUGCUUUGCUGCCAUCACUCAGGCACAGCUCUCAGGCCCAAACCACAGAGCCUAGACAGAGCAUACUCACAUCUCGAUUAGGGACAACAGAUAACCCAACAACCCAAGACAACAGAAGCUCUUUGGUCUGUGGAUGACCUACAAAGUGCCUUGCCUUCAUCCAUUCACUGAACCCACUCUCAUUAUAUAGGGUUGAACCUUUCCCUUGAUACCUACAGAGCAACCCCCAAUUCUUCCCCUCAUCACACACCACUGAUCAUGUUCCAAGGUGACCUUGGCUGUGACUUCCCCAUCUCUCCGGUGAACAUGUUUUUUUUCCCUCCCCCUGUUCUAUUAAUAGUUUUUACCCCCUUAAAUUAUUGAUCUGUAUUUACAGCCAGAGCAAGCACCAGGCAAAUGGUGCUUUGUCUGGGAAUAAAUCUAUUUUGACACAGGAAAUACUUGAGGCUGAAGUGGUGGGGGCGGAAGGGUGCAUUUCAGGGACAAGGAGCAUCAUCAGCCAAGCUGGGAGAGGAGGGGAAAGCCCUGGGCUGGGUGCAGGGAAGUUGUGUGUUUGGAUUGGGCAGCAUUAGGAGACCUGAGAAGGAACUUACAGUUCAAUAGCCCUGAGUAUUUGGGAGGGGUAUGAGUCUAUAAAAACCCUCCUUUUCCCCUCCUGAUCCAGAACGUGCCCUGAGCGUGCACACCCACCCACCCUUCUCACUUUCCUAGCUCCUGUGUUUACAUCUCCUUUCAGGAGCUAGUAGUUAUUGGAACCUCCAGUGAUUCCAUUUCAGGGCCUAUGGAGAUACUGACCAUUAGUGCAAGGUGCCAGAAGGAAGCAGGUUGGUCCUGGGCAGGCAUGAGCCAAGUCCCAGUAAUGGCAGUCAAAGGGCCCAGAAAGGCAGGUAACAUAGUCCAAGAAGGGCAAGAGGUCAGGUUCCAAAGGCAGCAGUGGAAGGUCUGGAGGCUGGCAGCACAUAUUUCCGAGGCAAGUGCCAUAGGUCUAAAUGGCCAGAGGCAGCUGAUUUAGUCAGCGCAGAGACUAGGAUCCAAAACAGCAUAAGGGAAGGGAGCAGAAACUUAGCCAGGUGAGCAUUUAUCUUGUGAAACAAGAUAUUCAGACUCGAGGAGCAACUUCUGAGAAUCGGCCUUUGUGGGGCCUGGUGGACAGGGAUUUGCCCUUCGUGUCAGCCGACAGAACACGUUUAGGUGAUGGAACCAGGACUGGUGCCUAUGUGGCACCCUUAGAGCACAGUGCUUACUCUGCAAGGCACAGGGCACUUGUGGUGUGGAAACCUGACUGCUGGGAGCACUAUUUUGAGACCUCUUCUUUUGCUUCUCCACCAGCCAAGGCUCAUGCUUCUUGCUCCAACUCCCUUGAUCCUUGUAUACCAAGGGUCUCUUCAAAAACAGCACCAUCUCUCCACUACUCUCUUUCCCACUUAGCACUCAAGACAAAUGUCUCUCUUUACCUUUUGAUUGAUUAGUCAUUGCAGGACUCAUGGUUGGCACCACAGGGUAAGGAAAAGCUUGUGCUUGAUGUUGGGAGCAUUUAAGAGAGCUGAGGGUAGUCUGUAUGGGUGCAGCUCUAAGUCUGGACCCAUGGGCUGGGUCUACGUGCGUACAUCUCGCCUAGAUCUGAAAGCUACCUCUCCUUAGCUUCCUUCCCCAGGACAUACAGAACUUUCCACUGCCUCCUACCAGAACACGUUUCUGUAUCUCACUCUCUUUCCUUCUUCCUUUCCUUUACUCACUGCCAACUCCCAGCCUUCCAUCUUACUGUCAGCAACAUUGAGCCCCAUUAUUCCAGAGCAAAUGUUCCAUUCAUCCAUCCAGUCAACAGGUUUGCCCUGAAUGUAUAGCUGGCUCAUUAGUUUGAGAGGGAACAGGAGAGUUUGGAUGGGUGUGUGUGUGUUGUAUUAGCACUAAGGGCUGCUGGAAGAGUUAAGGGAGCAGCGCUGAAACAGCCAAGGAAGGAUUCUAGGACUUCUGCUUUGGCACCCCACCCUGGAUUUGCAACCAAUGAUUUUGUGCAGCUCCAAACUCCACUUUUCUUCCCUGCUGAGAUCUGUCGUCCCACAACCCCCCCGCCCAACACACACACACUGGAACAGCCCCAGCUUCGUCAGCCGGCCCCAGGGAAGCUGCUAUCUCAGCAGCUCAGACACAGCCUGGUCUCCACAUCCAGCUGCCUCCGGGAACAUCUGUGUCGGGUUCACGUUGGUGAAUUAUUUAAAGCUUUCUCUGGUGCGGCGUAAAGAUAAUAAAGCCGGAAAUGAAAGAAUCGAUAGCGAGAACUGAGGCAGAGCUGGGGACUGCUUCCCUAGUGGCUCCAGGGGGAGGUGGAUUUUUUGGCAGGAGGGGAGUGACUGGACUGGCACAGCCUUCUGUUUGGAGAAAACAGGAAACUCCCUCCUGCACCACACAGUGACCUCUCUCAUACACUGAGAUCUAUUGAAGAGAGAGCUUCUCCUUCUGCUACUCUUCAUCUAAACUGCCCCUAGGACAAGGGAGGACAGAUUUUAUAAAGAGCAGUGGGGGCAGUCUGAAAGUGGUGUCACUGCCAUCAGAGAAAAAUGUACCUUUCUUCUGUCUUGGGGUGAACUCUGGGGAGAGAGGGGGAAGAGUUCUGCAGUGUUUCAGUAUGAAAAGCAGGACUCCUAUUGGCUAGUACCUAUGUCAGCACCAACUUAUCUUAGCAAAUCUUAUCUUGGAUCCAGAGAAGGAUCUGUGUGUAUAUAAAAUCUAGGGAUGAAUACGUAAAAAAUGUUUUUAAGGUGUCAGGCAAGACUGAUAGCUGAGCAAGGAUUUCUCUUUCUGGUGUGCAAAUGUGUAAGGCAAGCUGUGGUGCUGGAAUUAUACCACAGCUAGGAUUCACCUUGACCCUCAGGAUCACAUCACAUUACGUCCAUCUUCACCCUAAGAGAAGUCAGCAUUAUGUAUCCUCAUAUCUUCCUACCAGAAAGCCUUGGGUGGCAAUGCUCAUCCAUUCCUACCACUGGGGGAUUAAGGCUAUCGGUGGCUAUUAGCCAUGAUGAAUAUGCUCUACCUCCAUCGCUGGAGGCAGUAUGUCUCUGAAUACCACUUUCUGGCAAUUGCAAGUGGGCAGAGGGCUAUUGCAUUUAGGUCCUGUUUUCCGACUUCCCAUGGACAUCUGAUUUGCUUCUGUAAGAAUUGGAUGCUGGACUUGAUAGGCCUUUGACCUGAUCCACCAGGGCUCUUGUGUUCCUAUUACUACCUCACAGGCUGUGUCUGGUGCUUUUUCCAGAGCAUAACCUUAUUGAUCUGGGCCAAUGUCAUGACCCGAUCAACAGCCUGCAGUGCCACAGAAGGAGGUUAUGAAGGCUCUCACAGCACUAAUCAGUGCUUUUGAUUCCCAGCAGGCUGCUUUCCUCUGAGGCAUCUAGACUUCCUUUUGCACAGCUCCAGGGCAUCUUUGCAGCUAACAUUCACAGUGCCUUUGAGCUUCCGGUGCACUAUUUGUGUGCAUGUGUGUCAAUGCUGGGUACAAGCAGCAAUUUUGGACAAGACAACAUAUUUUUGCCAGUGUGAGUAUUAUAUUUGUGCUACAUUGGCAGGAAAUGAGAAAAGUGCUUUGGUGUCGUACUUGGGAACAACCACAGAAAGAGGAGCUCUGGUUCAAAAGUACACAGGAACGUAGGAAGCUGCCUUAUAGCAAGUCAGACCAAUGAUCCAUACAGCUCAGCACUGUUCCCGGAUAGUGACUGGCAGCAGUUUCAGCCCUUCCUGGAAAUACCGGGGAUUGAACCUGAGACCUUCGGUAUGCAAAGCAGAUGCUCUAGCACUGAGCUACAGCCCUCCCCUGUAAAGUAAAACCAAGGGAUAGAUAAGAAGGUUCUGCAGCCUUUUCUUCUUGGGAUGUAUUAUUCUCCCACUUGAAUAGCAAGGGCCUAGGGUUUGGAACAGAGCCCAGAAUCAGGGCCCCGAGUGUGCACCUCUAGGUUCUCCUCCUAACCAGAUGCCAGAAAAGGAGAUUGGAAAGGCCCUUUCUCACCGCACCAUGGGAGUGGAGAGCCUGACAGGAGAUGUAGUGCUCUUUCAUAGACAUAUCAAAGUAAACUGUGGAUGAUGAAGUGGCUCCAAUUCUCAUGGGUUCACGGGGCAGUGGUUCCUGGAUUUCUAAUGACUUUGUGUCUGGAGUUAGUGUGCAGGCAAGGUGUCCAAAAGGAAGAAAACAAAUAGUAUACCAGAAUCAGAAAAUAGUGUCAGCUACCCAGCUGAGAAGGCGUCAGGUCACAUGCUCCCUUUGUGGGGAUGUGAGGGGGUAGCGGAGACAGAUGUCAGAGCCACAAACCCACCUUUACAAUAACCACCUACAGUACACUUUUCAUAACAAAGAAUUCCAAGCAGAAGCAACCUUCCCGUGUCAGACGCAGCACGUAGCCGACACUCCAGAUGUCACUGUUGAUACUCCAGAUGCCGCAAUGGUAACUAGGCAGGUAAAUCCAAAUCAUCAUCUCUCUGAAGUCACUCAAAUGAGGUCAUACAGGAAAAGCAUUAUGUGUCUGAACAGCUUGUCACCCGGGAGUGAACUUUUCUCCUAAUGUUGCUAUUCUGCCCUAAUGAUGGGCACCAGGACUACAUAGUUCUGCCCUGGAAAAGAGACAAUGGACCCAGGCUUUUCAUCUUGGAUAACCACCAAACAUUCCGCCACCACCUUUCCAUAAUACAUUUUGUACUCUGGUAGCUCAAAGUCCACUUUCAGGCUUAGUAUAAUUGGUUUGUUUUGAGGGGAGGUGGGGGUCUGGUGACCAAUUUGGUUUCCCGCUGACUCAACUUCCUUACUGCAUUUGUUCCUCCCCCCUCCAAAAAAAAUUUAAAAUCUGAAUUCCCUUCCCUGGAAGAAAUCCCCUGUUGAGUUGCUUCAACCCUAAACUGCUUCCCAAGGAAUCCUGGAAACUAGUUUGUUAAGGGUGCUGAGAGUUGUUAGGGGACUCCUCACAGAGCUACAGUAUACAAAGUGGCAUAAGAGUGCUUGAAAUGGAUGGGGUGGAAUUCAAUGACACACACUUCAUUCCGUCUGCCCUAAUGGGAACCAUUCACCACUGGUAGCUUGCUUGCCAAAAAAUAGGAACGGCACACAGUGAGCUGCUGGGUGACCUGUGUUCCUUGCUGCAGCCUGCCUUCUGCCUGCUCCUGGGUUUUCUCCCUCCUUCCUAUGAAUGGGGCAUGGCAGGCAGUGAACAGGUGGGGUGAGGGGCUGGAGGGAGAGGAGGCUCGACCUCUUGCUGUUGGUCGCAGUUCCAUCUGGCAGGAGAUGUAAAAUCCUCAUAAAUAUUAUAAUUUAAUUAUCGCUAUGCAGGCAGCCUGGGAUCCAACAACUGGGAGUAGGGGAGGCUGCAGGACUUCAAUACUCCCAAAAAUAAUAAGGGGAAAGGAGGCAGGGCAUAAGCAGGGCACUUCAGUAUUUUGUGUUAUCAAAAAUAGUGUGUGACACCCUUCAGUUCUUCCCUCUGUUCCUCCCUCUACCAUCCAAUAAACCUCCUCCCUCAAAGUCCAGGUUGCAAGAGCGCUGAAUAUCAAAAAGCCAUUGCUGGUUCUGCUGCUCUUUAAUCUGCCAAUGAUCAACGCUUCUAUUGAACAUCCGGGAGUUGUGGUAAAACUAAAAUCUAAGUAUAUCGAUGAAAUGUUUUGGAUUCAAAGUAGGAACAAGUGAGCUAAAAGGAGACAGAGAUGGUUACACUGACAACUGCAAUGUAACAAUGCCGUCUUUGGCCGACACUUCUGCUUUCCUAUGGAGCUUCCAGAUGACCUGGUUAUUGAGCAUUAGUCUUGAUUUGUUUGCAAGGAGAUUCAGUGAUGUUGACUAUUUAAUGAGCAUUCAUUUUGAUUUGUUUGCAGGGAGGCUAGAUGGCUUUGUGUCAAAACAAGUAUUAUCUUGCACUUUCCAGCACAUUUCCCCAUCACCUUCCUUAUCAUGAAAACAUGUGCUUUUGUACACUUUUGUUGAAACACAAACACAUUUAAACUAUCUUGAAGUUUCCCAUCCACACAAUUGGGUGGUGCUUGAUGGAAUGCAUUCCUGUUGUGUGUUGUUGCCCCUUCCCUUCAGUUACUACUUCCCAGCCUUCCAGAAGGUCCAGAAACCUGAGAUCCAUUGUGUGGGCAUGCAAAUAGGUAUACUUGUUUACCUUUGCACACAGACUUUAUUUUUUUUUUAUGUUUUGUCCCUAGAUUAGUGCAAUACUGAGCUUUCACCAAAGUUCCACACAUGUUUCACAGUAGACAAAUCUGCUGGAUCUACACAAAACCUAUUUUUGCAUCAUUCUUGGUACUGCUAAGUGGAGAGCCAGCACCUCAUUGAGGACCAUCUCAACAGUGUAAAGAACGGCUGGGCAGUUGGAAGGCAUGGGCACCUCCAAUCUUCAGAUUCCCCCCACCAGCACAGAAAGCCACAGUUCAGCUUGGAGAAGAACAUAAACAGUAUGUUUCACACAUAAGCACACAUGGCAAGUGUCAGGGAACUGCCAUCGGACGGAAGGGAGGUGAAAGGGCUCACACAGGUUGGGAGAGACGCAGCAGCUGAAGAGGGAACCAACAGGGAGGUGAAAGGGCUCACACAGGUUGGGAGAGACGCAGCAGCUGAAGAAGGAACCAGCAGGGGGAGAGGAGCUGAGCUGGAGGGAUGGCUCAGAGACACUUCCAGCGAAAACAGUGGGGAGGUUUCAGAACCUCCUGUAAGAACACCCACUCCUCGCCGGAAACUGUCACGCAGAGAUUCCAGAAGACGUGUUUCCGUUAAGGAGCUUUUAUGUUGGAAGCGAUUACGAAAGCAACCACUGUCGGAAUCUGCUAGUGACUAGAGCAGCCAUGUCUGAGGGGCUCCGUCACAGACAGAGGUUUGUGGACUUGAACAAACUCUGAGGGGAUACGAUUUUACGCACAAGCAGCUCAUCAUCCCAUCACAGCAUUCCGACAGUCUUUGAAAGCAGCUUGUGCAGGAGAAGGCAUCAUGAGCAACCCAGCCGGAACCGGAGAAGCAGGAGCUGGAGCGGGUCCAAGCCUGGAAGAAAGGUACCAGAUGUUGGAGGUCCAGCUAGCGAUGCAGACGGCGAGGCUUGAGGAGAGGAGGGCUCAGGAUGCAGACAAAAGGGGAAAGCCACCCAGUUCGCCAGAAAGGUACCAGGAUUGGUGCAGAAGUUUGGGGGAGCCCAAAACUAUCAUGGUUUUCGGACAGAAAUGCAAUAUGCCCUCAAUCUGCAGUUUGAUGAAUUCCCUGACGAGGAAUCACGAGUGGCUUUCGUGAUUGAGCAUCUUGAAAAGGGGGCGAGAGACUGGGUUAGACCCCUGAUGGCAGCGAAUAGUGACGUCUUAAAGGACACGAUGAAGUUCUUUCGCGCCAUGGAUCUGAUGUUUUCCAGCGAUAUUGAAAAGGGAGUGGUGCGCAGACAGUUAAUGGGUUGCAAACAGGGGAGCCGAUCUGUCCGUGAGUACUGGACUGAGUUCACCAUGCUUGUUCACAGAUUGGGGUGGGACUUAUCGGCGGAACCCAUUCAAAUGCUCUUUGAAGAAGGGCUUUCUUCGGCUGUGAAAGACGAACUUUCCCGGGCGCCCAGGGCGGAGUCUAUGGACCAGCUGACCAAAUCAGCGCUGGCCAUAGGAGCGCGCCAGGAGGCGAGAGCAUUGGAGAGGCGGGAAGGGAAAGGGGAACGUUGGAAGGAGUUCCGCAUUCCAGACAUUCCAGAGCCAACUUUCCCACCGGCAGAGCCGAUGGAAAUCGGAACAGCGCGCGCGCGCAGUUUCAAAGCCCAGUGAGGGGGCAAAGAAGGAGGGAAAAGGCGCCCGGAAAUGCUAUCUCUGCCAACAGCCAGGUCACUUUGCCAGAGUCUGCCCCCAGAGGAAAGAAUGGCAAGGGAUGGUAGGAGCUGUGGAUGGAAGAGAAAAACUACCGGAGCAAGUAAAAGCCAACGCCUGGCUGCCACUGUCAGGGCACAGCAGCCAGGCCAAAGAGCAGUGAGAGUGCCCACGCCAGAACCUCCUAAACCCGCCCUAGUGAUAGAAGUGACGCUAGAGCUGCCAAACGGACACCCUCUAAAGAUAAAGGCGCUGUUGGACUCAGGCAGCUCCUGCAAUUUCAUGAGCAAAGAGUUUGCAGCUGAACACCAGAUACAGACAAUCCCUUUAAGCAGCCCCUUGCAGGUGACCACGAUCGAUGGCAGGGAGCUGUUGGGUGGAGAAGUCAGCUUGCAGACCGUCCCAAUGAUAAUGAAGGUAGCAAGGCACACCGAACUGAUAGCUUUUAAUGUGGCCACCUUGGGAGGAGCUCCCAUUAUAUUGGGGAUGAGCUGGCUAGCGUUACAUGAUCCGCUGGUGGGCUGGCAUCAGAGAGUGGUUUCUUUUGGUUCAGCACAUUGCUUAGAACACUGCAAAGAGGGAAAGGGUUUGGCAGGGGUCCAAGCCGCCCUAGCAGGGACUGAAGUAACAGAGAACGUGAAGGUACCACGACAAUAUGCAGAUCUCCGUGACGUCUUCAGCGAAAGGGAAGCUGACCAACUCCCCCCGCAUAGACCCUUUGACUGUCAAAUCAACUUACUCCCUGGAGCACAGCUCCCUGUAGGCAAGCUGUACGCCAUGUCAGACAGAGAGAUGCAGGAGUUAAGAGAGUUCAUUGACAAGAACCUGAAGAGAGGGUUCAUCAGAGAGUCCAGGUCGGUGGGGGGCAGCCCAGUGUUUUUGUGGAUAAGAAAAACACGAACAAGCCGAGGCUGGUGUGUGACUUCAGGGCCUUAAAUGCAGUGUCAGAACCAGUAGCCUUCCCUAUGCCCAGGAUUGACGACAUUUUGACAAGGGUGCGGAAGGGAAAGAUUUUCACAAAGCUGGACCUAAGGGGGGCGUACAACCUGGUACGAAUAAGGAAGGGGGAUGAAUGGAAAACCACUAUGUUCACCCCUUUAGGGGCAUUUGAAUAUUUGGUUAUGCCCUUCGGCCUACAAGCAGGCUCCGCAACAUUUCAAUCGUUUAUGAACCACGUCCUGGGGCCUUUGCUUUACAAGAAUUGUGUGGCCUUUUUAGACGACGUGUUGGUGUAUUCUGAGAAUGAGGAGCAGCAUGUGAGAGACGUCAGAGAAGUGUUGAGCAGGCUGCAAGCCAACCAGCUGUGGGUGAAACUGGAGAAGUGUCAGUUUCAUACCAAGGAGGUGGAAUUCCUGGGGUAUCGCCUGUCAGACAAGGGAUUGGCCAUGGAUCCCGGCAAGGUCCAGGCGGUACUGGAAUGGAAAACACCCAAAACAAAGAAGGAUGUGCAGAGGUUCCUAGGAUUUGGGAACUUCUAUCGUAAGUUCAUCCGAAACUUUGCCCACCUGACGGCGCCCAUUACGGACUGUCUCAGCAGUAAGAAGAAGUUCGUGUGGACUGAGGAGGCGGAGCGAGCAUUUGAGGAACUAAAAAGGGCCUUCGCCUCGGAACAACAACUCCUGCAUGUGGAUUUACAAAAACCGAUGAGAGUGGAAACUGACGCAUCAGACAGAGCGAUUGGGGCGGUGCUUCUGCAGCCAGGCAAGAAGGGGUCAGAGUGGAGACCGUGUGCCUUUUUUCGCGAAAGCUGAACAAAUCCGAGAGGAACUACACGGUGUAUGACCGAGAACUACUAGCCAUUUAUGAGGCGUUCCGGAGAUGGAGGCACCUGCUAAUUGGCGCACAACAUAAGGUGCAAGUGUGCACUGACCACAAGAACCUAGAGUAUUGGAGGACGGCACGAGUGCUCAACCAACGGCAAGUGAGAUGGGCCCAGGAGUUCUCCAAAUUUAACUUUGAGAUUAGUUACGUGCCAGGCCCAGAGAACAUUAGGGCGGACGCUCUCUCACGCAAACCUGAAUAUUUGGAGGGGAGGGGCACCCGAAGAGAGACAUGUCAUUCCAGAAGACCGCUGGGUGUGUGGGGCGGCAUUGGUGGGACAAAGAGAACUGGUAGAGGAAACAGAGAAUGAUGAAUACGCCCAGAAUAAGCUCAGAGGUCUUAGGGGUGAUGGAGAGGAACCAGGGGGUUUCGAGGAAAGAAAUGGAGCUUUGUAUUACAAGGGGCACUGUAUAUCCCUGAAGGAGAGUUAAGGGGAGGGUACUCAAGCAGUUGCACGACAGCCCUACGGCGGGGCAUUUUGGACAACACAAAACCAUGUGGUUGGUCACCAGGGAAUUUUGGUGGCCUAAGGUGAGGGAAGAUGUACGUGAGUAUGUAAGAGGGUGCGAGCAAUGCCAGCGAGCCAAAGGGGAAAGGCGGGCGCCGGCGGGGCUAUUAGAACCCUUACCAACCCCAGAACGACCUUGGGAGGCAGUGUCGAUAGAUUUUAUGACUGAUCUGCCGAAGUCCAAAGGGAAAACAGCCAUCAUGGUGGUGGUAGACCUACUAACAAAGAUGUGCCACUUUGUAGCUUGCUCGCAUGCAGUCACGGCGGAAGAGACAGCGAAGUUAUUUGUAGAAAACAUUUUUAGGUUGCACGGGGUGCCAUUGAGGGUGGUCUCAGACCGAGGAAAACAAUUUACUUCCAGGUUCUGGAGGAAGCUCAUGAGCUUACUGCAGGUGGAGGUCAAUUUUUCGACUGCCCGGCACCCUGAAACCAACGGGCAGGCGGAAAGAGCAAACGGUGUCCUCCAGCAAUACCUGAGGUGUUAUGUCAAUGACAGAGAGAAUGACUGGGUAGAAAAGUUGGCGCUGGCGGAAUUUGCCUACAACAAUGCCGAGAAUGUGUCCACAGGGAUGAGCCCCUUCUUGGCUAAUUAUGGGUGUCAUCCCAGGGCUUUCCCAGGGGAGAGGGGAGAGAUGGAGCGUCCCGGCAGCCGAACAUUUUGUGGAAGAAAUGGAAGCAAUCCAUCGUCAGCUCCAACUCAACUUAGAAAGGGCGAAGGAAGAAUACAAGAGGCAGGCAGACAAGAACCGAAGGGAAGGUGAAACCAUAAGGGUGGGAGAUAGGGUGUGGCUGUCAACCCAAGGGUUGCCGUUCAAAGGAGGUUGUAAGAAAUUAAGACCCAGGAGGUUGGGUCCCUUUGAGGUCAUUCAACAGGUCAACCCAGUGGCUUUCAGGCUCCGGUUACCCAACCACAUGAAACUGCACCCAGUAUUUCACAGGUCGUUACUGUCACCGUACGAAGGGGGACGAGAAGGGCUGGCCACUCGGGGACCGGUCGUAGAAGAAAGAGAAUGCAGCAGCCAUGUGGCUGAAAUCCUCGACGCCAGGUGGAAGGGGGAUCAGGUGGAGUAUUUGGUAGCGUGGGAAGGAGAACCGGAGUCAGAAAACACUUGGGUAAUGGCUGAAGAUAUCAAUGACGAGGUAUUGAUAGAAACGUUCCAUCAAAGGUUCCCAAGGAAACCUCAGCCUGUGGAGAGGUUCCGGAGGGAAUACUUUGGGACCACUGAUGAAGGGGAGGAGUUGGAAGGAUUCCCGGACUCGGAAGGGGAAGGGGAGAUAGACUCUGAGGAGGAGGUGUACUUCGAGACCAGGAACCGCAACAGGUUGAGAGAAGUGUUCGAGACAUCGGAAGAUGAAGGAAGUUCAUUCCGGGUUUUGCCUCCUCACCGCCCGUAGAGGAGGGGGCGAGAGGGGGUGAAGGGGGCCCUGGAGGGGAGGUGGAUGUCAGGGAACUGCCAUCGGACGGAAGGGAGGUGAAAGGGCUCACACAGGUUGGGAGAGACGCAGCAGCUGAAGAGGGAACCAACAGGGAGGUGAAAGGGCUCACACAGGUUGGGAGAGACGCAGCAGCUGAAGAAGGAACCAGCAGGGGAGAGGAGCUGAGCUGGAGGGAUGGCUCAGAGACACUUCCAGCGAAAACAGUGGGGAGGUUUCAGAACCUCCUGUAAGAACACCCACUCCUCGCCGGAAACUGUCACGCAGAGAUUCCAGAAGACGUGUUUCCGUUAAGGAGCUUUUAUGUUGGAAGCGAUUACGAAAGCAACCACUGUCGGAAUCUGCUAGUGACUAGAGCAGCCAUGUCUGAGGGGCUCCGUCACAGACAGAGGUUUGUGGACUUGAACAAACUCUGAGGGGAUACGAUUUUACGCACAAGCAGCUCAUCAUCCCAUCACAGCAAGGCAGGACGGGGAGACUGAUUUGGGGGAGAGGAAUUUGGAGGUGUGUUUUUCUUUUUCUUUCCUUAACCUCCUUAUGUACCUGCAAGGGCCAAUUUUAGUUUUGGAUUUUGACUGAAGGCACAUUCUUUCACCUUUGGUGGACAUGCCCAAGGAUUAAGACAUUCUGGGAGAUGAUUUAUAAUGAAAUGAAAAAGGUAUUUAAAUAUACCUUCCUGAAGAAACCAGAGGCCUUUCUCCUGGGCAUGGUCAGCCAAUUGGUGUUAAAGAAGGAUAGAACUUUUUUUAUGUAUGCAACAACAGCAGCAAGAAUACUCAUCGCGAAGUAUUGGAAGACACAAGAUUUGCCCACCUGGGAAGAAUGGCAGAUGAAGUUGAUGGACUACAUGGAACUGGCGGAAAUGACUGGCAGAAUCCGAGACCAGGGAGAAGAGUCAGUGGAAGAAGAUUGGAAAAAGUUUAAAGACUAUCUACAGAAAUAUUGUAAAAUUAAUGAAUGUUAGAAAAAUGUUGAAAUGAAGUUAUAUGGCUUUAGUAGAAAUAUUAUAAGGAUUUAAGUACAGAUAGGUUAAUAGAGCAUUAAAGGAAAAAAUAAGGUUAGAAUGAGUUAAGAUAAUUAUAGGAUAGAAAACAGAGGAAGAUGGAAAGGAAUUGCUGAAAUAAUUAACAGAAGUGGAAUACAAAAAGGAGGUGUGAGGAGGUCGUGGAAAUAAGUGAAUGAAAGAUGGGAUAAUGAAAUUGUUUGAUUUAUUUUAUUGUCUUUGUCUUGUUUUGUUAAUUUGAUGUGUUGUAUUGUAUUUUUUUUUCUUUUUAGUGUUUAAGUUUUUGGAAAAAUAAUAAAUAUUAUUUUUUUAAAAAAAUAGUUUUGGAUUUAAUACAGCUGUUUAGUGCAAGAGCAAUUCCACACAAAACAGUUGUUUUAAAAAAUUUAAAAAGAUUGCUGUGAACAUGCCUUAAGCAACAACUGGUGGAAAUAGGCAAGCUGCAUCCUUUCUUGGAUGGGUUGAGCUCAGACGACAAGUAAAUGGAGUAGGGGAUACAGUGGUUGAUGGCACCCAGCAAAACAUUGACAUGCAAAAAAACCCCCACAACCCUGCCCAGACAAUGUGCUUCAGUGUGGCCAUACUUGGAUAGCACACAAUUGUAUGUUGGAGUUAUGUUGUUGCAUUAUCCAGGGAUUGGGAAAAUCAGAAUUCAAUGGGGGGAAGUGCAGGCUGCCAGUUGGGUGCAGACAACAUUGUGUGGACAACACAAAAACCAGUUGCAUGCAGUUGCAUGUAGUCUGUCCCCAUGCUUUUUUAAAAUUCCCUCUUCUCUCCAAAGCCAUUAAUAGUCCAGGAGUUCAUUCCAACUCACCGGUGUCUGGAUUAAUGCAGGAUAUUUUCUAUCUCUGAUAAACUUCUUUGACAAUACAGUUAAGCAAGAUAACUGGCAUAGCAGAUGGAGGGGGAGCAGUUUGUGUGUGUGUGUGUGAGAGAGAGAGAGAGAGAGAGAGAGAGAGAGAGAGAAAGUGUGCGCAUCAGUCUUUGCCUGCUGUUUACAAAUAGAUCCUGCUUUCUUGCUUGGCUUUUGCAAAUCCGGAGCCAGAGUGGAUCAGUUUGGGGAGGUGGGGCUGGCAUGGGAAUUUCUCCCAGAUGGAGGGAUUCUGAGGUUUAAGGAUAAAUGAAAGAACAUUGAACUUUCCCAUGGUCCACUCAACAAGAAUAUCAGCAUUUUGGCAAGGAACAGAGUAUUCCGAAAGAGAAAGACGCCACCAGGUACAAGAAAACAGCUAUUGCAUUUUUAGACUCUUGAAUUAAAGAUAGCUUGAAGUUACGCACAGGCUUCUUUUGCAGCUGGUCCAUAUUCUCAUUACUCUAUCCAGCAGUUCUUAAACAUUUAUGUGCAGUUCUACAACAGGGUGCAAAGUGAGAUGCAGAUACCAGGUAGAGAACUAAUUUGUGUAAGCUAAUCAGGUUUGAAUUGUUUCCUCAAUAUAGAAUAUGUAAACAAGGCAUAGUGGACAUAGGGCUUGCCCACACUGGAGCAAAGUGUGUAUUUGUGCUGGCCUGUCUCCCCAUUAAUGUAAAGGCAUCCUCAUCCCAAUGGUGAACUGGCCAUUCCCCUUUUAAAUGUGGGUUUUUUGAUCCUUGGAAAGUCCACAUUGGGAAAACCUGUAUUUAAAGUAGGAAAGGUCUGAGACAACAGUGGAAUGGGCGUCCAAAUUUUGGUCCAGUGUGGAGAAGCCCUAACUCGGCACCGAACCAACCACCCAUUGCAGGGAUCAACAAAUUACCCCUUCAAUAAAUUACCCCUUUUAAUUGUGGGUGGAUGAUGUCUCUAUAAGAACCAUGUGCCCUGGAACAGGAAGCUUGGAGAGACAAGGAAUCCUAUUCCCUAGAAGCCCAGCCAAGUAGCAUGUGCAUAUAUAUCUCUGUCCUGUGAAACACUGGAGCCUGCUCUCUAAUCUGAGCAUAAUUGUGACUUCCGGGUUGGCGCCUCAGGCAAUGGCAGAGCUCCUCCGUUCGGGAGGAACUUGCUCCGUGAAAAACAGGGUCUGACCGCCACGGCGAAGGUGGAGACCCAUUGAAAUCACAGGCGGGAGAAGCUUGUGAACCUGGGAUUCGGCUGGCACCUUUUGCGCCUCCCCUACUCGCGGGGAAACCCUGUUUUUGGGGUCCGGAGCGACGUGGGGUGAGUGGUGCGGUGCUUUGAAUCGACUGCUUCUUUCACGGAGUGAAGCCGCAUUGCUGUUGUUGGAGAGCGCUGACUUUUUCCUGUGGACAAUUGGAUUUUAAACUACGCGUGAGUAAAACGGAAAAUUGGAUUUUUAAAUACUUUAAUUUGGCAUUGAAAUGGGAAGGUUGUAAACAGGAAGUCCGCCUCCCGUUUUCGUAAAUAGACUGAAGCAAAGACGUUACAAGUUAAAGCCUUUCAAAGCUUUUGGCAAAGGAUUAAAUUUCCACCGGUUUAAAAUACAAAACCCCCCUUGGAAGCAGGAGAAGAGGGGGAAAUUUUGGAUCUAGUGAGCCUGCAGGAGAGAGUGAAAAAUUAAAUUACCACUGCUCUGAACCUGGGAACGGGCUGCCAGAUGACGUUUGGAGAGAGUGCAUUUGACAGAACGGAUUUGACAGCUAGCUAAAUAAGAGUAAGAUACUGUUUCCAUUGUCCUUUUCUGCGCUUAAAAAAGAGGAAAAGUAACUGAAAAUUUAUCUUUAAUGUAUGAAAGAACUGAUACAAGUGGAGACUGUUUCCCUCUAGAGGGAGCUUUUGAAACUGUAACAGGAGUGUAACUGGGGGAUUCCCAGCUGCAGAUAAGGAUUCUGAGAACCAGAGAGCGACCUUGGACCCUUUAAAAAUGUUGACAGGAGAGGCCAUUGUGACUGUUUUAUGUAAGAUAAGCUGUUCGCUGGGACAACUUCACAAGAAGAUGGAUGACAUGACUUUUAAAGUUGAUAAUUUGGAACAGAAAGUGACCAGUUUGAGUCAAAAAGCGAACACCAACACAGAAAUAAUUCAGGACUUGGUACAGGAAUCCAUUUUGGCAGGACAAAUGGUGGAGGAGAAGGAGGAGAAGGAGAAUGCUGCUGUUGUUGAAUAUAAAAUAAUACAAGUGAGAUCUGUGGCUUUACAGAAGCAAAUUGAGGACUAUAAGUUGAGGCCUUUUAUGAUUGAAUCUAGGAAAAGUCAGACUCUGAGGAAUGGAUCCAGGUUUGGAUUAAAGAAGGAAAGUUGGAAAGAGCCCUCUAUGCAGGGAUUAACUGACUUUUGGGACAUGGACUUGGGCCUGGAGGAGAUUGAAGUUUUGGGGGCCUUUGGACUUGGAGGAAUCCUGAAAUAUGCCCUGAAAUACUUUAUGGACUGUAGCUUUAACUAUGGAAAUUUAGCUGAUUUGUUCAGAAGGAAGAAAAGGAUUGACAGGUUGGAGUUUCCCCGAGAUUUGCUUUUUAGCAUUAAAGAAAAUGAAGAAGACCUGCAGAAGGGACUUGGAAAAGAGUUAAGAGCCUCGGACAUAAGAUCACCAGGUGGAUGGACUUUAUGGAACUGACGGAAAGGACUGGCAGAAUCUGAAACCUGGGAGAGGAGACGGUGGAAGACGAUUGGAAAAUUUAAAGUUUAUAUAUAGACUUAUGGUAAAACUAAUGAGUGAUAGAAAAAUGGUGGAAUGAUUUUUUGUAUUUUUUAUUUUUUAUGGGCUUAGUAGAAAUGUUAUAAGGAGUUAAGCAUAUAUAAGUAUUUUAGUUUUAAUGGAAAAUAAGGCUAAAAAAUUCGUUAUUUACAAUAUUAUGGAAAAUGGAGAAAGAUGGAAAGGAUUUGCUGAAACAAUUAAUAGAAGUGGUAUACAAAAAGGGAGGUGAGAGGAGGUCGAGGAAAUAAGGGAAUGAAAGAUAGAGUAUGGAAAAGAGAUGAUGUAAGUUUUUAAAUUGUUUUUGUUUUAUUUCAUUUAGGGUUAAGGCUAGGGAGUGGGGUUUGUUUAGUUUAGUUUAAUGUGUUUAGUUUUGAGUUUAGGGUGUGUUUUGUAUUGUCUAUAUAUUGUAUUGUAUUGGUUUUUUUCUUUUUUCUUUUUGCUUUUCUCUUUUGUUUUUUCCCCCUGUUUUUUUUCUUUCUUGUUCUUUUUCUCUUUUUGUAAUCUAUAAAAGUAAUAAAUAUUAUUUUUUUAAAAAUCUGAACAUAAUUGCACCUUUUUUUCACCACCAGUUGCUCCAAUUCCAGUCAUUCAGGAUCAUGCAUGCAUGACAGUCGCUUGCUAUGUCCUGGCUCAGAAAGGUACUUUCCAUGAGGGUAGCACCCAGUAUGUGAUCACUACCUAGUGCAGGCAAAUUGUGGAGUCAAGCCAGGCAAGAAUGGGAGGGAACAGCUGAAAUACAAGCACAUUGUGCCUUGGAAGAGGCCAUCACAAUUGGCCUGCUUUCCCAUUAAUACUGUUACAGAUGGUGAGGAUCAGCCACAUGUGUGUAUGGAUGAGGGAGAGAGGGAGAGAGAAUGUUCCUGUUAAGCACACAUAUUUACACAUCUAUUCUUCAACCAGAAACAGAAGGCACUUCCUCCUUCCAUGGGCAGAAAACUCCCUUUAGCUGUCAACCUCUCUGUCAGUCCCAGUGGAUAAUUAAUGUAUGCCCCACAGUGCAAUCAAAGGGAAGGGGGCAUAAAGUUUGUGAGUACUAAGAAGGAGGAAAUCUGGUUGAAGAAAUAACUCGGAGGCUGGAAUGUUGCUUGGAGGAGGAAAAGUCCGAGGUGUCAAGAGGAAAACCAAAGACCGCCAAGCCUGUGAUCCCUCCACCUCCAGACUUGUACUCAGGCUUGCAGGAAGAAGGGCCUUAGCUCAAUGGAAGGACAUUCCCUGCAAGAGCUCCCAGGUUCAAUCCCUGGCUGGGAAAAACUCCUACCUGAAACCAUUAAGAGCCACAGCCAGUCAGUGUCAACAGUACUGAGCUAGAUGGCUCAAUGGCCUGAGUAAUAAGGCAGCUUCUAGUGUUCUCAUGAUAGUUUAUGAUGCUUUCUGACAUUAACGUAUUUGGGCAUCUCAGUGCUCCUUGCUCUUCUGCACACCAGGGUGAGGCCACAUAAGUGCUUUAAGGACCCUCUUUGGGACUAAUGCAUCCCAAAUAUUUGUGUCAGAUUGUUUGGGGCUCAAGGUGUAGCAAGGGGGAAAUGCACAAGAGGAGCAUCAGGCUUGCUGCUCAGAACAUCUGGAAUGAGCAGUUCUUGCCCAGGUGAAUGACUGCGGAUUUAUUCUGAGCCUUUUAUGGAGCUUGGAUCCUCAUUCAUGCUGGUUGGAUGUUAAAGAAGGGGCCACCUGGGUCCAGGGAACCCCAAGGCAAUGUUAUCAAGUAAAAGUGCAAGAGAAGUUAUGACCUGGUGCAUGAAAGUCACCUGUUGAGAGAGAAAGUGAACUUGUGCUGAUAUUGUUACUAAUAUUUGUAUUUCUCUGUGACUGAAUGUGCAGCCAUGUUAGGACAUAACCUCCAUUUUAAGUCAGGGGGAAAAACACAGCUUGCCUGCUAGAGUCAAUGAGCUAUCAGUCUCCUGAUAUGUUUUUCUUCCUUGGAUAUCAGGCAAAAUCAACAUCCUUUUGUUUUCUAUUAGGGGGAAAACACCCUUCCAGACAGAGCAAAUGUUUUGAUUAAUGAGUCCUUGAAUUCCUCUCCUUCUAUUCUGUAACUCCUGGGAAAUCAAUUAAAAUGGUAAUUUCCUUUGUCAUAAUGGGGAGUGUGUCCAGCCCAACCACCUGCCUGUGACAUCACUGUGGCACUUAGGACUGCUAUUGGUCUGUAGACCCUGGAGGCAAGGUCAUUCUUUUCUUGUCCCUAGCCACAUGAUUUCUUCCCCCCAAUAAAGCAGCUCUCUGGGCAGAAUAAUGGGUGUUGUUGUUUUUCUGCUUCCGGUUACUCUCUGGCUCUGUGGUGCUUUCUUUCUUCUUCUUUUUAGAACAGAGAAUUAGGAAGUGGGGGUGCUGCUGGCCAAGCUCGCCUGGCAUUGGUCUUGCACAAUGGCCUUCGAAAUUUCUAGGCACUGAUAAUUAAUCUUUUGCAGCAAAGCUUUCAUUUUCAAACUGUCCUUUAUCUUAGCCUGAUUUCUUUUGACUAAAUGUAAGCUUUUGAUUAGGAAAGAUACUCAUUCUGCCUGGAUGAUUUAUAAUGUGCUCAGGCUCAAACCCCAUGGAGCCUGCCCAUUUAGCCUUUGGUGAUAUUAAAAUAUGGAGGGGGAGGCAACUGCUCCAGAAGGAUACCAUGGCCAAUGGUACUGGAAACUGCUGAGAGGUCGAGGAGCAGUUUUUGGGUCAAGACCCGCCCUAAACCCUGAUGGUAAUGGAUCUAGAAAAUUAGUUUCCUCCAAGAGUGCCAGGAUCUGGUCCAUGGGCGUAGCCAGGGUUUUGUGGGAGAAGCAGGCCUUUUGUAGGGGAUGCAGAACCUCAGCUAUGUGUUUUUAUUGAUUUAGGAGGGCACUUGUCCCUCCCUGCCUCUCCUUGGCUGUGCCCAUGAUCUGGUCCAUGACCACCCACUCAGGAACCUUGCCCAAGAAGGGCAGAUUGGCAACUGGCUGGUAGGUACUUAGACUUUCCAAAUCCAGGAAAGUGUUAUUGAGUAGUAGUUUUACCACUGCCUCCUUCAAGCAAGCAGGGACCACCUCCUCUUGCAGGGUGGCAAUGAUCACCUCCUAGGCUUAGCGAGCCAGUUUUUAUCAGCCAAGAGAGGCAAGGAUCCAGAGUGCAAGUGGUUGCCCUGACCAAUCUAAGCACCCUACCUAUUCAUGCACUUAUACAUCCUAUUUGACACACAUAACAGUCAAUUGGAUCUUAAGUCCAACAGCACUUGCUAUUCUGGGAUCUAAGGAAAAAGAUGAGUAUCUGCAGGACAAAAGCACUGGGAUAUGCUGUGCAGAGAAGGAAAUAUGUGUGGGCUUAAAUUCAUCCAAAAUGGACUUCCGGGGAGGUGCCUCCGGUAAUGGCGGAAUUCCUCUGACCGGGAGGAAUCUGCUCCGUGGAAAUCUGGGUCUGGCCGCCACGGCGAAGGCGGAGACCCAUUAAAAUCACAGGCGGGAGAAGCCUGUGAGCGUGGGAUUCGGCGGGCACCUUUUGCGCCUCCUCCACUCAUGGGGAACCCCGGUUUUUGGGGCUCCGGAGCGACGUGGGGUGAGCGGCGUGGUGCAUCGAAUCGUCUGCUUCUUCCACGGAGCGAAGCCGCGUAGCUGUUGCCGGAGAGUGCUGACCUUUUCCUGUGGACAAUUGGACUUUAAAGUAAUUACCCGUGAGUAGAGCUGAAGCGGAAGAAUUGGAUUUCUAAAUGUUUAAUUUGGUAUCGUAACGGGGAGGUUCAAAACAGGAAGUCCGCCUUCCCCUUUUGUAAAUAGGCUGAGGCAAUGAAGUUGCAAGCUGGAGUCCUGGAAAGUCUUUCGUAAAAGAUUAAAUUUCCAUCGGUAAAGAACAUUAAACCCCCUCUUGGAGGCAGGAGAAGAGAGGGGGAAGUUGUGGAUUGAGUAUGCCUGCGGGAGAGAGCGAAGAGAUUUAAAACACCGCCGCUCUGACCCUGGAUAUGGGCUGCUAGUAGGACUGACAUCUUUUGGAAUGUUCAUUGACAGCGUUUAGAACGUUCAUUGACAGCUAGCUAAACAAGAGAAAUACAUUGUUUCUACUGUCUCCGGCUGCUUUAAAAAGGAGUAAAAGUAACUGAAAAUUGAAACUAAUUUGAAACUAAUAUUGGAUUGUUUAAAAGAGGAUACUAUUGACUAUUACAAAUAGAAACUGUUUCCCCCUAGUGGAAGCCUUUGAAACCAGUUGCGUUACAAGAGCUGGGCUAGGGAAAUUUCCAGCUGCAAGUUAAAAACCGUGAGACUCUGGGACUGACCUUGAAUCUUUUAAGUGUUAUGGUAAAUGGAAGAGGAAAAACAGACCAGUCAACUGCUGACAAAACAUUAAGGUCUGGGAGGACUUGGCAACAAUCCAGGAGAGGUCCAUCAUCAGGCUUCCCUGCUCCUUCUGUUGCAGCCUUUGUACCAGUAUAUUUAAAACCAAGAGGAAUGUCGACAGAAGAGGCUUUAGUGGCUGCAUUAUAUAAGAUAAAUGACUCAUUGGAUCAGCUUAACAGGAAAAUGGAUACGAUAAAUGCGAAAGUGGAUGUUUCAACUAUUAAAAUUAACUUAAUUACAGAAAGUAUAAACAAUACCAAUACAGAAACCACCCAGAAAUUGAUACAGGAACUUACUUUGAUACGGCAAACUGCGGAGGAAGCCAGGGAAAAAGCUGUUGUUGUUGAAUGUAAAGUAACACAACUGGAGAGAAAGAGAAAGAGAGCCCCAGCCCUACAGAGGCAAUUUGAUGAACAUAAGUUGACGCUUGCUACGACUGAACUUAUAGAAAAACAGACGAAUUUGAGGAUUAGAAUUCACCUUUGGUGGACAUGCCCAAGGAUUAAGACACUUUGGGAGAUGAUUGAUAAUGAAAUGAAAAAGGUAUUUAAAUAUACCCUCUUGAAGAAACCAGAGGCCUUUCUCCUGGGCAUGGUCGGCCAAUUGGUGUUAAAGAAGGAUAGAACUUUUUUCACGUAUGCAACAAUAGCAGCAAGAAUACUCAUUGUGAAGUACUGGAAGACACAAGAUUUAUCUAUUCGGGAAGAAUGGCAGAUGAAGUUGAUGGACUAUAUGGAAUUGGCGGAAACGACUGGCAGAAAUCCGAGACCAGGGAGAAGAGUCGGUGGAAGAAGACUGGGAAAAGUUUAAGACUAUGUAUAGAAAUACUGUAAAAAUAAUGAAUGUUAGAAAAAUGUUGGAAUGAAGUUAUAUGGCUUUAGUAGAAAUGCUAUAAGGAAUUAAGUAUAAAUAGAUUAAUAGAGUAUUAAAGGGAAAAAUAAGAAUAUGUUAAGAUAAUUAUAGGAUAGAAAACAGAGGAAGAUGGAAAGGAAUUGCUGAAACAAUUAACAGAAGUGGAAUACAAAAAGGGAGGUGUGAGGAGGUCGUGGAAAUAAGGGAACGAAGGUUAAGAUAUUGAAAUUGUUUUCUGUUUUAAAUGGUUUGUGUCUUGUUUUGUUAGUCUUAUGGUUUUUUUGCUUUUUUUGUUUUUCUGUUUUGUUGUGUUUAAACGGUUGGAAAAUUAAUAAAUAUUAUUUAAAAAUAAAUAAAUAAAUUCAUCCAAAAUGGGACAGGGCUGGGAUGGCAGUAGAACGUGGGAGCUUACGCAUGGGGAUAUUUCCAAGGUGUGCACUCAAUUGCCCCUUCCCUAAAUGGUUUUUAAGACUGCAGUGCAAAUGCACGUGGACUGCAUAAGCAAAACACUUGGAUUACCUUCUAGGUAGCAUAAAGACUCUACUUAGUUGUAAAUCAACAUUUUUAAAACGUUUAUAUCAGCCAAUUAGUAUGCAUGUUUGUUUAGGAAAUAGCUGGAGUACAAAUGGGAAACUUGAUUUAAAUCAAUGAUUUAAGCCCAUCUCUUCUCUUGGUGAUUUAAAUUACUGAUUUAAAUCGCCUUGAUUUAAAUCAGUGCGGCAAAGCAAUAAUGCUGGGACAGGAGAGCAGGGUAGAUUAGAGCUUUGGGAGCAGAGCUGACUGGGAAGGUGAGAGGAACAGAAGAGGAGAUACUGGGAUCUUGAGACCAGGCAGAGGCCAACUCUACCAAGGAACAUGCCAUAAAGACAAGUGAAGUGGUUCCAGAAUCUCUGCUAAGUGGGAAGAACAUGCUGAGGGUGCCACUACAAUUGAUAUGAGACAAAACAGAAAACAAUGAAUGUAAACACCUGUGUUCAUUCAGGUGUCCCCACUGUGAGUUGGGACAGCUCCCUUUACCCCAAAACACUCAAUCUUAUCCCACUUCUAAAUACCCCAGAGAGAAUGUUAGUUUCAGCUUUCUGGAGAAUGCAGCAUAGGUGGUAUGAACCUGGAGAUCUGCUAAGACUGGUGCCCCAUGUUCCCUAUGCCAAGUGCAGGCAAUGCCAUGGUAUGUUUCCCAUCUCCUCAUCUAGCUUGGGAAGAAGAGGAGCUCAUCCUUCCAUGUGAGGUGUCCAUUUUACAUAGUUUUGGACAGGUAGCCCAAUGUCUACCUGGGAGCCAAGGGUGGUAAAUGGAGCACUGGGACCAAGGACAGUUCGUCUACUAAUGUCUUCCUCUAGCCACACUCAGCUGGUAGAUUGAACCAUUCACAGGGAUUCUGUGGGGAACAGGCAUUCAUUCAGCCUUGUCCAUCUACCUGUGGACCUUUGGAUUCUACCAUAGAAAAUUGCUUCCACUAUGUUGCAGUGCUGUGUAAAGGGCAUUCAAGAUCCAUGUACUGGACAGAUUAUUGGCUGAUAGACAGAGACAUUGAUAGGAACUAAAAGGAGUUGGAGCACAAGUCCAUAGCACAAAUUUGUAUAUCCUAGUUUAUAUUAUAGGGAUUAUGAUUAUGAGUGGCUGGGGUCUCAUCAGGUGCCGACAAAAAUCCUAGGGCUCAGGCCCUCUGGUUGAAAAAAAACAUGUAUAAAAAGAGUUGGAAAAUGUUAAUACAACUAAACCUCAUAGUAACCUAAAAGGUCAUCACAAAAACAAUAUACCCUACCAACAUAAAUUCAGCAUGUUAUCAACAACCUGCUCUUAACACCAUAUCUGAAGCCCAACUGGUUGUCCUGGGUACAGGUACUCCUUCAGGCAGAUAACCCCACCCCAAACCAUUCAGGGCAUUAAAUAUAUUUACAAGCAGUUUAAACUGGGCUUUGAAAUGUACCAGUAAGUAAUGCAACUGGUACCGUAUUGGCAUAUGUUCUGACUAUCUGACACUGGCCAGAAACUGUGCAACCACUUCUUGUACCAGCUGCAGUUUCUGGCUGGUGGCUUGUUCCGAGCAAGCCUGGAUCAGCCCAGGCAAUUUCAUCUGUGGAAUUCUCCAGUGUCUUGUCAAUCAUCUCCGGUUUCCAGCAGGCUAAUAUUUAGCAAGCUCUGGAAAGCUGCCUGCCUGAAAAACUGAGCACUAGUGCCCAGGGCCACAAGUGAAAUGGGUUGUGUCACCCUCAUGUGCACAAGCUCCUGAAUUUCCCCUCCUGUCCGAGCCUCACUGCAUGAAGCCAUGGGUAUGGCUUGCUUAAGGGAGUCCUCCCUGCAGUCUCCCCCCUUCUGCUCUCAAAGCCCCUUCCCUCCAGCCCCCCACCCCACCCAGUGCCCCCCUUGGCCUCCUCUCACUCACUCCCCACCCCCCAACUCUGCCCGUGUUUCUUUAGAAUAACAUUCCUGCUAAAGACUUUAAUCAGAUUAGUAGCAGUGUCUGCAGUGCUGUUAAAUCAAUGUUCCCCAACACGGCUCGGCGGCUGGAAAUCAAUUACUGUUUAAGCCGUGCCUUGGUCCCUGGCCUGCGAUCAAUACGCCAGAUGUAUUACUCUCUCCGAGUCUUUCCGACUAAAAACCUUUCAUUUGUGUAACAGGAGCUUAAGAAGGAAGACCGCCCCACUGCUCCUACCAGGGCCAGCCCCCACUAUCUCACACUCGGGCAAGGGGAGAGCUGGGGCUAGGGCGUCCCUGGGCCGAACCACUUGGGAAUGUCAGGCAGGAAGAGCAGUGAAGCCAAGACAGCCUCAGGUUCUGCCUCCUCCAAGAUUCACUCCCUGACAAGUCUAUACCCUGCCCCUCUUUAGAAAAUGGCAUAUUCCUUCAGGCACAUAUGUAGGCACAGAGAGAGUUCCAAAUCUGCCUGCUCCCAAUGGCUGCAUACACACCAUACAUUAAAAACACGUUUUUUCCCCACCGCAAAGAAUACUGGGAGCUGUACUUUGUUUAUGUAACAAAAUUUAUAUACUGCUUGAUUGUAAUAAGGCCUCUUCUUCGGGUGUGGGGAACCUUUGGUUGUCCAAGUGGUGCUGAACUGCAAGUCCCAUCAUCCCUGGCGAUGUUUGCUGGAGUGAGGGGAGUUGUAGUACAGCAACAUCUGGUUGGGUUAAAGAUUCCCCACACUGCUCUACGUGGUUUACAAGGGUGACCUGUGCUUCCCAGCAUCCUUUACAAACUACAGAUUACAGGAUUAUUUUGGGGGGGGGAGUGAGAUUGAAAUGUAUUAUGUGUAUGCAUCCACCUAUCCCUAGUUCCUCUCUUUCCUUCAAGUUCAGUGGGCUGACUACACAUAAUUUCACCACUUGGCUCUCUUCCGCUCACUCACUACCAGAAUCACCAAGGUCCCCUCCACUGGCCAGGGCCAGCCCUAUCGUUAGGCAGGGUGAGGUGGCUGCCUCAAGCAGUAGAUGCUGGGAAGUAGUGAGGUACUGAAGGCAUGAGUCUUUAUGUGCCAUACACUGCCUGCCUUAUGCUUCCCAAGUUAGCCUUCCACCCUCAGAUGUAGUAGAAGAUGCUGUCCCAUUGUGGGUGUUGAAAGUAAGAUUCCACCUACCAGUCUGGUUGACUUUUGUACAUCAAAUGGAGGUAUUUGCAGGUUGCUUUCUUGUCUUUCAUUUCAGGCAGUAAAAUGCCUUUCUUGGACCAACCCAAAGCUUAGAUCUGCCCACUGCAUCCUUGCCCCAGACUCUCAGGCUGUGAUCUCCAUUCUCUUACUGUCCUCAGUUCCCAAGGGCCUGUGGUCUCUGAUCCAAGUAUGUAGAAUAAGCUGAAUUAGUCACGAUAAGAAUCUUUAAUUAGCCGUGAAUAUUAAUGGCUUGCUCUGUAAUUAAUCAGGCUCUGUGGGUCAGGGCUGGGAGGCUUCUGUGCAUACAGAGGGACAAGUUCACAAGCUCCUUCACCAGAGGCUCAUACCAGCUCUGACAUCUGGCCAGGUUGGGGGGGGGGGGCUUGGAAACUUGCAAAGGGAGGAAGGGAGGGAGAAUCUACCAAUGGGUGCAAAGCCAUUGUUGUACACAUUACAAGAUAUGAAUUCCUCUCUAGAACUAGACAAAGCUGUGAGGUGGUAGGGUUGCCAGGGUGCAACUGUACCCCCUUGCUCUGAUUUCCCUUCUGUGGGUCCUUGCCCGGCAACCCAGGAGUGAUGCUCAUAGCCUUUUCUAUCCCUGCACCACUUGUCCAAAUGUUACCCUCUGUAUUGAGUCUGUUGUACAAUACAUUGACUAGCAAGAAGUUCUCUCUCAAAAAAUCCAAGAUCAUUAACUCAAGGUGAUUACAGCUGCCUGUAACCCUGGCUGAUCAAUGCAUCAUAAUGCGUAUGAAGUAUACAAAGGUCAUUCUUUACCUGAAAUGAUGGAAAUUAAUACCAACACUUUCCGUGAUCCCAGAAGUAUGCUUAGUUUUUAAAAACCACAUCAUAUCUGAUUCUGCAUCGACUGGUGUAAAUGAAAGACAACCCUCUUCUUUAUUAUAAAGUGCAUGAUGAAUGCACAACAGAGCUGCAACAGGUUCAGAUGGAAAGAAGCCUGUAAGGAUAGCCAGGAACUGAUCAGGUGCAUGCAAAUAGACUACAGAUGCUGUUGGACUACAACACCCAUCAUCUUUGGCCAUUUUGGCUGGGGCUGAUGAGAGUUCAGCAACAUCUAGAGGGACCCAUAUUUACUACCCCUGGACUAUAAUAUAUAGAAUAGCUGGAUUCCUUUUGGUGCAGUCCAGGGUUCCAGCAUAACCUACCUUGACAUAAUUAUUCCCUCUCUCAAAGAGCACUGAAACAGGCCUCUAAUGGGCUGUUUUGUUAAGUGGGGUGUGGUUCCCUGGAAGAGACAGGACACUGGUGAACCAAUGUUACAUGUCUUAUUAGUAACUGAUUUAUCAUCAAGACGAUUGAUUUUCCAAAGUGUAGACCCCAUGAGGCUUGCCGAAAGGAGUGGGGUCAUAAGUUACUUGUAGCAACAGGCCUGGUUAUGAGAGCGUCCUUAGUGGACUAGAUUAUAGGAGCCCAAGGGACAAGUGGCACAGGAUCAUGGUGGUGGUGAAGCUGAGCAAGAGGAGGUGAAAGUACUGGGGUAAGUAAAGGGCUGUGGGAACUUUUUCAGCUCAGGGGCUGAAUUACCUUUUGGGAAGUCAUGUGCCAUUGGUGGGCAGGGCCGGAGGCAAAAUUGGGCAAAGCAACAGAGAUGAAUUUUACCUUCGUACAGUUGACGAGUUUCUACUCACACUUCCACACAUUCCCCAUCCAAGCCAGUGAGAAGCAUCACCAGAGUUCAAGGGCACUUUCGGGCCAGGUGAAAACACUCAAGGAAGGUCUGAAGCAGGGCUGGUGAGGGGUGUGACCUGAGAAAGUGGGUGUGGCUCAGAAAGGGGAGUGGCCUGGAGAGAGCCCCCAAGGGCCAGAUAAAGAGGUCUAGAGAGCUACAUUUCGCCCCAAGCUUGGGGUUCCCUAACCUUGUGUUAGUAUAUCCAUAAUGGUUUCUAGAGUGGGGGAGUGUGAUAUAGUGAAGCUAAAAAAGGAGCAGAAUUUCAUAAAUUAGAGGAGAAGUGCUUUUAGGAAUUUUAUUUGAUUAAAGCACCCAUUUUCCUUUUCAAGUCCUCACUCCUCUGUCUCCAAGGACACACCUGCCUGUCUCCAUUAUGCCUCGAGCAGUGUGUGUGUGUGUGUGUUUGUUCUGCUUCCUUCUUUCUAGUCUGGGUAAAGCUCUCGAUUACAAUCCAUCCAACUAGCCUGCUGACCUUGACGUACAUGUAUCAUGGUCCCCAGAUCACAAAGAUAUUCACACGCAUUGAUUUCCCUCAUGUCUCCUGCAUGCUGUUGACAAUUGUUAAUCCACACUGUCAAUCCUGGGCCCGUGGUGUGAUUAGCAGUCUGGUGGUACCUCUCAUGUGUCACACUGACUUUACACCAUGAAUCAGCAUUUUAUGGUCUGACAGAGUGCUAAGACAUUCACUGUUACAACUGUCUAUACAGAGGAGGCCUUCCUAGUCCCCACAUCUAUCACAGUGGACUGUUCCAGCUAUAUAAACUAAGGCAGGGCUGAGCAGACGUCAGACUUGCAAGUUCUGCUUGGUGUUAUCCACACAUACACACACACCCCUGAACCACAAGAUCGACCCGCUGGAACUGGGUGCAAAAGGCACCCAUUUAGAAUGAAAUAAAUCUGAGUCCAGGAAUUUGUCUUGAAUACCAGAACUGAGCAGAACUCGUGGUGUAGUUGCCAAACAGAAAUCUGCUCCUGGUCAACACAAUCACAUUCCCUUGCUGGCUGGGCUGAAGAGAAAAUUAUUCCUGGUAUGAUUUUAUGUAAUGAGAAAACCUAUGCCAGGUACAAUUUCCCCUUCUGUGCAUGCUUUAGGGCCAAACUACAUGGUACAUACAACAUUUUUCAUUUUUAAUAAAACUCACUCAGAGGGUGAGUGGACUUCAAAUCCCAUCAUGCCUAGUUAUUGGCCACGAUGGCUGAGAAUGAUGCGAGUUAUAAUCCAAAAUAUUUGGAGGGCACCAGGUUGGAGAAGGCUAUGCUAAAGAUAACAGACAGUGACUGUGGAGGUGUAGCAUCUGUUCUGUGCUGACCCUAGGGAAGGGUACAGUCUGUGGGGCAAAGAUUAAUCAAACAAGAAGAAGAAUUGAUAGUCUUUCUGCUGAAGCAGGCUACCAACAUCGUAAUUUUGCAGCAAUCUGACUUGUAGCUGUGUAACUGGUUUGACUUGUUUCCUCUCCCCUUCCCCACACCAUGAUUUGUAUACUUCUACAUUGACAAAUGUUGGUUCAAUAAACAAUAUCACCUUGCCCAUUUGGUCUCUCUGUGCUCUGGGACUACGACUUAUUGUCUACACACCAAGCUAUUUUAGUGGUUAGAUUAGCAAAUUGAGCAUUACCUUGGAUUUGAUUGCUUGAAUUAACUGCUCAGGGGGUCGUUUAGCCAAGGAGUUGAGAAUAUGUAGGAUGGUAUUGUAUUUUGAUUUACUGUUCCAAUCUCCAGUGCUUUGUGGUGCAGGAAACCUUGGAUUUUCUUAAGGUAGCACCACAAGUAGCGUGUAUUUUCUCCGUGUUGAAUAACAGCAAGAACAAGCCCAGUUAUGGCCUCUUUAUGUUUUCAUAAAAAUAAAAAAAACAGCCAGCCUGCCUGCAAGAGAGUGGAUGUCAAGGUUCUUCAUAGAUUUUCUCUCACUUGGUGCAAUCACUUGGAAUGGUUGGUCCACAAGAUUUGUUCCACUAAUAUAGAGCAUGGUGGGUAAUAUAUUGGUUGUUCAGUCUGAUCCUAAGCCUGUAUACUUGCUAUGUUUGUCUCCCCUUCCCGCCUCUUGGUUUAAUAUCUUUCCUCUAUCAACAUUUAGACUCUAAGCUCCCAGGAGGCAAAGAGAAGCAGCCACCUCAGGCAGUAAAUCCUGAGGAACAGGGAGAGAAGAGAGCUUUUUGUGCCACGUGGACUGCCCUGCACUCCCUAAGUUAGCCUGUGGCCUUUGGUGCCAUGAAGGCCGCUGUCCCACUGCCGGUGCUGAAGCAAGAAUCGACUGUCAGUCUUACCUUACAAAGCUCUGUGUACAUCAAUGGUCCAGUAUAAAUAAUACUUGUGGACAUAGGAUUGCUGCCCUAAUGGAGCAAUGGUGGAGGUGACUUCUGUAUUCUGGACCCCUCUGGAUUUUGUGCAGCACCCUGAGAUAAGGGGAGGCAGAUCUCACGAAUUCCGUAUUACAAAAUGCUGUCAGUACUUCCUGUUUCACACCCAGUAAGCUAGAGCUUGUAAUAUAAGUGGGAUAAAUGCAUUCCAAUAAAGAGCUCUAAAGUAUCUGCCAGAGCACAAGAGAACAGCAUCUAAUCCAGGAAGUGUUCAGAUCCCAUUGAUGGCUCUGAAUCGCCUUAGACAGCACAUCUAGCCAAAUAUUCCAAAGAAAUGGAGGAGAACACGCGUAGAAUACUUUAGGGCAUGUCAAUCCCUCAUUUUGGCCAAACAAGGGCAAGGGUAUGAGUAAGAAAAAUGCCUAAUUUAACAAAAUUAGAUUUUCUAGUAAAAGCAGCCACAAACCAUUAUGCUAUCAUCUAACCUCCUGCUUCAGCCUAACUACAUUUAUCUGUGUUCCUGAGAUGCAAGCGGAAUAAUGUCUGUGCUCCUGGACAGACUCAUCCUUCUGUUUUACAGAUUCCUUGAGAAUCUGUGUGUCCUUAACAGCCUGAUCCUAAAUAUGUUUGCUUCAAAAUAAGUGGUGAUGCUUGAGUAUUUUGCUUGGCCUGUGUUUUGAAACAAACCUACCCUGAUUUGCCCUUCCCAGAUCAGAACCCAGUUAUGAUGCUGUUUCCAUGCUUCUUCAAAUCUUACAAUAUGGUUCUUUAUUCAAAAAUGUACUGACAUUUGUAUUUCAUGAUAACAUAAUACCAACAUGCAUAUUUUCGGAUAAAGUGCAUGCAAAAAUGUGUAUUUCUGUGAAAGAUGUAUGCAAACACAAAGCAAAAUUUCAUGUGGUCUAAAAAAAAUGCAGAUUGAUAUUGAUAUGUAAACAGGACAGGACAGACUUAUGAACAUACAUGUGCCUGGAAAGAGAGGGGCAAAAGGUAAGUGUGGAUAAGCCUACCUUAGCCUAUUACUCUCUCCUCCAACUGGCAGCAGCUCCCUGAACCUUCUGCAUGCAAAUAAUAUGCGGUACCCAUUAAUCUAGGCUCCCUGCCAUUCUUCACUCUGUAGAAAAUUCAGGCUUCUGUGACUUGCCAUCCUAUGUGUAGAUGUGUUUGUGUUACAGCUCAAUCGCACAGCUGACACCUUGGUCACAACCAAUGCCUACACAAACUUGGCUCCCUCUUCUCUCCUGACCACUUGGCAUUUCCUAACAUGGCAUAUGUGCUGCAGUGAGUUGUUGUUGUUUCUUCAUUUAUAUCCCACCUGACCUCCAAGGAGUCCAAGGAGGCAUACAUGGUUCUCCACUCCAUUUUACGCUCCCAACAACCCUAUGAAGUAGGUUAGACUUAGAAACAGUGGCUUGUCCCAGAUCACUCAGUGAACAUUGUGAUUGAGUCGGGAUUGAACCCUGGUCUCUCAGCUCCUAGACCGAGACUCUACCCAUCACACCAUACUGGGUUCACUGCACCAUAGCUGUGGAGGUAUGAUAUAAGAGGAGCCUGUUGGAUGGGGCCAGUGGCCCAUCUACAGUCCAGCAUCCUAUUCUCACAGAUGCCUGUGGAAAAUCCACAAGUAGGACCUGAAAAUUCUCUCCUCCUGCAGUUCCCAGCAACUGGCCAUCAUUUCAAAAAGAGAAUUCUAGAAAAGGAAAAAUAAGGGUCGCAUUGGGUAAGUCAGGGAAGCUGGAAAAGAGAAGAAGACCUAGUUUCAACAUUUAGAAAUAUGUGAUUCUGUCUGUAUGGAGAGCAGCUACUGUCCUAUGAGAGCUUGAAAUGGUGUUAUGAAAAAAAUCAUGUAAUGUAAGCUCUUGUUUUUAUGUUGCUCAGUGCCUGGCUAGUAGUCAUCAGCAAUGUCAUUCAAUUCACAUCUAAUAAAGACAUUUGUGUGGCAAUUUGUGCAGUAUAUCUUGGUUUUCAUACACAGGUAUGCUGUGCCUGGCCUCCGGUUAAGUUUUGCCUUGGGCCUUCAGAACCUCUGGACAGACAUACAGAGGAGAGGCUCUGACACUUCCUAUGAAUUGUGGAUUGCUGCUUGCCAGGUUGGAUAAGUAUUGUGUGGACUGACCUGUUCUGUUUCUGCAAUCACCGAGGGGAGAAAUACUUUGUUAGAUGGCAGGGCCUUUUUCUUUUGUAAAAGGUAAAGGUAAAGGUACCCCUGCCCGUACGGCCAGUCGUGUCCGACUCUAGGGUUGUGCGCUCAUCUCACUUAAGAGGCCAGGGGCCAGUGCUGUCCGGAGACAAUUCCGGGUCACGUGGCCAGCGUGACGAAGCUGCUCUGGCGAGCCAGCGCAGCACAUGGAAACGCCGUUUACCUUCCCGCUAGAAAGCGGUACCUAUUUAUCUACUUGCACUUAAGGGUGCUUUCGAACUGCUAGGUGGGCAGGAGCUGGGACCGAAAGACGGGAGCUCACCCCGCCGCGGGGAUUCGAACCACCAACCAUACGAUCAGCAAGUCCUAGGCACUGAGGUUUUACCCACAGCGCCACCCGCGUCCCUUUUGUACAUCUCAGUAAAUUCUACUGCUGGGAAAAUCUGCCCUGCCCCAAAACUAUUAGGGUGUUCAGUUGCUGGCCUGAAAGUUAGGGCGGGGGGGGGGGCAGAAGGAAUAACCCUGCUUGAAAUGUUAUUGUGGCCAAACAACCAAUUCAGCUAUUUCCUCAGUAUUACUUCCUUUCCUAUAAAGUGCCUAAAAUUGGUAACCACUGUGCAAAAUUUGAAAGCAAUGCAAGCUCCGUCCCCAGGCUUACAGUUGAGAAAAAUGCCAUCUAGUAAGCAAAAGGCACAUACUUAAAAUCAUUUAACAAGGAUUAGUUAACCCUGAACACUAUUUAACUACCCUGUGGUUAAUUAAAUUACAACAACAAUUAGAUUUGUAACAGAAUGUGCGUUAUGGAUGUGGUGGGGACUUUGCGUCAGCGAUUAUGAUUAAGGAAACUGGGAAAGGAAGCAACUCCCACAUUGUUCACAUAAGACUUCUUCCAGCUGUGGUGCUCAAAAUGGCAUUACAGCGCAUAGAUGUCUUUUCAGAAGUGAGGCCCACAGAGUUCAAUGGGGCUUGCUGCUAGGUAAGUAGGUAGAAGAGUGCUCUGUUAGUUACUCUCCAGUCCUGGCCAUGAUUCUUUUUCUCAGACCAGGCCCAAAAAUACAUCUCAGUGCCGCGCUAUAUCCUCCCUGAGUGUGCUCAUUGCAUAGGAUUACCUGCAUAAUCUCAUCCAACACCAUUCAGGCUGUGUGCACACUAUACUUUUAAAGCAUAUUUGAAGCCCAUUCUUUCCCUCAAAGGAUUCUGGGCACUGUAGUUUACCUUCACAGAGUUACAAUUCCUAACAACUAGGGUGCCCAGAAUUCUUUGAGGGAAGAAAAUGUGCUUUGAACAUGCUUUAAAGGUGCAGUGGGUACACAGCCUCCAAGGGUUACCACGAUUUUGAUUCUGAAUGCAGAAUCUGUGGUGAAAGUGAGUGAGAGAGUUGUGAUGGUGUUGUCUCCCAGAUAUUGUUGGACUCGCAACUCCCAUUGAGCCUGACCUUGGGCUAUGCUGGUUGGGACUGAUGGGAGUUGGAGUCCAACAACACCUGGAAGGUGCCAUGCCUUAGAAUACAAAAUGCAAUUAGAGAAUCACAUCUUCUGCAUAGCUCAUGACAUGAUUUGUUUAUUGCUAUUUGAUUUCUCUGUCUUCCUCUGCCCCACUCCCAUACACCCAUAAGAAUAUGGAGUAAGAGACAUUAUCUGAAUGGUUGUAUUAAAGUGGUUGUUGUAUAUCCAGCAGAUCCAUAAUGUAAUACAUGGCACACUACUGAAAUCUGUGAGGCUGUACAGUUGUGCAAAGCCAAGGGAAGGAGAGUGGGUGGGGAAGAUACAAAUCACAGAUUAAAACAACUCCCCCUUGUGGGUUUUUCUUUUAAACGGGGGAAUUGAUCAGAAAAGAGAGGGAAGAUCAAGGGCCAAAGGAAGUAACCCCAAGGGUCUCAACACAAAAUAAUUACAAUUACAGUUAAUGGAAUUGUCGACUGCAUAAUCACCAUCUGCUUAAAGCACAUGACUUCCCCCAAAUAAUUAUGGGAAGUAUAGUUUGUUAAGAGUGCAGGGAAUUGUAGUUUUGUAGGAUAAACUACAGUUCCCAAGAUUCCGUGGAGGAAGUUAUGUGGCUUAAACAUUUGGUGUGCAUGUAGCCACUUGUCUCAUCAUGUUUGUUGCACAGUUACAUCUACAUUAGGAAAUUUGCCCAUCCAAACUGCUACAAUAUUCAAAAUCAUGCUGUGCAACAGCUAAGCACAGAUGUAUUCCAUACAGGUCAGGUGCACAUUACAAAUGCCACAGUUUGGCAUGGGCUUAGAGUGGCAGACGUGUGGGGAUGCCAAACUGCAACAAAACCAUAACAGUGCCAUGGGUGUGAAUCAGGUGAAUGGGGUCUUUGCCUCACUGAAGAAGCUGGAACCCCAUAACCUGACUGGAGGCGGGGAAGCCCUUGGCCAGUGCCUGCCUCCCUGAGAAAUGGGUCUGGCUGAAGAAAGCUGUGCCUAUGUUGGCAUCACAGGCUCCUGCAAGGAGAGUUUGCUUAAACUGCGCGACUUUAACAGCUCCCAUUACCCUAACUGAUGAGCCCCAUAAAGUUUAUGGCUCUGAGUGUGCGGGAGCCAUGCUAACGGUCCUUGCCAUCUGGAAAAGAUGGCUCCGUAGGGGCCAUAUGCCCCCACCCCCCAUUGCCCUGCUACAGCAGGGAGGAGAAUGCUGAGCCAGCACCUUAGAGAAAAAGGCAUCAGGCAUUCAAACCCCCCUCUCCACAUGCAGGGUGGUGGCGUCAGCAUCCCCUCUCCUGGGGGUGGGGGAGAAAGAAAAGCAAAAGGGAGGAAUUUGGCAAAGCUCAGGAUCUGGAGGCUGGAUGUUUUUCUCCCUGCCUAAAUUGAGUGGGCCUGUUCACUGUAGGAGGUAGGGCCACCCCCCAGCUGCUUCUGUGUUUAGAACCAGACACAAGGACCUUGCAUGAGGAUUGCCACUGGGCAGAUUUUAAAGUACCGUAAUAGAUCAGCCUUUAGGCAGUGGGGACUUCUAACGUGUAUAAAUUGAGACAAACAAAUGCACAACACAUGAUUCCCUCCCCCCAGGACCUUUCACUAGUAGGACCGCCAACGUAGGGGUGGGGGGCAGAUGACAAAGCUGGCCUGCUCCUGUGCCUUUAACAGCAGCUUGAUCUGCUAAAAAUGAGCAGGCAAGGCUUUUGAAGGCAUAGAGCUCAAGCAGAUCAAACUUGAUAAGGCUGUGUAGACACAAACCUUUUGCAGCACGAAAACACCAUUUUUCUCCAUCCAGAAUCAUCCAUGCUUGUCCUUGGCUGCGUACACCCAACAUUUUAUUCUAGAAGCAAUGGAGACUGAGUACUUGUUGUUGUUGGGUUUUUUUGUGUAGUCCACACACAAUCGAGAUCUACUGCAUGUUUCUGCCCUUGCAAUGGGCCUCUUGAGGAAUGGGUUUCAUUCCAAAAAUAAAAGCUCAUUUCAGAUCGGUUCUGCAUUGUUCCUCAAUGUGUCCAUUCAAAAACAGGUAAGAAUAGAUGUAGGUGGUCCCAGUAAUGGAGGGUGUGUCCACACCUGCCCAUUAACAUUGUUGGUACCAAGAGGUAUUUGUUCAUUCAGCUGGGGCAUGUGCAGGAAGGAAAAGACAUAAAUAAUCUAAUUUAGGGUUUCUGAAACUUGGGACUCCAGCUGUUUUGGACUACAAUUCCCAUCAUCCCUGACCACCAGUCCUGCUAGCAAGGGAUGAUGGGACUAGUCCAACAACAGCUGGAGACCCAAGUUUGGGAAACCCUGAUCUAAUCAAAGGGAGGGGUUUCAAAGACCUAUCAAGUAUAGUAAUCACACUCACCUUUGUGGGUGGCAGGAACUAGAAUAAAUCUAGGUUGAAAGAAGCAUGGUGAGGAUGAUCAUGAAUGAUUCCAGAUUGAGAAAAACUAUGUUUUUGUGCUACAAGCACAAAACAACGUAUCUAUUCCUAACAUUUACUAAAUUUAAGAUUUUAGGGGGAUCUGCCCCCCCAAACUCGUAACACUUUUAGGGGGACCUAGCCCCCCCAGCCACUGCCAAAACUCAUCACAGUAUGGUGCAUACCCAGCAACAGAUGGAGUGGUGCUGCUGGUGGUUGUUAGAGGGUGGAAGUUUUAAGCAUAUAUAUACAGAGGUAUGUGUGUGUUUCCCCCCUGUACUAUAUCUUCUGGAUGGCUGCUUUUUAUAAUUUUUGAAAUGUUUGCAAAUAAAUAUACUGUUGUCGUUUUUUUAAAAAACCAACACACUGAUCUAUAUACUGUGAGCCAUCUGACCUGCUAUUAGUCGGGGGCUAUUCUGUGAAUAGACACAAAUGUGCUUGAGUCUAGUGCAGGAGGACAUCACUUUGGUCUUUUGCUUCAGGUGCCUUAAGUGCCAGCAUUUUUAACUCCCCUUGCAAAGAAAGGCCUCUGCUUGCUGCCGUUUUUGAGUACAUGCCCUCCAACAGUUCCAAGAUGAAAACAGGGAGACUUGUAAUCCCUCUUCUCAGUAUCAUUACGUGUUAUACGUUGCUGAAGGCUCUUCCUUGCUUGCUGCCCAUUGUAUUCAUUUUACUCUGCCACAGCCUGUCCUGCAUCAGCUUCCGAAGCAAGGUCUGUGAGCAAACUGACCAGAACAGAUUUCUUAGAAUAGUGAAUCUCACUGUGGAUCUGGCUGCAACUGCAACUCAGACUCAGCAGCAUUUAUUACCUGGACAGGAACCAGGGGCAGGGAAAUCGAAGACAAGCAAAGCUCCUUUUGCAUGUAUCUGCAUGUAUGUGUGCUGGAAUAAAGUUGGAUCAUCACUCACUCAAGAUAUUUAGCUUCUAGAGACAAUUUAGAGCACAAAUGGAGAAGCUGUUAGCUUCUGGCUGUUGCUGAACUCCAGACUCCCAUCACCUCAGUCAGGAUGGUUAAUGGUCAGGGAUGAUUGGAGUUAUAGCCUAUCAGUAUAUUGAGUGUGGGCACAGGUUAGUCACUCCUUAUCUAGAGAGCCAACUUUAAACCUGCAAGAACUCUGGUGUUCCUUGGUGUCAAUGGAAACUUCCUUCACAGAACUAACAACAGGCUUUUUGGGGCUGAGUGGUGGUCAUCAGGAUCAUGGUAGGGAAGGGAAUGGUUAAACCUGUGCAAACCAUGGCUAUGAUGCUAAUCACCCAUCCCUCUGCCUGCCUGCUGUUUAUACUUUUUAAAAAAGGUGGGGGGGAUCCAUGUUGUUUGCAGAGAUGCUUUAGUGUGAUAUGGUGUUUGGCUUCAACAAUUCUUAAAAUUCAUUCCUGGCAGGCAAAAUAAGGACAUCAUUUUGCAAGGGACAUAUACCAGAUAAAAAGUGAUCCCUGGAAAAUAGGAACAGUGAAGGGCCAAAACAGACCUGAUGUUAAAUGCAUCUUCACAUUUAAUAUGCCCAUUUUUAAAAAAUGCAAAUAGCUGCCUUUUGCAGGAGCUGACAGUUGUCAGGAUUCCAGCUGGUAGGGAGGGAGAGUUUAACCCUUCCCUCCCUUACUGUGGUCCUGCAGAAAAUAACUCCUUUGAAGUUGCUAUUUGCACUAGGAAGAAAUCCCUCCAUCAGUACCCUUGGGUGCUUUUUUCCAAUACAAAUAGCAGCCUUUAAAGGAGUGGCUUUUUUUGUCAGGACUGCAGCAGGAGAGAAGAAAGGGUCAGAACCCCCACCCUCUACCUAUUGUGAUCUUGAGAAUGACUAUCCCCUCUCCCUGGCCACUGCUAUUUGCAUUUUUAGCCAGCAUGCACAUUAAAUGCAAAGAUGCAUUUUGCAUCUCUUAGUUUGGUCCAGAGUAUAAGUGCCCAUUUCCUGGAGCAAGGACCAGAUUCUAAAGUGGUUCAAAUACACUUUCCUUGUGAAGAUGGAACCUGAAGUAGCCAGACCUUUAGGAAUCGGUCAAGGGUGUGGGCCUGGCACCUUGAAAGAGGAGCCAAAGCCUCUGCUUGAAACCAGAUUGCCUUGGUCCAUUGUUCAUCCCAGGGUUCCUCCCCUCGCUGCUCGGUGGCACUUGCCCAGGGCAAGAUUUUUGGGCUGGCUUCAUGCUCAGUGUGGGCAUGAGCAGCGCUCAAGCAGACAUCCAGAAUUCAUGCAGCUCUCCACGCUUCAAUGCCCCUGAAUAGCCUCCGCUCACGCUCCUCUAUUGUGCCCAGGGCGGGGGCGGUGUGGGAGCUUGGCAUAGCUAUUAAUCCCAACAAUGGGCCUUUAAUUGGACUCUCCAUUGCUCGUACAGAAACGCUGGCACGUGCCAGUUAAGGAAUGUCUGAGGCAGCGGCGAGUUUUGUGUAUGCAAGGGGGAGUGGCUCCCCAGGGCUUUGGAUGGCCUCUCCCUUGGGAGGCAGCUGCACACCGAUUCACGUCCCAUUCAUAAAUGCAGGCCGAGCACACGUGUACAUGCAGCAGGCGUGCACUGGAGUACAUCCCUUUCACAUGGGAUGCACGUAGGCUUCUCUCCCUUUCAAGCAUACAUGCACAUAUGUGCAAACAUGACAUGGACAGACAGGCACCUUGUAGGCCUAUGCAAGAUGUAUCUGACUAUUCCACUUAACAUGCAAAUUGAAAUUGCCACAGGAACCCCCUUGCACAUACAUUCAGCCUUGCAAGCAAUGCCCCCACAUAUUCAGCUGGAUUGGGGGAGAAGCAGCAGUCAAGAGUAAGGGAUGUCUCUUUGGAGGUGGCUCCAUAGUUUGGGGAAAACAGCAGAUAAGGGCUUGGCAGGGUCUAUUGUGUGUUCACUGGGCAUAAAGUGCCACAUUCUUCGAAUGUGGGUGGAUGUUUGUGGAGGGGCAGUGACUCAAGGAGCCGAGAGGCCUCGGCUUAGUCCGCUUCUACUGGACUCCGCAGGGUUGUGAGUCAACAAUCUCAGGCCCUUUGUUUAAAGGUAUUUAUACCAGUUCCCUUUCGGAAGAGGAAUGAAAAAUCCAGAUAAUGUGGAGGAAAGUGUUCGCGCACAGGCCCGUGGGCUGUUCUUGUUUAUGUUCUCAAGGAUUGUUUGGUUUCACCCACACAGUCGCAACAACGGGGAUAUUGUGCUAGGCACUUCAUAUGUGUUAUGCUUGGCAAAAGUAGGUCCCUUGUAAUUGAAGUUUGCUGUCUGAGAUGUGGGUAAUUUGCUUCAGUGGAUAUGGGAGUGUAGUUUUUUGCACUGGCUUUUCUGAUAAGAUCUUGUUCCACUUUAAGCUGUUGCGUCCUGCUCUGCAGGGCAUCUACUUUCGAUAAUUGGUUCAAGUAAGUUAGGAGGUCAUUUUUUCUCUCUCUUCUCCCCCACCCCCACCCCAGUGUGUGUGUGGGGGGGGUUAUUUUAGGAACUGGCCUGACUACAUGGAGUUAGUUUGUGUGCAUCUGUUCCAUGCUUUCAGGAUACGCUGAACACAGUAACAAGCUUCCUCUACAAACGUUUAAGUGUUUGUGUGAAAGAGUGUACACUUGUUGAUUUGUACAGUUGUAUACACAGUUUCACACACUUCACACUCAUCAAACAUUCCAUGUGAGUAACUGUAUAAGUGUACAGAUCAUCUACUGUGUACACAGAUUGCCCACUCGUUAAACAUAAUGAUGGGUAACAGCUAGGAAUCUGUGGCUAGAGGAAAUAAUACCCAUUUGAAACAAAUUCUGCUAUGGUAUUUUUAUGGCUUGUUUCAUAUGGUCCUGAUCCAUGGUGGCUGCCGCCCAUUGGGACUGGUAGGGUGGAAAGCAGGGAGCCCACAGUUUGUGGGUAAGAGCCAAUGACAGGCAGAGCCAACUUAACUCUUGACUUGUCUGCAUCCUCCUUCCUGCUUAUUUCUACAAGCACUACUUGUAGAACUUGGCACUGCUGGGAGGGAGGAAGGAAGGAAGGAGGAGGAAGCUGGCAGCCAAGGCCACCCCCAGUACUGGUUGUCUGUAAGAGGAAGCAGACAGGUGGGACUGGCUGAGGACAGACCCAAGUGAGUGGGGCAGUGCCUCCUUCACCCUAAUGGACUAGCUUUCACUAGUCAUAAUGGUCUGUGUUACAGUAUGCUUAUUUAGUGUUUUGUUUUGUCGCCCAGGGCGAUAAACACAUCACAGCUAAAAAUAAAUAAAAAAUGUAUUUGAAACAUUUAAAAAUAAUUAAAAGCCUCUUAAAACAAUAAAGACAGUAAAACAUUAAUCAAGAUGAAAAACAGAUUUAAAAAGAGAUAUAGCCAAGGCAGGGAGUUCCAGAGCACUGUCACCCUAAAGCAAUGACUCCUUGCAACCAAAUGUGGAAUGUACAUGGUGCAGCAUUUGUAGAAGUUCAAGUUCCACAGACUGAGUAGAUUGAGUAUGUAUGUGGUAAGGUGAUCCCUUCAGAAAACUAGUCACAUUUAUGUACUAAUAGUAACACCUUGAAGUUGAACUUGGCUUGGUAGCCAACUGGAAUUCCAUGCAAAUUCUUGAGCACAGAUAUAGUAUUCUCACAGACUCUUAAACCUGUCAGCAAUUGUGCUGCAGUAUUCUGCAGUUUCUGCAUCAAGUACAAGGGAAACCCUGCGUAGAGUGCGUUGCAGCAACCCAGUGCCUGAACCACUGUGGUUAGACUGUGAGGAUUCCACCAAAAAUGUCUGCAGUUGGCCUGCCACUACUGUCUUCACAACCUUCCCUCAAAAGCAGGUAUUGGUGACUGGUCGGUAGUUAGUCCAGACUGUCGGUUCCAGAGUUGGCUUCCUUAGGAGGGCCCUUACCACUCCUUUUUUCAAGGCAGCAGGGAUCACUCACUCACACAACUAAGAGUUAACCAUGCUCUAGACCCAACCAGUCAAACCCUGCUCUGUUAGAUAUAAUAAGCUGAAUCUAAUGUGUGGCAUGAUUGGGGGUGGCGGUGAUAUCAGAAGCUCAUUUGUUAGCUACAGGGGGUGUGUUUUAGGAAGGUGCUGCAUCUGUGUAUUGGGCAAUGUGUGUUUUGUUUCUGAGCACUGGCCUGCCUCCUUUCCCUUGUGAGCCUGCCACAAACCCUGUGAUGCAGAUGGAUACUCUAAAGACAAGGCCAAUUCCAGUUCAUUGGCCAGCACAGUGUCCCCUUUUGAUGGGCUCUCCAGGGAUAAAGUUGGUGCCUAGGAGCUCUGAGAGCCUGGAAGAACUCUGCCCGUCUCUUCCAGAGGGUUUGUCACCUUUCCCUUCUGAUCAGAAUGCUUGUCAGGCUGGCAGCAUGAUGGAGAUGUCAGGCCCGACCUGGUGCUCCCCACCGUGGGAGAAGUCAUCACCAAAUGCUAAUGCAAACAGACGUUUGUUCCUAGCGGGACACAAAAGGACCUACCGGAGCCUGCCUGCGAGAUUGAUUUAAUGGAGACCAACCUCAGUCGGGUGGAACAACUGAGACGGACCUGGCAGGGCUGUCAGGCACAGGAACUCCACAUGUAAGCUUGGGGCAUUCCCUGUCAAGACCAUGUGAGGGAUGCACAUUCAUGUGCAUGUUUGCACGCUGCAGCGCACUCUGAGUGGCUAGCUGACAUCAUCAACUGGGUCUUUCUGCCACCAUGUUCUCUGUGAUUGUCUGUUCUGGGGCACUUUUAGUUGCUGACUGAUGGGCCUAUCAGCUUCUAGGGUGAGAACCAGCGCUUUAAGGCUGGAGCAGGUUAUCUCCAUUUGUGCUUACUUGGGCUUCUCUGAAGAGCCAGUGCAGCAUGUCAAACUGAGAUCGGAGAGACCUGAGUUCAAGUCCCUGUUCAUCCAAAAAGCUCACUGGGUGCCCUUGGGUCUCUCUCUCUCUCUCUCUCUCUCUCUCUUUCUCUCUCUUUUCCUCUCUUUCUCUUCACCUAAGGUAUUAGGUUAUUGUGAGGGUAAAAUGGGUUAGCCCCUUGAGCUCCUCAGAGGAAGGGCAAGAUGCAUGCAUGGUAAAUAAGUAAGUCUGCCACAACUCACAUGAAUGGCAAGCACUUCCUCUUGGACUACUGACCCGGCCUAGUCCUGAUAGCCUGGACUAGCAUAUGAGCCCUCCCACUCCUCCAGCCUCUCAAGUAGGGAUGCCUGAUGCUUUUCACUGAAGAUUAUCACUGUGAUAUGCAGAGGAUUGGCAAAUAGUGCCUUACAAAAUAUUAUCGUCCCUCCUGUGGUGGUGCUUCAACCUGCCUGUCCCUGCUCCACUACACCACUGGUUUCUACUGGCAAACUGAGGGUAUGGUCACAUUGCCACUUUCGCUGCAUCCAGUGUGCUUCCACUGCUAAUUUUAGAAGCAUUAAUGAGACAUUUGCCACACUCCAUAUUGAUCCUGUAGUUUCUUGACAAAUGCUGCUGUUUGAGGCACCCCCCCUUUCUCAAACCGGCUUCCAUCCAGGUAGAAAACUGGAUGUGGAAUAAGUGGUAAUCUGAAUUUCUGAGGUACAUGAGUGUGCAUGUACAGAUCACAGCUUCAUGGAGUUCCCGAAGUAGUAGUAGUAGUAGUAGUAAUAAUAAUAAUAAUAAUAAUAAUAAUAAUAAUAAUAAUAAUUAUUUAUACCCACCCAUCUGGCUGGAUUUCCCCAGCCACUCCAGGCGGCUUCCAACAAAAUAUUAAAAUACAGUGGUCUGUUAAACAUUAAAAGCUUUCCUAAACAGGGCUGCCUUCAGAUGUCUUCUAAAAGUCUGGUAGUUGUUCUUCUCUUUGACAUCUGGUGGGAGGGCAUUCCACAGGGCGGGUGCCACUACCGAGAAGACCCUCUGCCUGAUUCCCUGUAACUUGGCUUCUCGCAGCGAGGGAACCGCCAGACGGCCCUCGGUGUCUGGGGAGAACAAUGGGGGUGGAGACGCUCCUUUUUUUAUAUAAGAUAUUUAUUAAGGUUUUCAAAAUAUUACAAAAUAAAAAUAGAAAAAAGAAAAAUACAAAAUAAAAAUAGUUAAAAACAAGUCAAUCUUUCCAUUACUUAUUUUUCAUUAGCUUAUUUCCCGGACCUCCUCACGCCUCCCUUUUUUGUAUUCCAGUUCAGUUUGUUGGUUCAGCAAAUCCUUCCCCUCUUUGAUUAUCCUAAUCUUUAAUCUUAAAGUAUUGUAACAUUAAAUUUUUACCUGUUAGUAAUCCAUUUUUCAUAUUCCCUUAUAAUAUUUCAGCUAAAAACCAUUUAAUUUCUAUCCAACAUCAUUCUAACAUUCAUUAAUUUUACAAUAUUUCUGUAAAUAGUCUUUAAAUUUCUUCCAAUCUUCUUCCACCGACUCUUUUCCCUGGUCUCGGAUUCUGCCAGUCAUUUCCGCCAAUUCCAUGUAGUCAAUCACCUUCGUCUGCCAUUCUUCCAGAGUGGGUAGAUCUUGUGUCUUCCAAUACUUUGCAAUGAGUAUUCUUGCUGCUGUUGUGGCAUACAUAAAAAAAGUUCUAUCCUUCUUUGGCACCAAUUGGCCGACUAUGCCCAGGAGAAAGGCCUCUGGUUUCUUCAAGAAGGUAUAUUUAAAUACUUUUUCAAUUCAUUAUAGAUCAUCUCCCAGAAAGCCUUAAUCCUUGGGCACGUCCACCAAAGGUGAAAGAAUGUACCUUCAGUUUCUUUACAUUUCCAACAUUUAUUAUCGGGCAAAUGAUAGAUUUUUGCAAGCUUGACUGGUGUCAUGUACCACCUGUAAAUCAUUUUCAUAAUAUUCUCUCUUAAGGCAUUACAUGCCGUAAAUUUUAUACCUGUGGUCCAUAACUGUUCCCAGUCAGCCAUCAUUAUGUUAUGUCCAACAUCUUGUGCCCAUUUAAUCAUAGCGGAUUUCACCGUUUCAUCCUGAGUAUUCCAUUUCAACAGCAAGUUAUACAUCCUCGAUAAAGUCUUAGUUUUGGGUUCUAACAGUUCUGUUUCUAAUUUUGAUUUUUCCACCUGGAAGCCAAUUUUCUUAUCCGAAUUAUAUGCCUCCAUUAUCUGAUAAUAAUGAAGCCAAUCUCGCACUUUGUUUUUUAGUUUCUCAAAACUCUGCAGUUUCAAUCUGUCUCCCUCUUGUUCCAGAAUUUCCCAAUAUUUUGGCCAUUUGGCCUCCAUAUUGAGCUUUUUCAAUGCUUUCGCUUCCAUCGGUGACAGCCACCUUGGGGUUUUAUUUUCCAAUAAAUCCUUAUAUCUUAUCCAGACAUUAAACAAUGCUUUCCUGACAAUAUGGUUCUUAAAUGCUUUAUGUGCUUUGAUCUUAUCAUACCACAGAUAUGCAUGCCAUCCAAAUACAUUAUUAAAACCUUCUAAAUCCAAAAUGUCUGUGUUUUCAAGAAGCAGCCAUUCUUUCAACCAGCAAAAAGUUGCUGAUUCAUAGUAAAGUUUAAGGUCUGGCAGGGCAAAUCCACCUCUUUCCUUUGCAUCUGUUAGUAUUUUAAAUUUUAUUCUAGGCUUCUUGCCCUGCCAGACAAAUCUAGAAAUAUCUCUCUGCCACUUCUUGAAACAGUCCAUUUUGUCCACAAUUUGCAAUGUUUGAAACAAAAACAACAUUCUAGGCAAUACAUUCAUUUUUAUCGCAGCAAUACGACCCAGCAGUGAAAGCUUCAAAUUUGACCAGAUUUCUAAAUCUUUUUUCACUUCGGCCCAGCAUUUUUCAUAGUUGUCUUUAAAUAAAUUCCCAUUUUUUGCUGUCAUGUUAAUCCCCAGGUAUUUCACUUUCUUAACCACUGUUAAACCUGUCUCAUUCUGAAACCUCUCUCUCUCAAUCGGUGUUAAAUUUUUCUCUAAAACCUUGGUUUUUAACUUAUUCAGUUUAAAUCCUGCAACCUGACCAAAUUCUUGAAUCAGUUCUAAAACCCUUUUGGUACUAGAUUCUGGCUCCUGUAACGUCAAUACUAAGUCAUCUGCAAAUGCUCUCAAUUUGUACUGUUUGGCUCCGACUUGUAUACCUUUAACCAACUGGUCCCUUCUAAUCAUAUUCAGCAAAACCUCCAGGACCGAUAUAAAAAGCAAUGGGGAGAUUGGGCAACCUUGUCGUGUCCCUUUUUCUAUCUUAAAUUCUUCCGUCACCACAUUAUUUACAAUUAGUUUAGCCUUUUGUUCUGAAUAAAUUGCACUUAUACCGUUUUCAAAGCCUUGGCCUACCCCCAUCCCCUGUAGGUUCUUCUUCAUAAAGCUCCAAGAGAUAUUAUCAAAAGCUUUCUCCGCGUCCACAAAUAUCAAAACAGCUUUAGUAUUUAUGUUCACUUCUAAUUUUUCCAAAAUAUUAAUUAUAUUCCUCAAAUUGUCAGACAAGUGUCUUCCCGGGAGAAAGCCCGCUUGGUCUUUAUGAAUCUCUUCCAUCAACACUUUUUUCAAUCUCUUGGCCAGAAUAUCUGCAAAAAUUUUGUAAUCCACAUUAAGUAAUGAUAUGGGGUGGUACUUCUUAAACUGAGUCUUUUCAGUCUCUGUUUUCGGUAUAAGUGUAAUAUACGCUUCUUUCCACGACUCUGGUGCCCUUUUCCCGUCCAAUAUUUCAUUGCAGACUUCCUUUAAAGGUUGUACCAACCACUCUUUCAAGGAUCUAUAGUAUCUAGAAGUCAGCCCAUCUGGUCCUGGAGAUUUGCCUAGUUGCAUGUUUUGAAUGGCACCUUCUACUUCCUGUUCAGAUAUUUUAUAGUUCAACAUUAGUUUGCUUUCUUGAGAGAUUUUUUGUAGUCCAUUUAUCUUCAAAAAUCGAUCUAUAUCCAUUUCUUUCUGUGGCCCUUGUGUAUAUAAUUGUUUAAAGUACCUCUGGAAACAGUUUCUAAUCUCAGCAGGGUUGUGUAUGUUCUUUCCUUCCACUUCUAAAUUUGUAAUAGUAUUUAAUUUUUGUCUUUUUUCAUUUGCCAAGCCAGCAAUUUCCCACAUUUAUUAGCUGAUUCAAAUGUUUUUGUCUCAUUUGUUUAAUUUUCCAUUCUAUUUCCUGAUUCAUCAUUUCCAUAUAUUGUACUUGAUAUAAUUUUAUUUCUCUCAAAAUCUCCUGCGACUUUGGUUUUGCUCUCAAUUUCUUCUCACUUUCUUUUAUUUUCUCCAAAAUUUUAUCUUUCUUCUCAUUUUGGCUCCUCUUCUUUAUUGCAUUCUGUUGUAUCAGGAACCCUCUCAUAACCGCUUUGCUUGCGUCCCAGAUUACUCUUUUUUUCAACAUUAGUGUUCAUAUUUAUCUCAAAAUAGUCUCUCAAAGUUUUUUGGGCCUUCUUAAUCACAUCUCCAUCUCUAAAUAAGGUGUCAUUCAUCCUCCAUCUGAAGGAGCCAGUUGUUAUUAGUUUCAUCUCCAUCCUUACAGCAUUAUGGUCGGAGCAGGUUUUUGGACAAAUUUCCACUUUCUUUAUCUUUGGUGCCAUUCCUCUAGUUACCCAUAUUUGGUCGAUUCUAGUCCAUGUCAUCUUGGCUUCAGAAAAGAAAGUUCCCUCUCUUCCCAAGGGAUUCUUUGUUCUCCAAAUGUCAACUAAGUCCAAGUUGUCUGUCAUCUCAAAAAAUGUUUUCGGUAGUCUACCAUCCUUGGUGACUACCUGUCUUUGUGCCUUAUCCAUGUUUGUAGAUACUACUCCAUUCAUAUCCCCCAUCAAAAUCAGAUUGUAAUCCAAAUAGUCCAUUAAGGUCUCAUGCAACUUUUUAAAGAAUUCAGAUUUCCCCUCGUUCGGUGCAUAAACUCCUACUAUCAGAAAUUUCUCUCCUUGUAUUUGAAUUUCAAUUGCCACAAAUCUUCCUUGACCGUCUUUAAAAAUAAAUUUCGGUGAUAAUCUCUCCUUUGCAUAGAUCACUACUCCUCUUUUUUUGACUUUGUCAGAUGAAAUAAACUCCUGUCCCAAUCUCUUAUUAAUCAAUAUUUUCCUAUGUAGCCUUAUCACGUGUGUUUCCUGAAGGCAAAUCAAGUCCAAUUGUUCCUUUUUUAAUAAACGAAAAGAACUUUUCCUUUUCCGAGGAGAGUUAAGACCAUUACAAUUCCAACUUAAUAGUUGCAGAGCCAUGAUGUUAUUACUUUGCUUUACCUCCAACUGCACCAAGUGUUUGUUCUUGUUCUGUCGGUGGUGUCACUUUCUCUGAACCAUGCAAUCCAAAAGAUAAGUUUGCUAUAUCUAAUAUUCCUCUUUCCAGUGCUUUUGGCUCUUCUCCAGAUUCCACUUCUUUCUGUAAAUCUUUUCCGUGGUCUUUCAAGAAUCUAUCUUUAUCGUCGACUGAUCUUAUUUUAAUCUUUCUUCGUUUAUAUUUAAAGGACAGGCCUUGGGGAAAUUCCCACCUGAAGAUGAUUCUGUUGCUUCUCAGCAGGGCAACCAGGUCUCCGUAGUUAGAUCUUAAGUCCAAGAGAUGUUUUGGGAUGUCCUUAAAUAUCUCCACGCUUGACUCAUGUAUUUCCAAAGUCUUUCGGAAGUGCAGAUUCAAGAUUUUGUCUCUCUCCUCUUUUGUUCGAAGGGUAAUCAAACAGUCUCUCACCUUAUUCUUCUUUCCUCCUCUUCCAAGCCUAAAUGCGUUCACUAUCUUAAAUUCUUCCUUCCCCAAAUCCUGUUGCCAGAAAUCUGCAAAUUCCUGCGUAAGAAAGUCAGUCAAGUUAUCUUUCUCAAGUUCCGGUACAGCCCUGAUUCUCAAAUUCGUUUGUUUCUCCUUCAAUUCAAUCAUGGACAACGUCAACCCGUGGUCCUCAAGUUGCCUAUAUAUCGGUGGUAUCUUCUCUUGAGUAGUAGUUGCUAUAUCCUUUGCUUCUUCAGCUGUCUUUCGGGUCAAAGCAGAUUCCUGUAACAAUUUCUCAAUAGUCUCUGUAUUGGUAUUCACCUUCUGUCCCAAAUUAUUGAUACUUGUAGUAUUUUGGUCAAUUUUAACUGAUGCUUCCGCUACUUGUUUAUUUGUUUCAGCUACUUGUUUACUUAAAUUUUCCAAAGAUUCAUUAAUUUUUCCUAGUGCCAGGGCUAAAACGUCUUCAGACGACAUUCCUUUUGGUUUAACUUGUAAGGGUGCAGCCCCUGAUAAUCCAGAUGGUCCAGAAGGGCCAGAUGUUGAGGCUCUUCGCUGCGACCCAGUAUCUGUACGGAAAGAUCUGCCAGACCUGGUAGUUUUUUCCUGAAUCAACUCUAACUUUCCUCUUCCAUCUGCCAUAACACUCUCAUAGAAGUCCAAGGUCAAUCCCACGGCUGGAAUUUAUUUUGAAAUGGAAAAUUCCCCUAGCCCAGUUAUUAUUGUAGCAAUAUCGAACCUCCUCUAGGGGGACACAGUAGCAGUCAAAGCUUGCAACUUUAAGAAAAAAAUAAUCUUUAUAAAUCCCCCAAUUCAGUUUCAAUUGAACUUAAUCGGUUACUUUUAAACCAGGAGAAGUCCAGAGACACUGUAUCUCUCUUGCAGUUAGCUAUCAAAAGUACUCUAUUUGCCAAUAGUGCUUUUCACAAAACGGCAUUCCUUGUCCCAAGGCAGUCCGUUCCCAGGAUCUAAGCGGUGGAUUUUAGCUUCGUUUCCCUCCUUUUUUUGCAGAUAAAUACAGUUCAAACCUUUCCCCCCUCCUCUCCUGCAAACCGGAGGGGAGAUCGCUUUUCUGAUGUUAGGAUUUGCGUCCUUUUUCAAACGUCUUUCAAAGUUUCCGCUUACAGUCUCUUUGCUUUGAUCUGUUUACAAGAAACGGAAGGCGGACUUCCUGUUUAUGCCUCCCCGCUUCGGUUCCGAAUUAUUGUUUUUCUCCCUUUAAAUCCAAUUUUAUCCUACUCACGGGUAGUUACUUUUGAAGUCGAAUUGUCCCAGGAAAAAGUCAGCGCUCUCCGAUAACGGCUGUGCGGCUUCACUCCGCGGAAGAAGCAGUCGACUCUCAGCACCGCGCCGCUCACCCCGUUUCGCUCCGGAGCCCAAAAAUGGGUUCCUUCGCAGAUUGGGGGGGCGCAAAAGGUGCCCGCCGAGUCCCACGUUCACAGGCUUCACCCGCCUGUGACUUUUGAAGGGUCCCCGCUUCGCCGCAGCGGUGCAGACCCGAUCCCGCGGAGCUGGUCCCUCAGAAAGUCAGAGGGAAUCCGCCAUUACCGAUGGCGCCAACCCGGAAGCCUCCUUCAGGUAUACUGGACCGAGGCCGUUUAGGGCUUUAAAGGUCAGCACCAACACUUUGAAUUGUGUCGGAAACAUACUGGGAGCCAAUGUGGAUCUUUCAAGAGCGGUGUUAUGUGGUCUCGGUGGCCGCUCCCAGUCACCAGUCUAGCUGCUGUAUUCUGGAUUAGUUGUAGUUUCUGGGUCGCUUUCAAAGGUAGCCCCACACAGAACACAUUGCAGUAGUCCAAGCAAGAGAUAACUAGAGCAUGCACCACUCUGGCGAGACAGUCCGUGGGCAGAUAGGGUCCCAGCCUGCGUACCAGGUGGAGCUGGUAAACAGCUGCCCUGAACACAGAAUUGACCUGCGCCUCCAUGGACAGCUGAGUCCAAAAUGACUUCCAGGCUGCGCACCUGGUCCUUUAGGGGCACAGUUACCCCAGUCAGGACCAGGGAGUUCUCCACACCUGCCCGCCUCCUGUCCCCAAAAAAACAGUACUUCUGUCUUGUCAGGAUUCAACCUCAAUCUGUUAGCUGCCAUCCAUCCUCCCAAGUGUGUGGUUUGCAGGGGUGAGGAAGCCCAAAGGGUCCUGCACUUUGGGUGAAGAUAGCCCCACCCCUUGAUGUGAACAACCCUGUGCAAAUGCGGCUUGAAACACAGUGGGAGGAACUGACCUUGCUGUAGUAUUUUAAGCUGCUAAUGUGAACAUACCCUGAGUUUUGCAGUAGCCCUGCCCUACAGCCUAGAACUAGGGGAUUCCAAUGCUGGGAUAAGAUUAUGCCUGCGUGACCGGUUUGACCCCAGUGGCUCAGCCUUGGGAGGUCUGUUUAGUCAUGAGCAUUUAUAUAGUGGAGGCUUGUGCUGAGAAUUUUGGCCUAAGCACAUUGCAAUGAAGUUGGCAGGGGACGGAUGGACACUGUGCUGUGCCAGCUGCUAUUUGCCUUGCAGAAUGGCCACCUGCAGUGUGAUCAAGGGAAGCCCAGCCAGGGUCAUUUUGCAGCCACUAAUUUUUCAUUAAUUUGAUUCCAUGGCAGCAUCGGUUCAUUAAACCCUUUGGGAGAAAAUUGCUCAUCAUGCAGAUUCACAAAAACAGCUGUUCACAUCUGUGAAACGAAGCACGGAUCUGGCAAGGAACAGGCUGAGGCAAAGAUGCUCACUUGGUGCACUCUGCAACUAGCCUCCUCUCCCCAUACACUUUUGGCCCUACUUGACCUUUAGCUGGCCUCUUCUCCUCUGAUCAGAUGGGAAACACUUCUAAAACGGGGUACUGAGCAGCAUUGCAUUACACACAAGUUUCCUAGAGCACCCAUCCUGAAGCCAAUAACCUCUGUGCCUUAGACAAUUUGCUUUAAACUUAUUGUAUAGUCAUGAGCAGAAUUUGCAUCUUGUAAGUAAGGGUGAGAAGUCACAACAGAAACAGUAAAGGGCAAGGCAAGUUGAGGGGAGCUGGCGUUUUGGAUGCAUUCCAAAUCUCACUGUCUUUCCCAGGAUUGAUUGCCCCAGAUUGUUGCCAUCAUCUUGCUCUGUCCUCAAGAGUUUGCUAAUGGAUUAGAAUCCCCAACUCCAUGCUGUAGGGUGCAUUCUCAAAAAUCAUUUAAAUGUGGUUGCAAGGAGCAAUACAUAACAGUUUUAUUAAUUUAUACAUUAUUAAUUUGUAUAUUAAUGGCUUUCUGUUGCAGCUGCCUACGUUGAGGUUGACUAUCAGAGAAAUAUGUCCCUGCUGAAAAAUGUCAUUGGGAACAAGAGGCCUGGGCAUGUUGUGGAACCACCUGCUUGAAGUAUUAUGCAAGAUGCUACUGCACAAUUUCUGGUGAAGUGGGGAGGGAGGUACACACACA
Molecule: non-coding RNA, 92138 nt
Organism: Podarcis lilfordi (Lilford's wall lizard)
Lineage: Eukaryota; Metazoa; Chordata; Lepidosauria; Squamata; Lacertidae
Source: the annotation of a GenBank genome assembly